Molecule: long non-coding RNA, 90613 nt
Filed under: Olea europaea (common olive)
Lineage: Eukaryota; Viridiplantae; Streptophyta; Magnoliopsida; Lamiales; Oleaceae
Description: long non-coding RNA (OEUR_LNC009360)
Source: RNAcentral
GCAUUCUAAAUUACCUCAAUCAUGGUUAGUUUGCACUUUGUAAUAUUGAAAGUGCAUGACAUUUCAACAAGUGAUACUAUAUACUCUUGCCUUCGGACAAAGGGCUGAUACUUCCCAGGGUAACUGUUUCUUCAUCCCACGAUAAGGCGAAUUCAAAAGUUUCCCAAAAAUGUUUCCGUUUACUUUUCAAUCAGUAUCUUUUCACAUUCUGAAAUUUGAAGCAGCUUUCAGGAUCAGCAGAAGUUUUGCCCAUCCCUGAUGUGGGUCAUCCAUUAGCUAAAUACCAGCUCUAAAGAGAUUAAAACACAGUUUAAACUUCUUGCUAAAGGUUAGGAUUUUUCCUAUUACAAUAGUUCUUAUCUCAUGGUUCUUUUACGAUGUUAAUUUUCAUAUUUCUAUUUCUGAAGUGACAUAAUUCGUAAAUAACGUAAAUCAAGCUGUUAAAGAGGAAUUUAGCAUAUGAAUUGGAUUAAUCUUUUGAAAGGCAAAGGAACAUCUGUGAUGCAUUAAUAGAUAUGGACACAUUCUCGAUUGAAAUGUUAUAUAGAAAAGCUGCAAAAAGUUCUAAGUUUUGUUAAGACACAUUCUUGAUUGAGUAGCUAUCCUUGUUUACCCACGAUUAAUAUUUUUCGCCUUUCUGCCUUCACUAUCAUUAUUUUUUAGUACAUUUAUAUAGUGAAAAGACGAUGUUUUUGUUUAUUAGAGCUGCAAAAACUUCAAGGAGCUUACUGAAGUGUGCUUUUCCAAAAAAAUAAUGUCAAAAACAUUGAGGAGCUUUUGAUUUCCAUAAAAUGCAUGCUAAAAAAAAUUCUGCACUCUACGUCUCUUUUCACUGCUUCUACAUGCAACGAAAGCAGUCUGGUGCCCUUUAUGGUUGUUUUUGCUUAUAAUCAUCAUCCUUUUCCACUCCCUUUUGUUUUACUCAUCUAAGACUUUUUUUUUUUUUUUAAAUAGCCUCAACCAAAUCUAUGUGACAUUUCAUUUCGAUUUUGGGAUAAAAACUUGUUUUGAUACUUUAUAUGUGCCAAUAUUAACCUUCUGCAACGUAAUAUGUGCGCAUAUUACAUCAAAAAUUAAGAAAUGCAUAACAAAUAUGAAUAUAGAACUCACUGGAAUGAAUGAAGGUAUGGUGCAUAAUCUUUAAUCUUUUCACAUACUACAUGAAAAAUGUUGUGGGAAAGUACACCGUAAUUUUUUUAUUUUUUUGAUGAGGGGGAACCCGCAAUCGCUACCCUUUCGUGAAGGAUCAUUUCAUGCUUCAACAAUUUUUUUCUACUAUACUUAACCUAUUCAAAAACUCAGUUAGAGUUCUAUAGAAAGCAUCAACAACAAACAACAUCGUUGAACUUGAAGCAACUUUUCUUUGCACCAACGCAUCUCUCUCUAGUAAGAUCAUUUUAAUUUAUUUUUAUAUUAUCUUUCUCUCAACUCAUUAAAUAAUUUCUUUCUUAAUGAAAGCAUUUAGAUUAAUUCUGAUUUUAUUUCCUAGUCCAACUUGGUAAAUUAGUGUGAUAAGAAAACAAAUAAUUAGGCGUAUCAAGUACCUAAGGACUAAUUGAGAAGAUUGAGACUCCUCGAUCUUGACUUCAUUCUGAGGAGGAUUAUUCUCAAAUGGUGUUCAAAACUUGCUUGUGCCAAGAGUUACUUUUACUCAACUUGGCUCUAGGAUUAUACUCAAUUAGGUUAAGAAUAACUAAGGCUGAACUCGGCCUUUUUGAGGGAAUAUGCUCAAACUAAGUUGAGACUUACUUGGACUUAUAUGCGAACUAGGUUGAGACUUGCUCGAAAUUGUUUCAAGCCAUAAAUGAAAUGUUCCUAAUGAGGUUGAAAUCUGAGCAAGACUCGGAUGCCCUUAUGAUAAAUCAUAAUUAGUCAAUGUCGAAACUCAAUUGUGCUAAAAAUAAUAAUGGUCAAUCACGAUUGAGAUUCACCUAGGUUAGACUUAAUCCUUAGCUGCCUAACUUGUGUGGCAAUCAUAUCAGCAUUGUUGCCUUUAUCUUUGGUUUCUUUUAACCAAAUAUAAAAUUAUAUCAAGCAUGAUGCAAUGUGACACUAUUCCAUCUGGAAGGGUUCUGCAUAGGGUGAGUUUAAUAUCUUUUGUAUUAUGUUUUAUCAUUAAUUUUCUACAUAGUAUUAAUUAGCAAACUAUCUUGAGAUCAACAUCGCAAAACACUUUAAAAAUUUUCUAAAGAGCUAUGGAGAUGCAUGUCAGUAGGAGAAAGAAACGUUAUAUCUCAGGGAGGUAAGCAGCAAUAUGUCACGGGUUCUGGAAGGGUUCUGCAUAGGGUGAGUUUAAUAUCUUUUGUAUUAUGUUUUAUCAUUAAUUUUCUACAUAGUAUUAACUAGCAAACUAUCUUGAGAUCAACAUCGCAAAACACUUUAAAAAUUUUCUAAAGAGCUAUGGAGAUGCAUGUUAGUAGGAGAAAGAAACGUUAUAUCUCAGGGAGGUAAGCAGCAAUAUGUCACGGGCCUAGUUUCGCCACUUCCUAACUACACUAGCGCCAUACGGCCUCAAUGCUUCACAGCUCCCAUCUCCCACUAGAUAGCUUUAAGCCUUUAACUAAUGAGGAUAAAUUAUAUGUUUACUUUGGUGGAAAACUUCCUCUCAAGUAUUUUUUCUCUGCUAAAAUAUUACUCAACCUCACUUUUAUUUAUAGGCAAACCCAACAAACUCAAGGGUUCUCAUUGGUAGCCAUUGCAUGUCUCUACACUUACAAGUUGUCAUGUUGCAAGGCCGUAUCCCUUUCCAACCUUAUGCUAAUUAGCAUGUCUCUUUCCAUGGAAAUAGACAAUCUCUACAACUUAUUGUGUAACAUGUGUCCCUAUCAUGGACUUUGCUUCUUCCGUCAAGCUUGGCUUCCUCACUGCACAAGUUGUACAAGUUGGUGUAAACUUGGACUUAGCAUCCACUUGCAUCCAAAAUCACCGGCAAUAGUUUACAGCCUUUCAUAAUAGUGAUUUUCAAAAACAUAACUUCUGUCCUUGCGUCCCUUGCAAACGUUUUUCCCCAUCUGCUUGUGUUCUGUUUGUUCAAUUGUCUAUGUCCUACCUACCUAGCUCGAUUGCAAAUUUUGCUUAUGUUUUGUUUAUUUAAUCUGCUUGUGUUGCUACUUACGUUCUUGAGCUGUAGUGCAUGCCCAAUCUGUUUGAAUUUUUUCCUUUCCACGUCCCCCUACUAUAAUGACUAUGCUGGUCUUACCUGUGUCCCCUUCCAUAGUUCUUGUGUUUUCUCAAAUUGUGAUCCCUACCGCAGGUAGUUCUGCUCAGUCAUGGUGCACUAUUUGCGCUACCUAAUUCUACCUGCGCCUCAUAUAGCAAGAAGUUACUAUGCAUGCUUUAAACAUUAUCACUUUCUUUCCUUUGUGGUAGUUCCCUCGACAAAUCUGUUGGCAUCACGUCCUUAUAUUAAACAGUUGGAUUCAUCCACAUCUUGGCUAUCUAUGACCUCUAGUUUUCUCCUCGAGAUGGACGCCAAUGAUCAUAGAUUAGGAUAAUCCCGCAUGAGAUGUGGCCCUUUGCAUAUUUGAAUCAACCACUAGGAGCAAAAUUACAUUUUUAUCUUCAUAAACCUUCCUCCAAUUAGUUUUUUGUUGCCAUUGGGCUUAUAUUCGACUUUGGGAUUUGGUCUCCAAUUUGGCUUACGCCACCCCUACCUUUACCAAAAGUUCCUUUGGUUAGUUUGAAGGUCCUUUGCUUGCGUCUUCGUACUCCUUUGGAAUUCGUCAAAGAUUUGACAACCGUAAUUGCCUUAUCUACAUCUUUGAUGUUGUGAUGUUGUAAUUCUUGCCACACCCAUGUUGCACAACCAUCCAUGAAAUAGAAUAGCAAGACAUUUUUUGACAUGCUUGGGAUUUGAAGCAUAAAGGUCGUGAACUCUUUGAAGUAGUCAUGAAUGAUACCUUUAUGUUUCAAGUUUCUUAGUUUCUUGCGGGCCUCAAACACAACAUUCUCCAACCAUGCUGGAAGAUGAUUUAAUGUUCUAAUUUUUAGACUAAUGUACUUGUUGGGCACGACAAGAGUCAAGUCACGGAGUCAACCGUGAUGCCUGAUUGUGGUUGUUUUUGAGUUUGCAAGCAAAUUUUCCCAUUUCCAAGCUAUAUACGAUAGUUACCGUUGACCUCGCAAAUUGGACUCUCCAUGUGGUCAAUCGAGAGCCACUCCAUUUGUUCCUCCCUAUGCACAAUAAUGAACGGUCAGACAUAUACGGCCAAUACCAGCAGGGUGCACACUAUGUCGGUCAAAAUCAGUGGACGGUGAUAUGAAGUAGAGAAGAUUACCCUUAUCUCUUGUCUAGCCUUUGGUGUUUAUAGGCAAAGGGCACCGCUAGAUGUGGGUGUCGUAUAUGCAUCUCAUGGUAUGAGGUCAUUAGCCGCAUCCUAAGGGGGCAGGUAAUUAAUUCUUCUGACAUGUGAGUUGACAUAAGGCUGCGAUGUUGCAUCAAUCAAUUCAUAUAGUUAAGGGAAUCCUGACACAGGGAUACAUCUCUAAAACUGAUGGUAGAGGGGCCUCUGCACUCCUUCACCGUUUGAUGCCUCAUCUCCUCACAAUUUAAUGUCAAAGGAUGCCUCGAAUAGUAUCACUUAGGUUAUACCUGUGCCUCAUAAGCACGUGGUUACUUCGGGCGUAAUACUGGUCUCCCCAAGUUCGAGUUGUGGCUGCUGUUUAAAGGCUCAAAAGCUUCACAUCUUCAAUCAAGGCAACGUUUCAACCACAUGGGACUACGUGUCAGGAAGGUUGAAGCUCUGUAAAGUUGAGGAGUACAUCUUCAACCGAGGGGUGUCACAGCAGGGGAUGAUGCUUUGUAAAGCUUUGACUGAGGCGUGUCACCGCAGGGACGACACUUUGUAAAGCUUUUGUAAUGUUUCGACUGAGACGUUGACCCACAGGGAGACGAUGCCUAGGAGAUGACUUGAAGCUUUCACAGCGCUUCGACUGAGGCGUUGACCCACAGGGGAUUACAGGAUUGAAACUCUGUAAAGCUAGGUUGUGAUCCAAAACGUGUAGCAUGGAGUCUUGAAUGAUGUGUCACUAGGAAGAUGGUUGGAUACGAUGACAAAAAAGGCUUUCGUAACGCUUCAAUCGAGGCGUUGAUCCACAUGAGACUACUCUUCAACCGAGGUGCUGACCCAUAGGAGGAUGACGCCUAGGAGAUGGCCUGAAGUUUUGUAAAGCUUUCGUAAUACUUUGACCGAGGCACUGACCCACAUGGGACUACACAUCAGGAGAGUUGAAGCUCUGUAAAGUUGAGGAGCACAUCUUCGAUCGAGGAGCUCUGUAACUCUAUGAAUCUGCUUUGCAACUAAUUGGAUUAAUUUCUGACAUAAGCAUUGGAGGCCUACUAUUUGAAGCAUCUUUGUAUGGAAAGAUUGGUAAUCCUGACCUGAAAUAUCCAGCAUGCAUCAAAAAGCAAUUGUACCUGCACGUGGUGUUAAAUUUUGCUCUUCACAUUGCUCAAGCCAUGGACUGUUUAAACACAAACGAAAUUAUAGAUAGAGAAUUAAAACUUGGUAUUUGAUUGGGCAAUGAGCAAUUAAAGAUUUUAUUCAUCUAUAAUAUUGUUAUAUUGUGUAGUUUCGAACAAUUUUAUUAUUUCAAUGGAGAUUUUAAUAUUUUGUUCACCAGGAUUUCAUAUUGUGUAGGUUAGUUUGAAGGGGUAUUUUAAUAACAAGUAGGUAAAUAUAUAUGUCACAAUAUGUUGUCAUUUUCUUUUUAGUUUUAUUAUCUGGGUUGUUAUGCUAUCCAUCCCCAAAGGAGUAAAAAGAGAGAAAUAGAGGAAAAAAAGGAUGAGCUUAAAUCAAUUUUGAAACUUAUUUAUGUUGUGCUCAAUGACAUAUAUCUAUUUCUUACCAUAGGCAAUUGAUGCUUAUAUUACCCGGCGAAGCAGAAAAAGAAUGCUAUGAAAAGCGAAGCAUUUCUAUUCUAUAUGACAACUGAGAACGCCAUUGCCUGUGAGUACUUGUAGACAUAAUUCUUUAGUGAGGGUUUUCCUUUCGAGUCUUUGUCUUUACAUAUGUAGGAGGAAGAUCUAUUUGUAUUUUAAGUACGAGCACUAGUUGGAUAAAUCUUGUAUUAUUUGUCUUUUUUUCAAUAAUAUUAUUGUUCUUAUUCCACAUGUAAAAUGAUUUCUUGUGUUUUGAAACAAUAUGACCUAAUAAGUUUCUUUGCAUGCUCAGUAAGGGAAAGUUCAUUCCAAUGUAGUUAUAGCAAACAUUGAGUUGAAUGCACGAGAAAAGACACUUAUAACUAAAAGAGCAAACCAACCCCUGAUUGAAGGAGCUUUAGAACACUCCUUUCCACUUGAGAAACUAUCACACCAUAGAGCAAAAGAGAGGUGAAAUCAAUGAACCCAAAAGAAAAUAUUUACAUAGUAGAUUAUAGACAAUGAUAAGAUCGAGAAAAUUAGUGGGAUAUAGACCCAGAAAAACAUGGAAAUUAAGAUAAUAUUUCAUGCACAUUGAUUGUCGAGUUUUCUAACUUUGACCAAGAACCAUGAAAUGAUCGUAUCCAAAUCUUCAAGCAAGUGUACUCUCCAGCAAUAAGAUUCAGAUAGUAGCCGAAAAGAAAAUUCCAUCUGUUGUUUUUUAGAGAAAUACUGCAAACCAUAUUAUUCAAGCACAUUCUUUACUUAAUUACGACAUAAUCAUGCAUAUAACAUUGUCAAAGGAAGUGUCAUUAUCAGAACUUACAAAUUAUCACCACUGGGGAUUAUCAAACAAUGAAAAUGAACUAUCACAAACAUUUGAUUAUGAGAAAAAAAUUAGUAUUAGCGAACACAAAGAGGGUGGAGGAGGAUGAUGUUUAUGAGCAAAAACAACGAUAAAAGAGAAGUAGAAUGUUGAGUUAAUAGCCAAUUAAUUUGAAAAAUUGCACACAAUAAAAACUCCUCAAUAUCAAUAAAAUAGAAAUAUGAUGUUUUGACAAAUUAUAUUUCGUGUUCACGGAUGUUCUUAGCAUAUAAAUAUACUAAAAAUGUUUACACAUUAGAGUGAAAGUGAAAGAUGUUAAUUGUCGUAUCGAAGGGCGAGUAGUUUGCUCCCCACGACAUUUAGGAGAACAUAAUUAAUGAUUUGAUUCCAAUUUUUAAAUUUAUUCUAGGAAACAUAAUUAAUGAUUUGAUUUCGUUGAUUUUAUAAUAAUUUCCUACUUUAAUUAGGACUAGUUAAACCUAUAUAAAUGAGUCGUUUACGUUAUAAUACAACCUUUUGAUUAUGAAAUGAAUUGAUAUUCUCCCCUCAUCUCUUUCUAUUCUCUCCCCAUUCUUUUCUCUUUUCACCCUCAUUUAUCCUCAUCUCUCCCUCUUAUCAUUCUCCUAUAAUUCUCUUGUUGUAUUUGGUGUCAAUUUAGUUUCAGAGUUCAAUUCUUUUCCUUCGACCAAUAAAUUCCACCUCCACACUUCAACUAACCAUUUCAACCUUCAAGAAUUGAACCAUAACAACCAACAAAUCCCAUUUCAUCGGAACAGUAAAAAAACUCAAAACCUACUUUAAACUACCAAAAAAGGGCUGCACAGUAGCUGUCUUUUUCUCGUGAAUAGUUUUAGCAGUUGGAAAAAAAAGUCCCAAAAAAAAAGCAGUUAGUUCACCUAUUAUGUAGAUGAUGUUUUCGAUUUGAAGGAAAAAAAUGGAGGUUUAAUUUUCCAUCACCGAAUUAUUGCUGCAUUACUUACUGUGCAGUUUAACAAAAACCCCAAUAUACACACUCCAAACAUUCAACCUAUACUAGCCCUAUCUACAAACCAACCCCUUAUAUAGUCCAAAACAUACUCUAGCUUAUAACUCAUUAUCCAAUUUACCCAGCCCAAAUUUUGUAUAAAGUCAACAAUGUUAAACAAAUCCCAACAACACAUAACCCAAUAAAAACAAUAGUAUACCCAAGCCUAUAUCACAACAAAAAAAUAAAAAUAAAAAAAUUCGAUAGUUCCACACAACGCUGCCCAACCCAAGCCCAAUUGCCAACAAAAUUAAGCAGCCCGUAUAACUCCUAAACUUAGCACAUUCACCCAAAAUCCUUCAAACUGAUCCAAAUCUGAUCCCACUCUUCCUUCAUGCCCUAAGUCCAACCGGCUUACUCUCGUGAAUGUGAACACCAUAUCAUUUUCGCUACUCCCAACCCACAACAACGACUUUAAUUGUGCCAAAUCAUCGACCCGCCCUACAGCAACUGUAAUACACCAAAACACCCAACCCAUACCAAAUCCCCAGCCAUAUAUCUCACCUCUGCCCACCAUCGCCAAAUAUAUUGCCUCCACUCAAAACCAGAUCACCUUUCACCGCUGGCCACUACUAUCAAUCUCACUAGAACCUUCAUUCUGGUCUCUCUGAUUGGUAUCAAUGUUUGGGUUGUAUUUCAAACUUGGUUCUAUUAGCUUACAAUGGAAAAAAAAAAGAGAGGAGAAAAACUAAAAAAAGAAAAAAGAAAAGGGAGAGUAAGAAAAGAAAAAAGAAAAAGAAAUUUCCUAACAUUAUUUGCAGGUGAUAUUUUAUUCAUGUUGAUUGAUUCAAUUAUCGUCGUGCCACUGUAGUCUUGCCAAUUUGAAAAACAUGAUUGUGACAUUGUUUGACUCCUUCAAAUCUUGAGAGGUACAGUUUUUAAUCGAAGGGAAAAGUGAUAUGUAGGAAUAUAUUGAUGGAGGUCUUCCAACUCCUGAUCAAGAGAAGGACGAGGAGAAGUACCUUGCUUAGAGAACCAAAUCUUCUUGAAUUAUGGUUUGGAUCAUCAGAUUUCUUGAUGUUCAGAUUGUUCUUAAUCUCAGGCCUUAAAAGUUUGCUUGUGCUAUGUAGGAAUUUUUAAAGAAAUUCUACACUCAAAACAACAAUACUUGACAACUUUAGUUAGAAUUUAAAUGGGCAAAUUUUUCUCAAAACUCUCUCUCCAAUGAAAAGUUUUUAUUCUCAUUUUUCUAACCUUUGGAUAGACAAAAAUUAUUCAUGCAUCAGUUUCACCUAGGGGUUUAGAGGUUGUACAAGGUAAUGCAUAAAGUCACCAAGAGGGAUCAAUUUCUCAUGAAAUUGCAUCCUAAAUUUGAAUCUAUUUGAUCCAGUCUUAUGAAUUGCGAAUAUAUUCCAACGUUGGAUGGUUGUUUGGAUGAGCUAUUAAAAGAAGAGUAAUGACUUAUCACUCGUACUUCUUUGGAGCAACAACAAAAUCAAAUAUCACCAAUUCAUGUUGCAUAUGCUACUCCAGGGAAACUCAGACAUUGAGAUAUGUCCAAUGUGCAAUGUUACAGUUGUAAAGGGUUUGGUCACAUGUCUCUGUGUCCGAAAAAGGUACGCAAUUAUUGAAAGAAGUCUGGAAAUGUAAUUAAGAAGUGUCCUAUUCACCCUCCAUGCAAGACUGGACCAAGUUAUGUUGUGCUACAACUCUAUCCUCUAAAUUCUGCAAUGCCAGUUCCCUCUAUUCCAGCUCCAACCUCUCUGAAUCCUUCCUCAAACUCCAACACUCCAGAUAUAAUCCAACAAAUGGUUUUUUCUACAUUAUCUACCCUAGACAUCUCAAGUAAUCCAUCGACCGCUUCUCCCUCCUAGCUAUUAGACUCUGGUCCCUUUAAUCACAUGACUCAUGAUCCUUUAUUACUUAAUAACCUUAGACCAUAUAUUGGUCCGCUCAAUAUACAUACUGUCGAUGAUGAUCAUUUGUUACUUAUUAACCUUAAACCAUAAGUAUACUACUGAUGAUAACACUCUUCCUAUUAUAGCCAUGGGUGAUAGAUAUAUCACCAAAUUUAUCUAAUUUGUUAACUAGCCUUAUAUUUGUUGUGAUGUGAACCCGCGUAGGCAAAUGCUAUGGAACCCACGAACAAGAUUGAAAUCUUCCCAAGAAAGCCAAAGCAAGUUUUGGAUUAAAUUCAAUAGAUCUGGGACCAAACAACCCGAAUCACCGACGAUGUGCGGACCUUUUGAUUACACAAAAAUAUGGAAUCUCACCCGGUUGAUUUGAACACCAAAAGAUUAAAUCUUGAUAAGUUCUUGAAUUGUUCAAUUGUAGAACAAGAGUUGAAAGCAAUAUAGCCUCUCAAAUUACAAAUAAUGUCAAAAGGUUCUUACAAUUGAAAAUAAAAUAGUACUUAUACAAGGUCUAAAAAACUAGGUAAAUACGUGCCUAAUAUUUCAAAAUGGUAAGAUAUCUACUAAGUAUCAAAUUCUAUCAAAAAUAGGAAAUUCGCGAAAAAAUAAAAAAAUGCGUGAAAUUUUAACCAUGUGGCCGCAUGGCGUAAAAUCAUGCGGCUGCAUGGAAUAUUUGAAAAUCCUGAAUAAUUCCCUUCUUGCUCCGUUCGACCACAUGACAGUUUUAACCAUGCGGUCACAUGGUUCUUCUCUCCAGCACCAUCUUCGGCUGCUUGUAUCGUGUUGAUCCAAUUGGUUUUGGCCUUCGACCCGAAUAUGAAACUUGUCCCAUUUUGAGUUUCGAACAUGAUUUCAUUGAUGGUUGUCUUGACGAGUAAUUCCAUCCCAUCUUUCACUCACUUUGUCCUCGCUCGUGUCAUAGGUCCACCUUCGACUUUCAACGGAUCUUUCCCCGGGCUUGACAUUGGACUUGAUUUGGUUGCUUGCGGCUCUUGGAUCACAUCAUCCCCUCCCUUUUUGAAAGGAUUCAUUCUCGUAUCUGAACCUGUAUCAAAGAGAGAAAGAUCAGAUAUAUUAAAAGUUGUCGAAACAUUAUACUCACUUGGAAGAUCCAAUUUGUAUGUGUUGUCAUUGAUCUUCUCAACUACUUGGAACAGUCCAUCUCCUCGUGAUAACAACUUUGAUUUUCCUUGCUCUAGGAACCGCUCUUUUCUAAAGUGCACCCAAACCCAGUCUCCUAGUUUGAAUGUGACAAUUUUUCUGCCUUUAUUUACUUGCUCCGCAUAGUGCUUGCUUUUUUUCUCAAUUUGCUCCCGCACCUUUUCAUGGAGUGACUUCAUCAUCUCGGCCUUCCUUUUUCCAUCCAAGCUACCUCGUUCAUUAACAGGCAAAGGUAUUAAAUCCAUAGGUGUUAUAAGAUUAAAAUCAUAAACAAUUUCAAAAGGAGAAAAUGACGUAGUGGAGUGUGGCCCUAUUAUAUGCAAAUUCAAUGAAAGGUAAGCACUCUUCCCAAUUCUUCAAAUUCUUAUUAACUACAGUGUACAAAAGUUGUGUCAUAGUCCUACUCACUACUUCGAUUUGGCCAUCUUUUUGUGGAUGUCAAGUUGUAGAAAAUAGUAGUUUCGUGCCUAACUUACCCCAUAAGACUCUCCUAAAGUGAUUAAGGAACUUAACAUCCCUAUCUGACACUAUGCUUUUAGGUACCCUAUGCAAGCUCACAAUUUCUUCAAAGAACAAAUCUGUAAUGUUAGUGGUGUCAUCAGUUUUGUGACAUGGGAUGAAAUGUGUCAUUUUACUAAACCUAUUCACCACUACAAAAAUUGAAUCUCGUCCCUUUUUAGUCCUAGGCAAACCUGACACAAAGUCCAUUGAAAUAUCUACCCAAAGUUCACUAGGUACUAGCAAAGGUGUAUACAGUCCAUGAGGUAAGACCCUAGAUUUGGCCCGUUUAAAUUUUAUGCAACGACUACAAACCCUUUCUGCAUCAACUUUCAUUUUAGGCCAAUAGAAAUGUUAAGUCAAUAUCUCUAAGUUCUUUGCUACCCCAAAGUGACCUAUAAGUCCCCCACUAUGUGCUUCUCUAACCAGUAAUUCACGCAUAGAGCCAUUUGGAACGCAUAAUUUACUCUCUCGAAACAAGUAUCCCUCAUGUUUAAAGAACUUAUCUAUAUCCCCCCUAUGACAUGAAUUGUAAAUGUCGAAAAAAUCAGAAUCAGUAACAUAAAUGUCCUUAUUAUACUCAAAACCAAGCAAUUUUGCACUUAAAGUAGUUAGAAGCACAUACCUGCGCGACAGUGCAUCUGCUACUACAUUUUCAUUACCUUGUUUGUAACGGAUGGCAUACGGAAAAGUUUCGAUGAAUUUCAUCCAGCGUGCAUGUCGUUUGUUCAACUUACCUUGACCCCGCAAAUGUUUCAGUGACUCAUGAUCUGAAUGAAUUAUAAACUCCUUUGGUCAUAGGUAAUGCUGCCAUGUUUCCAAAGCUCAAACAAGAGAAUAGAGUUCCUUGUCGUAUGUAGGAUAAUUGAGAGCCGCACUACUAAGCUUUUCAUUAAAGUAUGCUAUAGGUCUCUUAUCCUACAUUAAGAUUGCUCCUAUACAUAUUCCUGAUGCAUCGCACUCAAUCUCGAAAGUUUUGUCAAAGUUAGGAAGUGCUAAAAUCCGUGCUUUACACAAAGAAUCUUUGAUAGUGUUGAAUGCAUGUUCUUGCUCUAACCCCCAAUGAAAUCCUACAUUUUUCUUGACAAUUUCAGUUAAGGGUGUGGUGAUUGUGCUAAAAUCUUUAACAAAAACCUAUAAAAACUAGCCAAUUCAUGACAACUUUGAACCUCGGUUAUGUUUUUAGGUGUUGGCCAAUCCUUGAUAGUUUUUAUUUUCUCUUCAUCUACCUCUACACCAUUAGCACUAACCAUAAAGCCUAAGAAUACAACCCUAUCCAUGCAAAAUGUACACUUUUUAAAAUUGGCAUAAAGUUGUUCCUUUCUUAAAACCACAAGCACACAUUUUAGAAGACUCUUGCUAUAGAUUAAAAUGUCGUUAAAAUAAACUACAACAAAUUUUCCAAUGAAAGCACGCAAAACAUGAUUCAUUAAUCACAUAAAAGUGCUUGGUGCAUUUGUGAGUCCAAACGGCAUGAAUAACCAUUCAUACAACCCAUAUUUAGUUUUAAAAGCCGUUUUUCAUUCAUCACCCUCCCUCAUGCGAAUUUGAUGAUAUCCACUUUUAAGGUCAAUUUUACUAAACAAAUAUGCAAUAUGUAACUCAUCUAACAUAUCAUCUACCCUAGGAAUUGGGUGACGAUACUUUACUGUUAUGUUGUUGAUGGCUCUGCAAUCCAUGCAUAUUCUCCAAGACCCAUCUUUCUUUGGCACCAGCAACACAGGUACUGCACAUGGACUCAUGCUUUCCCUUACAUAUCCCUUGCUUAUCAAUUCCUCAACUUGCCUCUGAAGCUCCUUUGUCUUCUCUAGAUUACUCCAAUAAGCCGGUCUGCUCGGAAUGACAGCGCCAGGUAUAAAAUCAAUUUGAUGCUCAAUUCCUCUAAUGGGUGGUAACCCACUUCGCACGUCCUUUGAAAAUACAUCGUCAAAUUCCUGCAAUAAAGAAAUAGCCAAAUUAGGGAGGGAUGUGUUAUGCUCCUCAAAGUUGAGGGGUGACUCCUUGUAAACCAACAAUAUCAUUUGUUGUCUCUCAACUAUUGCUUUUUUCAACUCACUGCCUCUCACAAAGAAAUUUUGUUUCGACUUUUGUCUCAUCUCGGAAGACUCUCUUUCUUUUUUCUCAUGUGGUCCCACUCUUUUUUCCUCUUUAUUGGCCACCUCACUCUUUUGUCUCUAUUUCUCUAACUCUGUCACUCUCAUUUCUUCUUCAUUUUUUAGUUGAACUUGGUCCUCAUAUACUUGUGCCAGUGUUAAUGGCGUGAGAGAGAUAGACCUCCCAUCUUUUAUAAAGUUGUACUUAUUUUUGUACCCAUCAUGCAUUACUUUCCUAUCAUACUGCCAUGGCCUUCCCAACAAAAUAUGCCCCGCAUGUAUAGGUACAACGUCACACAUUACCUUAUCCUGAUAUCUACCAAUGAAAAAAUUAAUCAACACCUAACUUAUCUACAAUGUCAGUGCUAGCUACAUUAGUACAACUACCGCCAUCAAUUAUCACAGUACAUACCUUGCCAUUAACGUGACACCGAGUGUGGAAUAUAUUUUCUCGCUGCUGCUCCAAGUCGUCCGCCUUGAUUUGAGCACUAAGAGCUCGCCCCGUGACCAACAACCUACUGUUAACUACAUAGUUGUAUCUUCCUCAUCAACAUCUUCCAACCCUAGCAUGUUUGCAUAUUCACUUUCACUUUCAAUUUCCACUUCCCCGCUGUCUCGUAGAAUCAUUGUCUUCUUGUUUGGGCAUUGAGAAGCAAUGUGCCCUACUCCCAAGCAUCAGAAACAUUUGAUGUCCCUGUUUCAUGAUGGUUGUGACUCUCCCUUUGGUAUAGGCUUGCUAGCACCCUCUUCCUUGCCUCUUGGUACCUCAGCUCUUCCUCUUGCAGUAUUCCCAUCUCCUUUGUUAUUUAUCCACUUCGAUUUCCAAGAAGAAUUAGAAAUGGAAGAUCCAGAUGGGUGCCUUGCUGUUCCUUUUCGCUUCAACUGCCUUUCUACCUUCAUCGCCACAUGUAAUAUGUCUUCAAUUUCCACAUAGUGCUGCAAUUCCAUUGUAUUUGUAAUUUCUCUGUUCAAUCCACGCAGAAACUGAGCCACGGUAGCUUCACUAUCCUUCUCUAUAUUUGCCUUGAUCAUUAGUGUCUCCAUCUCCUUAUAGUAAUCUUCUACACUCCUGGAGCCUUGAUAUAAAUUUUGCAAUCUUUGAUGAAGCUCCUUAUAGUAGUGAGUAGGUACAAACCUCUUCCUCAUGAUAGUUUUCAAUUCCUCCCAUGUAUUGAUAGGUCACUCCCCACUUCUCCGCCUUAAAGUCACCACCUGAUCCCACCAAGUGAUUGCAUAAUUCGUGAAUUCAAGAAUUGUAAUUUUCACCUUCUUCUCCCCCAAGUAAUUGUGGCAAUCGAAGAUUAACUCAAUUUUCUUUUCCUAGUCCAAGUAGGCCUCCAGAUCACUCCUACCUUUGAAGAAAGGAGUGGUCAUUUUAAUGUUACUCAAGUUUCCAUCCACCUCAUCUCCACCGAGAUUCCUACCUCUCCUUUCUGGUCUAACUCCUCUAUUUCUACCCUUUUAAUAUCCAUAUCCACUAUCGCAUCCUCAUCCAAUCCACUAUCAACCUCGAAUUCAUUAAGCUCCUCCAUCCUAGGUUCCCGCCUACCCUGUCUCUGUGCAUUAAGACCACCUCUUCGGGUAUUGGCAGGCAAUGGAUUUUACCUUUCUCCCAGUGCAUCCUGUCUAUCCAUCCGAUCUCUAAUAUCUACACAUAAUCGCUCAAUCCUACGUACCGUGUCCUCUAGCAUGGAAACCUGAUCAUCAACCCUUUCUAAAUUUGAUCCUUCCCUGUCAGACAUCCUAAAUUGAAAUUAUUUUCUGCAUCACAAGUUUUCACUCGGAAUUUCACUCAAUACGGCUUUUUCCCUCUAUUGCUCUCACCACUUUGCCUUUUUCCACUCGUUGCUUUCACCAAGUCUCCAAAAGAACAAUUUCGGAACUCAAUAAAAAAAAUUAAUCACGUGGAAUUCAGACUGGUGUGAGUGAGAUUACAAAACCAAGGAAUUUAGUUCUGACUAGUAAUUUGGACUAAACAAUUAAAGACUGACUCAAAAACACAAAAUAAAAAAAGAAUUACUGAUUGACUUUUAAAUUAAACACAAAAUAAUAAAUGGAACUAAAGAGAGUCGGUAAAUUUUCCCCAAGAUCAAUAACAACAAUAAUAAUAAUAAUAAUUUUUUUACUGCAUACGAAUGAACAGUACCGUACAGAUGAAGAGUAAACUUUUUUUUAAACUUGAAUUUUUUACUGCAUACAGAUGAACAGUACCGUACAGAUGAACAUUAAUUUUUUUAUACUCUUGGGAUUGAAAAAUCAAAAGUAAGACCGACACAACAAACGGAAGUUGAUUUGGAUGCAAAUUGAAUCCAAAAAUAUCUUUUGAAAUUUUUUUGGAAUUAUUUUUUUUUAUUAAAGACUCAAAAAUAACAACUGACUCGAAGAACAAUAAGAAAAUGGAAUAACUGACUCAACACGAAUUAAAAGGGAUAUAACCUUGGAUUGGAGCCAAGCUCUGAUACCUACUGAUGUGAACUCGCGUAGGCAAACGCUACAGAACCCACGAACAAGAUUGAAAUCUUCCCAAGAAAGCUAAAGCAAGGUUUUGGAUUAAAUUCAAUAGAUCUGGAACCAAGCAACUUGAAUCACCGAUGAUGUGCGGACCUCUUGAUUACACAAAAAUACGAAAUCUCACUCGGUUGAUUUGAACGCCACAAGAUUAAAUCUUGAUAAGUUCUUGAAUUGUUCAAUUGUAGAACAAGAGUUGAAAGUAAUAUAGCCUCUCAAAUUACGAAAUAUGUCAAAAGGUUCUUACAAUUGAAAAUAAAAUAGUAUUUAUACUAGGUCUAAAAAACUAGGUAAAAACGUGCCUAAUAUUUCAAAUAUGGUAAGAAAUCUACUAAGUAUCAAAUUCCAUCAAAAAUAAGAAAUUCGCGAAAAAAUAAAAAAACGCUUGAAAUUUUAACCAUGCAGUCGCAUGGUGUAGAAUCAUGUGGCCGCAUGGAACAUUCAAAAGUCCCAAAUAAUUCCUUGCCUCACUUCGUGCGACCGCAGGACGGUUUUAACCAUGCGGUCGCAUGGUUCUUCUCUCUGGCUCCAUCUUCGGCUGCUUGUAUCAUGUUGAUCCAAUUGGUUUCGGCCUUCGACCCAAACAUGAAAUUUGUCUCAUUUCAAGUCCCGAACAUGAUUUCAUCGAUAGUUGUCUUGACGAGUAAUCACAUCGCCUCUUUUACUUGCUUUGUCCUCGCUCGUUUCAUAAGUCCACCUUCAACUUUCAACGGAUCUUUCCUCGGGCUUGACGUUGGACUUGAUUUGGUUGCUUGCAGUUCCUGGAUCACAUCAUGUUGGCCAACUUGUUGAUAACAAUUCCAUUGUGUCUUUUUCUUCUUCUGGUUGUCAUGUGCACGAUUAGCUGUUCAAGAGGACGAUCAUGAAAGGGCUUCUGUUACGUUUAAUAUUUUGGUUUGGCAUAAGAAAUUUAGACAUCCCAAUUCUAAUGUAUUACAACAUUUGUUUAAUUCUAGUUUGCUCGGUAAUGAGAAUUCUACCUAGGUUUUGUUAUAUCUCUUGAUUGUGCUUCGUGUAAAUUGGUUAAGAGUAAGAUUUUACAAUUUCCAUCUCAUUGUUCUUAUGCUUCCCAUAUUUUUGAUAUUGUUCAUAGUAAUGUAUGAGGGAUUACACCUGUAGUAUCUGAUGCUCAUUACAAAUAUUUUGUUACUUUUAUCGAUAAUUAUAGUCAUUUCCAUGGGUUUACUUUCUUUGCACAAAAAGUGAGGUGCCUUUCAGGCUUUCCUUGAUCGUAUAGAUAACCAAAUUUCUCCUAGUUCAAAAUUUUGAGAUCUGAUUCGGGAGGUGAAUAAAUGUUUAAUGCGUUUCAAUCUUUCUUACAGACCAAAUUUAUUAUUUCUCAGCGAUCUUUCCCUUCGACUCCUCAUCAAAAUUGGGUGGUAGAAUGGAAGAAUCGUCACCUUCUCAACAUUUUUAGAGGUCUUCUAAUUGAGCCUUCUAUUCCCUCUUGUUUCUGGUGUGAAGCAUUGUCUACCACUGUGCAUCUCAUAAAUCUAUUACAUUCUCCCACACUUAAUAAUGUUUCUUCAUUUUAUAAGCUCAUUGGCCAUCAUCCUACAUAUUAUCAUCUUCGUCAUUUUGGUGUGUGUUUUGUUCAUUUACAGCCUCAUGAAAGGACAAAACUCACUUCGCAAUCCGUCAAAUGUGCCUUUCUAGUAUAUGGUGGGACUUAAAAAAGAUUUAUCUCUUAUGAUCCUAAGACACAAUGAAUUACAAUUUUUCAUAACGUUGUUUUCUUUGAAAAAUAAUUUUUCUCCACUUCAGAAACUGAUGUUCCCUGAUAAAAGGUGAAAAAUUGAUGUCAUAUAGGUAAAACUCAAUGGUUGAACGAGAAAUUGAAAGAAAGAAGCAAAAACUAGUGAAAAGGUGAAAUCCAAAUUAUGGGGACUAAAUUGCAACAUUUCAAUAGUUGAUUUGGACCAUGAAAUGAAAAUUGAAGAUGUUACGGAUACAAUUGGAUGCUAUUAGAAGUUAAAGGGCAAAAAUUGCUAGAGAAAAUGUCUUAAAAUAAUUAAGAAUCAAAUUUGGGGAUCAAAACUCGAAGUUUGAAAGAUCGUAUAAUUGGGUGACUGCCCAGUUAUAAAUUCGGGCAACUACUCGACUUACGAAUAAAAAUGAUGACUUCAAACUUUGCUUAGGCGAGUGCCUCAUUUCCUACUGAGCGACAGCCCAGGCCAAAAUCUCAGUUCGUAACCAAUUUCCUUUUUAAUGCCAAAUUCUACAUGGAAACCACUUCCAUGCAUGAUUCUUGACCUAAAAACCUAUAUAAAUACAAAACAUGGACAGUCAACAAAAAAAAUCAUUCCAACACCUCUCAUAUACAUCUCACCUUUCAAUAUUCAUCAAUUAUUACCAUCAAAAGAGGAAAAUUCAUAGUUUUGUGAAAGAAUUGAAGGAGACUUGCAAGAAUUCAAUCAAACGGAGAUUCAAAUUUGAUUUUCGGGGAAAAAAUAGAGGGGGUGAAUGGAGAUUCAUCAAGAAACCAUUGAAGAUAUUCAAAAUUCAAGAUUCAUCUUCAUCUUCACAAUUAAUCAAAAGUCCGAGUUAUGUUUUUCACUUAAAUAUGAUUUCUUACGAUUUCAAUAUAUUGUGCUAGUUUUAUACAUUGCUAGGAUCACAUAAUAUGUUUAGUUUUAUACAUUGCUAGGAUCACUAUAGUUUGGUUUGAUUUGUGGAUGUUUAUUAUCAUUUUUAUCGUUCUUUUCAAUUGCUUGAUCAACAAUUGAAAUUGUUAGUGGAUUUUAUUGUUAUCGAGAGAGACAAUAGGGUUUAAGCACGAUAUAAUAAACAUUGUAAGGUUCGAUGGAGGAUGAAGAUGUACCUGUAUGCUUAUAUGGUUUUCAAUAGGUAUUCUAGUACUUGUUAAUGCGUUUAUCAUGUUUGCAUCUUUCAUAAAGAGAUAGAAGGAUCACAUGAGGGCAAUAGAUUUGAUCGCUAUUGAGAGAGACUUUUGAUUAAAUUAGAAACAUUGUCUAACAUGAAUGAUGAGACUUUUGAUUAAAUUAGAAACAUUGUCUAACAUUAAUGAUUUCAAACUAUCAGUUUAAUAGUUACACUAAAAAUGGAAUGGAAUAACAAUGAGGAUUCGACAUCUUAGCAAUACUUUCAUAUAUUUGAAAAAACCCAUUAAAUCACUUACUUGUUGAAUUGAUAAUUUAGACAUUAAUAUAGAAAACUCAAAACUCGUAACUAUUCAAUUAGUUUCGACACUCUAUUCACUACUUUUUUACUUGUUCACGAUCUCAUCCACUUGGAGGAAAUCAAACGAUCAAGUUUUUGGCGUCGUUUCUGGGAGAACUAUUGUUUUUACUAAUUUUAGUUAAUUUUAGCCUUAAUAUGUAUUUUAUUGUUUUUUUGUUGUUUAUUAUAUUAGAAAAGGUCCACAAUGUUUCUUGCUUUCUUUUUCAGGACCUUCUAUGUGAAGUUCGAGAAUCGAUGAUCUUGCUCAAUUUGACCCAGAGAUAGAACGAACAUUCUACCUUCGAAGAGGACAAUAGUUGAAAACACACCAAAAAUAGAAAGAGGAAGACAUAGAAAAUGAAAUUUCGAAUCAAAUAGCCAUAGGGACUAAUCUAGAAGCAGUAUAAUCGAAUGUGGUUGCAGCUAACAAAAACACAAUUCUCAUGGGAAAGUAUAUGGUUCCACUGCAGAUGUUAUCAACAUGUUCCAAAAUGCUCUACAAUUAUUUAGAAAAGCUACGGAUAAUUCCAAGGCUCAUGUUUUAAGAUUUUUGGACAUAAGUGUAACUAUCAAGUAUGCUGGGGUGUUAAACAAAGCAAUCAGACUGAGGCUCUUUCCAUACACAUUAAGAGAUUCGGCAAGGGAGUGGUUAGCCACUCGUCCACCGUAGAGCAUCACUACAUAGAACCGAGUUAGAAAUUUCUUAACAAAUAUUUCUUGCUGAAAAGGAUUGCAAAGCUAAGAGAUGAGAUUACUACCUUUCAACAACUAGACUCAGAAUGCUAUUCAGAGGCUUGGAAACAAUAUAAAGGUUUAUUUCAUCAAUGUCAACAACAUGGAUUGUCGAAGCGACUUCAAGAGCAAUACUUCUAUAUUGGCCUUUAGCAUGGCUAACGUGGACUUUGCGUGCUAUGGUUUUAUUACAAAAGGAACCGCAGAUCAAGAUUAUUAAAUCAUGGAGGAUUUAGAAUUGACCAAUGUGCUUUGACCUAUUGAAAGGACAAGUGGAAAGAAACCUAAUGGGGUAUUUGAAAUUGAUUCUCUAACUGCAUUUUCGGCACAUUUGCCAUCAUUGGCACAUAAAGUGGAUUAGAUGAAUGCAAACCAGAUAGUGGGAUCAAGAUGCAAACAUUGUAGAGGGCACCACGAAAGUGUUGAUUGUAAUUUAGGAUCUAAUUUUGUUCAGACAGUGGAGGAUGUGAACUACACUCAGCAGUUUCAAAGACAACAACACAAUUCAAGUCCUAACAUGUACUACCCAGGCUGAAAAAGUUACCAACGCUUUCAAUGGAGUAAUAAUCAGGAGGCUCAAAUACACAUGCAAAGAAUAGAUAAAACCUUGCAAAUUUAGGGAGCUACCAUCAAGAACUUGGGAAAUUAGAUGGGACAAAUGGCAAAAGCACUUUGAAAGAGACUAGCAAGAGCACUACCCAUUGAUACAGAGACAAAUCCCAAACAACAGGUAAUGGUAGUGAAGGUUUUGGACGAAGAGCAUUGCCUUAGUUAUGCCUUACACUUGCUUAAAAGAAUGUGACUCUUGAUGAAAGACAAUUAGCCUAGUCGAGCCUUGGCGGUCGAAGCAAUCAAAUAAAUGCAGAAUUUUUGUUCAUUGAUGUGUUGAUUUGCAAUUAGUGAUGUCUACUUGAACUUGAGAGGGCUCAUAAGGGUAACAAUGAAAAAUUAAACCUUAGAUUACACAUUGCAAACAAGUAAAAAGAAGAAAAUUGGUGGUGUGUAAGUCAUACGAGAAAUGUAAGGAUAUAUUUGAUCGUAGAGGAUUGGGAAUUGAAACAACUUGUGUAUUCAUGAUUGAUUACUUAAUUUUUCACAGUCACAUCGAUUUUGCGUAGAAAGAGUGGAUAUUGGUUUGGUGUUGUAACUUUGAAGCAUGUUCACGGAAUUAACUCUGAGAUCUUGAAUCCUGAGGAAAAAAGCUAGAUUGCCUGACAAAAUAUUUCUGCAUGAUUAUGUGUUUGCUGUUAUUUAGGUUAUUGUUUUGUUUCAGGACAAACAAAUGUUUAAGUUUAGGGGUGUUUGAUAAGUGUAUAUUAUACACUUAUUCAGAGCCUAAAAUAGGGGUAUUUGCUAGUUCCUUUGACAAAAUAUAUCCUAAAUGUUGUAUUUUAUGUCAUAUACAACUUAAUGGUUGAACGAGGAAUUGAAAGAAAUAAGGGUCCGUUUGAUUGCAAAGAUAAAAUUUGGAUAGAAAGAAAAUGAAUUUUAGGGAAUUGAAUUGCCUAGAAAUUAUUUUACUGGGAAUUGUCAAUUAUUGUUGAAAUAAAAGUAUUUUUUGGUGUUCGUUUGGUUUUGUUUUACAUGAAAAUUAUAAAUUAAAAAGAUAGAAUUUGUUUCUAUUGCAAAAAAAAAAAAAAAAGUUUUAAAGAUACGUUUGUCUUUGUUUUACAUGAAAUUGUCAAUUUUAGGGAUAUUCUCUUUUACAAUUGUUCCUAGAAUUUGGUACCAUUGCCAAAAAUUUUCAAAAAAACAAAAAGAGGUGAAAAACGUAAAAUCACCUACCUCAUGGGAAAAUGAUUCCUCAAAAACAAAGAAUUGAUGCACGUAUGAGGCAAAGGUGGAAAACCAAUUAAAUAGAAAAUUUUCGCCAUCAAACAAGCCAAAAGUGGGAAAUGGAAUUUUUUUUCCAUUUUCCAUGGAAAAUUUUGUGUUAUCAAACAUGGCCUAAGUGAAAUUUUGUGAAAAAAAGGUUAAAUCCAAAAUAUAGGGACUAAAUUGUAACAUUCCAAUAAUUGAUUUGGACCAUGAAUGAAGAUUGAAGAUGCUACAGGCUCAGUUGGAUAUAAUUAGAAGUUAAAGGAUGGAUACAAUUAGAAGUUAAAGGACUGAAAUUGCAAGAGAAAAUGACUUAAAAGAAUCAAGAAACGAAUUUAGGGACCAAAAUGCAAAGUUUGAAAGAUUGUAUAACUGCCAACUGCCCAAUUAUAAAUUCGGGCGAUCGCCCAACGUACGAAAUAAAAAUAGUGACUUCAAACUUAGCUUGGGUGAGUGCCCCAUUUCCUACUGGGUAACAGCCCAGGCCAAAAUCUCAGUUCACGACCUAUUUUCCUUUUCAUUCCAAAUUUUACACUGAAACUACUUCGUUGCAUGAUUUUUGACCUAAUUUCACCUCUAUAAACACAAAACAUAGGUAGCCAAUAAAAAACUCUCUCCAGCUCCUCUCUCAUAUACAUCUCAUUCCCCAAUACUCAUCAAUUAUUAUCAUCAAAGGAAGAAAAUUCAUUUUUUUUGUGAGAGAUUUGAAGGGGACUUGCAAGAAUUCAAUCAAGUAAAGAUUCAAACUUGAUUUUUGGGAAAAGAAGAGAGGGUGCAAGUUGAGAUUCGUCAAGUAACCAUUGAAGAGAUUCAACAUUUUAAGAUUCAUCUUCAUCUUUUCAAUUUAAAAAAAUUUGGGUUAUGUCAUUUCACUUAAAUAUGAUUUCUUGUAUUUCAAUAUGUUAGGCCGGUUUUAUACAUUGUUAGGAUGAGAUAAACCCUUGUUAUGAUAUUUUUGGUUUUUAAUUAAUUAUUUGACUUUAGUUUGUUUUGAUUUGUGAUGUUUCCUUUUAUUGUUAUUUUCAAUUGCUUCAUCACCAAUUGAAAUUGUUAGUGAAUUUUAUUGUUAUCGAGAGAGAACAGGGUUUAAGCACAAUUAUAAGGUUUGAUAGAUGAUAAAGAUAUACUUCUAUACUUUGGCCUCAUUUGGUAGCCAUUUUUCUCAAAAUGCAUUUCUCUCUCUUCUUUUCAACCACACAUUCUUUAUUAAAAUAAUAUCCAUUUUUCUCAAAAUGUAUCUCUCUCUUCUUUUCAACCACAUAUUUUUUAUUAAAAUAAUAUUACACGUAAAUAAAAAAAAAUUUCCUUAUUUCUCAACCACACAUUUCACAUCAAUUUACUAUUCUAAAAUGUAUUUUUACAUAAAAAUAUCUAUCAAACACCCCUUUAUAUGAUUUUCAUAGGUGUUCUAACACUUGUUAAUGUAUUUAUCAUGUUUACAUCUUUCAUCGAGAAAUAAAAAGGGUCACAUGAGGGGAAUAGAUUUGAUUGCCAUCGAGAGAGGCUUUCCAUUAAACUAGGAACAUUGAUUAACAUGAAUGAUUUCAAAUUAUCAGUUUAAUUGUUACACUAAAAAUGGAAUAACAAAUGGGAUUCGACAUCCUAGUAAUACUUUCACAUAUUAAAAAAAACCAAUUAAAUCGCUUCCUAGUUUAAUUGAUAAUUUAGUUAUUAGUAUAGAAAACUCAAAAUUUGUAGCUAUUUAAGGUUGUUAUUGAUUUGAACUCGAACAAAUACAUAAUCCUUAUGGGUUCGACACUCUAUUCACUACUUUAUUACUUGUUCAUGAUCCUGUCCAUUUGCGAAAAAUCAAACGAUCAUUUCCCCUCCCAUGUUCUCCGUCUAACCGAUUUUCCUACAAUUUUCUCUCAAUACAAGCCAUUUCUUAUUUACACUCACAUGAAUGCUACACCGAUCAUUUAUCCCGAGGUUAUUUCUCGAACGACUAUCCUUCCAAGCCUUCUUGAUCCUCCAUAACAUUAGAUUAUUCACCAGAUGAUUAUUUGCCUCCUGCCCACUUUUCGUCAUAGUUCUCGUGUCUCUCGUCCACUAGAUAAGUAUGAUUUUUCCUCCCAUAGCUCUGUGUCUGUUAUCCUUAACAGAGAUUCUAUACCUUCCUAUAGACAAGCUAUGGAACGAGUGUUAGCAAGAGGUAAUAAAUGUAAAACUUGAGGUUCUUAAGACCGACCAAACUUAGGAUGUUGUACCUUGUCCGCAGGCUAUGAAACCCAUUGGAAGUAAAUGGGUAUGUUUAGUCAAGUUUCAUUCUGAAUGUUCUCUUGAGCGCUAUAAGGCUCGACUAGUCACCUUAGGUAAUCGUCAAGAAUAUGAAAUCGAUUAUGUGAGACAUUUGCUCCUGUGGCUAAAAUGACCAUCGUACGCCCAUUGUUAUCUUUUGCCGCUUUUCAAUCUUAGUCUCUACAUCAAAUUGAUAUUAAAAAAAACAUUCUUACAUGGUGACCUAAAAGAAGACAUUAAUAUGAAGCUCUAUCUAGUAUGCUUCUUUCCUCAGCUGACUCUAUAUAUAACCAAAAACAUUCUAUGCAUGGUCUUAAGCAAGCUCCUCGAAUUUGGUUUGAAAAGUUUCUCCAUACUACCUUGGAUUUCUCCUUUGCUCAGAGUAAAUAUGAUGCAUCUUUGUUUCUUCAAAAGAGUACUGCUAGCAUUGUUCUCUUGUUGGUCUCUGCGGACGAUAUUAUUAUCUUUGGAUCAGAUCACACCUUUAUUCAAAAGCUUUAGCAAUAUCUUCACUCAGUUUUCAUAUAAAAGACCUUGGUCAUCUGACUUACUUUCUUAGUUUAAAGUUUUAUACUACACCAUAUGGUAUUUUCUUAAAUCAACAUAAAUAUAUUCAGUACUUGAUUCAGUUGGGUAAUUUAUCUGACCCUUCCUCUGUCAAUACUCCAUUGGAGAUUAAUGUCAAAUAUCGAAAAGACAAAGGUGAUAUACUUUGUGAUCCUAUAUCGAAAAUGGGUGGGUCAUGUCAUUUAUCUCUGACACGACCCGUUUCGAAUCACCCUAGUGGACCCGAAACGUGAUGUGCACCGAUGAUAGAUGCUGACUAGAUAUCAAAUUUAUCACCAAGACUAACUAUGAGUUACUUCAAAAAAAGUGUCAAAAUCAAAUGCUUAUGUAGAACAUAAUGCGAUGGGCCCAAAAUUUUACUUCGUGGUUUAAUGAAAUUGACUCAUAUCCUUCAACAUGUCGGGUGGCCCUAACUUUGAAAUCACCAGGCUCCUCAAGCUAUCAAGGACCAAUAUUACCUGUAAAAAUAAUUUUAAAAAAAUAUGAGUUGAUAGCUCAGUGAGUGGAAGACUUAAAAAAUAAUCAUAUUUUCUCCUAUAAACAUUUUUAUCAAACGUAAAGUUCGUAUCAUUAAAUACUUUACAUGAUAGCCUCAUACAAUUAUAGGCAAAAAGUGAUACAUUCUCAUAGCAUUGUAUAUCAUCUCAUAAUCACGAUGUAGUCAUCAACUGAUAUCUAUGCCAUCAUCUCAUCACAUCACAUGUGAUCCACAGAAAAUGUACCAUCUAACUAGAAUAUGUAAUCCGCCCUUUGGGCUAAGAACUUUCGCCAUAGGCCUUUGGCCCCCUCUGUGAAUGAAAGUCGGUCUCAAAGACCUCUGGUAAUUAAUUCUAAAACAAGGCAAGGCCUCUCAAUGAACUAUAUGUACACGGUCGAGACCCCUUCAUCCCCAGUCCAAGACCUAUUAGUGUAGUAUAGAACACGGCCAAUGUUCCUCAGUGAAUUAGAAGAAAUAUAUAAUCAUGGAUACUUUUCUGACCGAUCUCAAUAUUACAUAUGUCUCACAUACCAAGUGAUAAAUGUACCACAAAUAAUCUUAGAAUUUCCACAUGUAUAAUAGAUUUUCAUAAUAAUCAUAUAGUCGAACACAUAAUUGUAUAUAAUUGCACAUACUUUAACAAUAUAAUUAAUUUAUAUACAUUUUGAAAAUAUUUAUAUUUUUCACUCGCAAAACUAUGUACACCAAAAUCAACUCGGAUGGUACCCUGUCCCAAUGUCCGUAUCGUCGCCUGAAAUAUAAUAUAAUUUUUAAAUCAACAAUUAACUAUUUUAAGUAAUUUCAAUAAUUAAAUAGGCGAUACCCAACCUUAAUUAUUUUACGUUUAAGCGAUUUCCAAAGUAUUUUUAAUCAUUAAAACUAAUUUUUCUUUCAUUUUAUUCAAUUUCAUAGUUUAUUAUACUUAACCCUUUCAAUUAAAUUGAAUUUAAGAUAACAAUCUAACAACUAUAAAAUUAAACAUAACUUGACAAUAAGUAACUUUUUACUUACCUUUCAAAAUUGAAGAAUUCAAGCCUCAUAGUAUAACCCACUUAAUUCCUAACAUGUUGGCGAAUUUUUCUUUUUUGCCCCCCCUAUUUUUUCUCUCUUUUUCCUUUUCUUCCUUUCUUUUUUCCUUUCUCUUCCUGUUUCUCUCUGGCUCGUAUUCUUGUUAGUGUGUGUUGUGUGUGUUUUAUUAUGCACGUGGAUUGUGUGUAUAUAUAUUUAAAUGGAAUGAAUUUGUUCCACCGCCUGUCGUUUUCUUUUUCUUUUUAAUUUUUUUUUGGAUUUGACUUUUCUUUUAAUUGAUUAAAGUGUUACAAUCUCACUACUAUAUGCCCGGAUAUUCAGUCCAUACUGUAAGCAAAUUUAUGGAUGCUCCCCAUCAUCUUCAUUUGGUAGUUGUCCUCCGCAUUAUUUGCUAUAUUAUUGGGACUCCUUAUCGUGGUCUCUUCUUUCUGGCGUUGUAUGGCUGCGUGGUUUUCUAGCUAUCUCGAUUUUUUCCAUUCAGGCCCUACACCUUUCCAUGGUGACAACACUAGUGCUAUUCAGAUUGCGGAUAAUCCAACCAUGAAUGUACCAAACAUAUUGAGGUGGACUAUCAUUAUAUUCAAGAUGCCUAUGAUUCCAGGAUCAUCGUUCCUCCCCAUGUUUUCAUUACUCUACAAGUCACGGAUAUUUUCACCAAAUCCCUAACUCACCUUCACCAUGAUUCUAUUGUCAGCAAAUUGGUGCUUGUGCACUCGCCAUCAUCAAUUUGAGGGAGGGUAUUAGAGAUUUAUUUAGUUUUCGUAAAUAAGUCUUGCUAAAUAAAAAAAAUCAGGGAAUUCGGGAUUUCAUUCCAAUUGUAUAUAUUUAUUUCUUUUCUUAUAGACCUCUGUAACAUACUAUAAAAAAGAGCAAUACAUACGUGAAUAUCAUUCUGUACAAUUGACAAGACAUACUUGAGUAAUUUAUCUAUCACUCCUUGCACACAUUAAGCACCAAUAGUAGCAACUAGCUCUUGUAAGUGAUAGCUGCUACUUUUUUCACUUCUAACUUCUUGAGAUACAAAGUCUUUUCCCACAAACUAUCAAACUGAUAUGCAACAUCCAUAGAUUUUUAGAAGUUUCUGAAAGUAUUUUACAAUUUAACUAAAUGGUAAAACUCACCAAAUAUAGCAGUACAUUUCCAAAUGGAGUUGUGUCUAAUGACUCUGGAGCAACUAGGAAAAUAUUUUAUACUAGAUGAAGGAAACCAAAGAUUGAAGAAGCAUCAAUAACUUAUUGGAUUGCCACAAGAAUUAACACAACAAGAUCUAGGAGUAAGUAAAUGCUAAAUAAACAGAAAAAAGUUAGUUUAUAUGUCUUUCAAAAGUCUCAUAUGCUAGCCAAUAUUCACUUACCACAAGCGGUGCCCUCAACUUCCUGAUCAUAUAUAUGUUGGCGCUCAACUGCCUCUUCUGAGCAAAAUUCCAUCAAAGAAUCAAGUUGUGCCCAAGUGAGUCUUGAUCGUGAUUAUCUAAAAUUUACCCAAGUAGACCGGGCCAGUUACGACCUCAUUUGACCAACUAUGAUUUAAUUUCAUUUAAAGGCACAUUGUCAAAGAUUAUUUCAUCUUAUGGAUUAAGUCAAGCCAAAGGGAAUAUUGAUCCAGCUCAAACAUAAGUCAACUCAGUAUCAACACAAGCUAAGCAUAUUGCCUCGCAAAGGUUGAGUAGAUCCCUAGUGACUCUUGACCUCAUUCAAGUAUAAACUUAAUGUCAAGUCAAGUCUAAGUAAGUCUUGAUUUUGCUUGAGUUACACUGAUACUAAUUAUAGAGCCAAGCAUCACAGACUCUCAACUUUGUUUGAGCAUAAUUUUUCCUCUAAGGUCAAGUCGAGCAAAAGCAACUAUGUCUGAACAAUCCUUCCCAUGGGCUCGAGGAGUGUCAACAUUUAUAUACACAAUAUGUUGCAUUACAUUUCCUACACAAACCAUUCCAAUUAACCAAGUUCACAAUCUCCACUUUUUCCAAACUAAAAGUGAAAUACUUUUUGUCAAAGAUGAAUUGUCUCCAAAAUUUAAUUUUGAGAUGAAAUUAACAAACAAAAUCUUAUGAACGAAAAUGAAUGGGAUGGAAGGGGAUGAUGAUUAGGAACAGAAAAAAGAUAGUCGAGAGCAUCAGUUGGUGUUCUUUGUAAUAUAACUGUAGUGAAAAGAGAAGUAGAAUGCAUUGUAUUCACACUGCACAUUAUGAAAACCAAGUUAUCAUUUACUGAAUCCCUAUUUUUUGGGGAGACAUGGUCAUCUACUUAAUGUCACUGAAAUCGACAGAUGAUGUUUUUAAAAUUUUAUUAUUUGUUUGAAGCUCUAACAAAUACAAAUAUGAAUCACACAGUUUUUGUUAUUCAAAAAAUUAUUUAAGAAUAACUAUUCAAAGGCUUGAAAAUGAAAAAAUUAAUUGUCAGAGUACUUUGUCUCUCCAUGACAUUCACGAAAAGUAGUAAAAGUAGGUACCUUCUAAUAAACAAAAUAACUAUAUGGAGAAACAUAUAGUUUUGAUUCACAACGAUUUUUCACCCAAAUCGAAAUUAAUAAAUUCUUGACAUACAAAGUCACUUUUAGAUUGAUAGGAGUAGCAUUAAAAAUGAAAUUGGAACAUGCAGGAUGCUUCCAUUAUAUUUUAUUAAAGAAACAAGAGAUCAAAAAAUGCAACAGAAAAUUUACAUAAUUGCCAUGAGUUAGAAUUGAGUAAAUGCAGAUAAGCACAGAAAGGAUUGAAAAAAAAAUUGGUGGUUAGAAUUGUUUACCCUAAAAAAUGUGCCAAUAAAAUCUCAACAUCGUCUACAUCACCUGCAUACUGAACACCUCAUUGGAAAGCAAAGGUCGCGGGUUGAGAAAAAGGUCUGGUGAAAAUCAACAAUGGGACGAAAGCUAAUAUGAGUGCAAAAGUUGAAGAGGGGUUUGGUUAGAGUUAGAAAAUAUACCUUUAUGUGAAAUGAAUAUAUAUAGGAAAAUCUAAAUCGGUCGAGUGCAAGAUGCAAUUUUUAUUAGAAUAGGCCCAAUCAAUUAGAUGUUGAUGCCACGUCAACCUAUGUGAUACUCCUUCCAUCAUGUGCAUGCCACGUAAUUUAUGUAAGAAAAAUCUAAAUCGGCCAAGUGAUUAAUAGGUCGAGCCCAAGAUGCAAUUUUUAAAUAAAAUAGGCUUAAUCAAUUAGAUGUCGAAUCCACGUCAGCCAAUUUGGUACUCCCUCCAUCAUGCGCGUGCCACGUAAUUUAUGGAUAUAACAAUAGUCCCUAAAGUUUGAGUAGUACAUUCAUGUACGGGUUAGAUUUUGGAAGCUAAGUAGUCAGUCAAGUGAGGUCUUACAGACCGCCUCAAAAAUAUGACUAGCUCCAAUCAGCAAGGACUUACGAACUACCUUAAAAAUAUAAGUCGAUCCAAUAAAUGAGGACUUAUGAACUACCUUGAAAAUAUUUAUGCUAGGCUGAAUAAGCGAGGACUUAUAUAUUGCCUCGAAAUAUGUCGCAUAAAAUUUGUCAAAAUUUCGACAUCUCCUCUAUAAUAUGGACUAAACCAAGUUGUAUUACAAUACAAUAUAUGUACUGCACAUAUACUUUUAAAUUUGGGGUCCAUUAGCCCAUCCAAAUAAUAACAAUGAAGAAAAAUAGUGGUACUUUAAAUUUCUCCAAAAUAUAAUAUGCAAAGGGAUCAUGCAUAAUAGUAAAUCAUAUGCUUGCAUAGCUCAGGAUAACAGUAUUGCUAAUGUGAAGCAAGUAAUAUGUUUAUAAUGUAGAUAACGAGCAUACAUUAACAAUAAUGUUGCCUGCGUACUUAGUAGCGAUAAUAUAAUGCUAUUAAGAAUAAUGUAAUGAUACUAAGAUUAGUGAUAAUAGAUAUAAAUUUUUGAUAUUUAUAUGCAAGUUGGACUUAAUAUAUAAGCCAUACAUAGCGAUAAAGUUGAUGCAGAGAGACUUCAAAUAUGAGUAGCAAAGAUUAUGCUCUGAAUGUAAGUAGUAGAGGCGAUACUCUAGAUGUAUAAGUAGCAAAGGCGAUGUUCUGAAUGUAUGAGUAGUAGAGGUGAUGAUUUGGACAUAAAUAGAUGUGAUAUGUUGACAUCUUUACAUGGAGGAAGGGCAUCCAUGGUCUAGGGCUUCCUCAUGGUGUUUAGUCCAGCCAUGGAAGGGGUUAACCUCUAAGGUAGCAAAAUGUUGCUCCCUGUGAAAGGCUUCACACUUGUCCUUGUCGAGGCUUUUUUUUUUUAAUUAUUACCUCCUUGCAAGGGGGUAGCUCUUCUAUGCAAGGGCUUCCUCUAUGGUGAAAUCCAUCCAUAGAAGGCAAACUUCAUAGGUUGCAUGUGACAUAGCUAAAGUAGAGGCAAAGUUCUGAAAGAUAUGUAGAAGUAAUGCAAUCGUUGCAGAGGUGUGAUGAGCUAUCUGAAUAUAGAUAUAGCUAUGGUAUUGCUAAUGAAGAAACGUGGCUCUGAGUACAUAGGCAGCUUUUGUUAAGCUGAUGUAGAGCUAAAAUGAGGCACAUGGUGAGGCAUCUGUAAUGCAACAACUUAUAUGGUGAGACAUCUGGCUAGGUCGGUAUGAAUAUCGAGCUGAUGGAUCGUCUCAAACUAUCAGAGUCUUAUAAGUUGACCUUGAAAUGACAAGGUCUUAUAACUAAGCUAGACGACAUUGAGAAGCGAGGAAUAAGCAUCUCAUGAAGCAUCUGGCGAGGCCGGUAAUAACAUUUCGUGAAUAGCCCUUGAACUAUCAGAAUCUUAUAACCAGACAUUGGACAUACAAGGUCUUACAGCUAAGCUCGAUGAUAAUGAGAAGCAAGGAAUAAACACCUCGUGAAGCUAGGAAUAAUCAUCAGAGGAGGUGGUGGUAAAUAGACCUCCCUCGAAUAGCUCUUUAACUAUUGUAAUCUUAUAAGCGGGCCUCAAAAUGACGAGGUCCUAAAACGAGGCUCAACGAUAGUAAGGGACAAAAAAUAAACAUCUUACAAAGCCAAGAAUAAGUGUCUGGCAAGGUGGAGAAUAAAUAUCCUGUAAAUAAUGAUGAGGGCUUACAGUUAAGCUCUACAGUAAUAAGAGGUGAUGAAUAAACAUCUCGUAAAGCCACGAAUAAGCAUAUGGCGAGGUAGGGAAUAAAAAUCCUGCGAAUAGCUCUCGAAUUAUCGAAGUCUUAUAAGUGACCUCGGAUCAAGGGCUUAUAGCUAAACUCAACGAUAGUGAGAGGCGAGGAAUAAACAUCUGGAAAGGGGAAUAAAUAUCCCGUGAAUAACUUUCGAGCUAUCGAAAUCUUAUAAACUUGCCUCGAAAUGACGAGGUCUUAUAGCUAGGCUUGACGGUAGUGAGAGGUGAGAAAUAAUAUCUCGCAAAGUGAGGAAUGAGCAUCUAACGGGGAAUAACAUUGAACUAUCGGAUUCUAAUUAGCAGCCUCAAAGAGACGAGGUCUUAUAACUAUGCUCGAUGAUAGUAAGUGGGGAGGAAUAAACAUCUCGCAAAACCAGGUCAAGAAAGGCUCCUUUCGCAAUGGUACAUCACCUGAACACUGAACACCUCAUUAGAAGGCAAAGGCUACCGAUCAAGAAAAAAGUGCGACGACCAUCUGCACUCUGACGGUCAAGUCAAUAACCGAACAAAAGAUAAUAUGAAUGCAAGAGAGGAAGAGGGAAUUUGUAAGGGUUAGAAAACAUACCUUCAUGUGAAAUGAUAUCACAUACAUAUAGAAAAAUGUAAAUGGGCUGAGUGAUCAAUGAGCCAAGCCCAAAAUGCAAUUGUUUAAUUAAAAUAGGCCUAAUCAAUUAGAUGUCAAUGCCACACCAGCCAAUUGGGACUCCGUUUGUUAUGUCCUAUGUAAUUUAUGGAUCUAACGAAGUCUCCUACGGCAAUCAAUAAUCACUUGCCAUAAGUGAAAAUUUUAUAAUAGAUAUGUCAGUAUAGCAACUCCCCUAUUACCGAUGUUGACCCUAUUGACAGAACGCUAACUGGAAGUGAGCGGAAUCAGAUGCCUUAUGACACCCAAAAAUUAAAUACCGAAAGCAUUACAAAUGUGAAGAGUGACAUUAAUAUUGAAAAUUUAGCUGCAAACCGGAAGACUCACUCAGUUUACUGAACACAAGUAAGAAGACAUCAGAUGCGAAUUGCUGCUGACUCAGUAACAGCAAUACAGAAAACUUUAUACUUGCUAACAACUUUAAUGUAAAUAUAAAAAAUAAAAGAAAAUGAUCUGACCAGGCAUGUGUCUCCUCUUGCUGCUAGCUUUCCAUAGAACUCUAAAUGAGAUCUUGAACAGGAUAAAAAAAUUUACUGAAGCAUGAAAUGAUGGUAUCCAAGGCUUCAAGUGUAAGUGAAAAGUUUAAUACUACAUCCAUCAUUUCAGUGAAUUCCUUUAUAUUACAGAAAUACCACAUUCCAAAUACUUCAAGCACCACUUGUAUAUAAAAGCGUCCAUUAAUUUGCAUACAUGUAACAUUGAAGAAGGUUAGUAUCGGGACAUAUUAAGUAUAAAAAAAUGGGUGUUUAUCACCACCAAAUGUAAAUGAAUUGUCUCAAACAUUUGAUUUUAGAGAAAAUUAAUAUAGUCUUGUGAGCGAGGAUGACAAUUAGGAGCAAAAAAUAAAUAAACAGCACCAGACUGUUUUACAUUUAUACAUAUAAUUGUAGUGAACAGAGAAGCAGUACUCAGAACCCUUUUAUUUGGGAAAGCAAAUAAUGUCUUUGUUAGCAUAUAACUAAAAAUAUCAACACAAAGGUUUCAAUUGUCAUACCGAGUAGUUUGUCUCCCCAACGACAUUCACGAGAAAUAGAAAUAGCAGCAAUCCUCCAGCUCUUAAUUCUCAAUGCGUAUGCUGGGUAUUAACACAAUCCUACUAAUUAGAAGGAAAUGAUUCGUAUUAUUUGAUUAAAGAAACCAAAGAACUACAAAGGUUUUUGCAGGGACUCAUCUGAUUUCCAUAAAAACCCAUUCAAUGAUACACAAAAAAGGGUUAAAAAACAUCAGUCUCAGAAGUCUCCUAGGGUAGUGAAUAAUUAACACAAUCAUUAAUGAUAAAUCACUGCUUUGGGGUUUCAAAUUUAUGUGACUUCUCAGAAGUGAAAUGGUCUAUUCAUGUCUACAGGAAAAACCAUUCUCGGUGCCAUACAUAAAAUGAAAAGAAAAGAGAAUUCACAAUUAUGAUCUUUGCUUUGAAAAUUGCCUAAGAUAAAGAAAAGAAAAGAGAAUUCACAAUUUUGAUCAUCUUUGUAAUCAUCCUAAUGAACCAACAAAAGAACAUUAUUGUAAAGAGGAAAUUAUAGAAACAAGAGAGAAAAUUGUUUCUCUGAGACAGAAUUUCUGAAAUAAACACACAUAAAAUGAGAACCCUAAGAGAAUUCGCAAUUACAAACCAAUGAACCCAAAUUUUGAUCAUCAGUAGGACCAAAGAACAAAACCCUGAAACUAUCCUUCAAGAUUCCUUCUAUGCAUGAAUAAAGAAUGUGAUUAUCGCACUUGAAUCCAUCUUCAGAAAUCCUUGUCUAGUCCUGUUGGAAAGGGUUAAUCAUCUCCCUACUGAAAUAGGGAAAGAAUACAAGACUUGGAAAUAGAAUUAGGAUUCUGCACGUAUAGCUUUUUAGAUGUACAGAAACUACUAAUUUUACAGAAUUAGAAAAAUAGAAAACUAACUAGACAAAGUCAAAAUUUCAUUAAAGAAACGGCUACUAAGAAAUGGUUUAAACAAGAUGGCUAUUGACACCAAAAUCAAUCAUAGCUACCAAGUAGUGAUUUCUUAUCAAUUAAUACUGAUAAAAAAAAAAAAAAAAAUACAUACUUAGUGUCACUCGAUACUAAAAUCUGAUUUUUCUCACGUGCAUUAUAAUGGAUAUUCAAGAUUUGACUGAAGGAAAAGAGAAUGACAAAUCACUUAAUUGAAAAGAAAACACAACUGAUGGUGAUUUAAAUCAAACAUAAAAAGCACAUUCCAUCAAAGAUCAGAAAAAACCAUACAGCGUUUACAGAAACAAAUCCUAUGAAACUCAAGUUCAUGAUCAGUUAGACCAAAAUGAAACCUAGAAAAGAUCUUCUAUAUUCAUCCCAAGACGAAGAAUGUAACAUAACAGUGAAAUGACAGACAUAGAAACAGAGAAAACUCUGAGAACAUAAUCAUAAAUAAAUUGGAAAAGGAACCACAGAUAUAACACAAAAGCACAGUCAAUCACAGAAAAAUUCAGGAAAACAAAUCCAGUGAAACUCAAUAUUGAUCAUCACUCCAAAGAACAAAGUCAAGAAAAAUGAUCCUUCAAAAUUCGUCCAAAUGCACCAACAAGUAUGUGAUUAUAAAGAAAAAAAAUAUAAAAAAGAAAAAAAAAACUCUAUGAACAAAUCCUAAAAUAAACAUAUUGAAAAUGAAAAAGGAACCACAAACCCAAUACAAAAAAACACAAAUUACAUUAAAGGUUCAACCCACAGGGAAUGUAACAUCAAUAAAUCCAGUGAAAUUCAAAAUUCAUCAUCAUCCAGAGAACAAGACCCGCAGAAGUCCUUCAAUAUUCAUCAUUUAAUGCAAAAAAAAGAAAGCGACUAGGAAGACAUGGCAAUUACAUAAAUAAAGAGAACAUUAUCACACUUAGAAAUGUAAUAGGUGCAAUAACUGUAAAUAAAAUGAAAAAACAAAACAAAACAAAACAAAACAAAACAAAACAAAAGAAAAAAACACAACUUAUUAAUAUUGAAACCAAACAAAAAUUUAAUUAAAGAUUUAGCCCAUAUAGAAUUCACAGAACGAAAACAAAUACAGCAAAACCCAAGAUGAACUAUCACUCCAAAAGACAAUUAAUCCAGAUCCAUCCAAAUGUAAAGGGAACACCGAGCACAACCAUUAAUGAUCAAUCACUGCUUUGGGGUUUCAAAUUUCUGCGACUUCUCAGAAGGAAAAUGAUCAAUUCGAGUUUACAGGAAAAAUUCAUUCUCGCUGCCACACAUAAAAUUUCUGCGACUUCUCAGAAGGAAAAUGAUCAAUUCGAGUUUACAGGAAAAAUCAUUCUCGGUGCCAUACAUAAAAUGAAAAGAAAAGAGAAUUCACAGUUUUGAUCAUCACUUUGAUCCAGAAUAAAAAAAUCCCACAAGAUAAAGAAAAGAAAAGAGAAUUCACAAUUUUAUCAUCUCUUUAAUCAUCGUAAUGAACCAACAAUAGAACAGGAUUUCUGAAAUAAACACAUAUAAAAUGAGAACCCUAAGAGAAAUUCACAAAAACAAACCAGUGACCCAAAUUUUGAUCAUCAGUUGGACCAAAGAACAGAACCCUGAAACUAUCCUUCAAGACUUCUUCUAUGUGUGAAUAAAGAACAUGACUAUCGUACUGGAAUCCAUCUUCAGAAAUCCUUGUCUAAUUCUUUUUGACCGAGAAACCCCGAGCCUCACUCUUGGCCGAGAAACCCCAAGCCUCACUUUGAAGAACUAGGGGUUGUAGUAGGUUCUACAUAACGGUCUUAUUUUUGUAAAUUUCAUAUUACACCGUUGGAUUAAGAACAAAUAAACGGUUCAGAUUUUAGGGAGCUUCCAAUCAAAUCCCAAGCCAUUGCGAAAUUUCACCGUUGGAUUAAGUUUUAUUCCUUCUAUGGAAAAAAUAAAAAAACUUCUUUAAUUUCCUCUUUAAUUAAAAAAAAAAAGGACUAAUUUGAGGAAGCCUAUUUUGCUUGUUUUGUUUAAUUUUAAUAAUUUUAACAAAAUUUAUCAAACCUUGACAAUGAGCAUGAAACGUCCAAUUGAUUCUACACGGAAAAAGUUGAAACUAGUUGUAGCAAGCAUGUCAAUUAAAAUAAAUUGAAAUUAUUAAAUAUACUCUUUUUUUUUUCUUUUUCAAAAUUAAUUGCUUUUUUAAAGUCAUUAUUCAUGUUAGUUUGUCAAUCGAACUCCUAAUACAAUUAAAGAUAACACCAAAAUAAAAGAGAAACUAAAAACCAAAAGAGAGAUUAUGAUAGAGAAGAGCUCUUAAUCAAUUAUACAAAGAAGUCCUAUGCAACAAGAAGAUUCUGAAACUAGCAAUUUUAGCUCAUUUGGAAGAGGAUCCUCUAUAGACUUUUUUUUUUUUUUUUUAGUUUAAAUUUAAAAUUUGUUCAAUUGAAUGAAUCACAAUAUAAUAAUGAAUUUUUCAUAGAAAAUCUAUGUGUUUGCCGUGUCAUAGAUUAAGCGGAAGAUGAUUGAUACACUCACGAUUUGAAAUUUUAAGUACAAAAAAUUGAAAACCACCUAAAGUUGAUGAUUUUUACAUUCAAAAGACAAACUUGUACACACUAAUAUAUGGGUGAAACAUAGUUGGACAGUGUAGUUUAAAAGAAAUUUCACAUCAAUCAUCAAAGUGUUUUUUUUUUUUUUUUUUUUAAAUGGUAAGUCUAUUUUGAAUGUGUUUCAAUUACGUCACCUAAUUAGUUCCUAUUAGACAACUUAAUAACCACCCUAAAAGCCAUGUUCAUAUAUUUUCUAUCAAUGGGAUUUUAUAUUAUUCAAACUAUUGUCAAUAGCCAAUUCACAAUAUCAUCAAGUUACGUUAAACAUUUCUAUUAACGAAAAACUAUUAGUUAUACCUAAAGUUUGAUAAUUAAAAUGAAACUUCACCCAAAGUACUACAACAAGUUGUGCUUAUUACCCAAAUAUAUUAAAAUAAAAGAGAAACUAAAAACCAAAAGAGAGAUUAUGAUAGAAAAGAGCUCUUAAUCAAUUAUACAAAGAAGUCCUAUGCAAAAAGAAGAUUCUGAAACUAGCAAUUUUAUGCUCAUUUGGAAGAGGAUCCUCUAUAGACUUUUUUUUUUUUUUUUUUGAGUUUAAAUUUAAAAUUUGUUUAAUUGAAUGAAUCACAAUAUAAUAAUGAAUUUUUCAUAGAAAAUCUAUGUGUUUGCCGUGUCAUAGAUUAAGCGGAAGAUGAUUGAUACACUCACGAUUUGAAAUUUUAAGUACAAAAAAUUGAAAACCACAUAAAGUUGAUGAUUUUUACAUUCAAAAGACAAACUUGUACACACUAAUAUAUGGGUGAAACAUAGUUGGACAGUGUAGUUUAAGAGAAAUUUCACAUCAAUCAUCAAAGUUUUUUUUUUUAGUUUUAAAAUGGUAAGUCUAUUUUGAAUGUGUUUCAAUUACGUCACCUAAUUAGUUCCUAUUAGACAACUUAAUAACCACCCUAAAAGCCAUGUUCAUAUAUUUUCUAUCAAUGGGAUUUUAUAUUAUUCAAACUAUUGUCAAUAGCCAAUUCACAAUAUCAUCAAGUUACGUUAAACAUUUCUAUUAACGAAAAACUAUUAGUUAUACCUAAAGUUUGAUAAUUAAAAUGAAACUUCACCCAAAGUACUACAACAAGUUGUGCUUAUUACCCAAAUAUAUUAGAGAUAAUUGUAUCGGAGGUCCCAAUUUUUUUUUAAAAUGUCCAUAUUAGACUCAAAUCUUUAAAUUUCAGUAGUGAAGGAUCCAAAGCUUUCAAAAUUGUGGAGAAAGAGUCAAUGGAUGGUUUCCAUCCAAAAAUCAUUAGUUGACCAAAGCUUUCAUGAUGAUUAGAUUGACUCCGUACAUACACACAUCGAUCAAGCAUAGAAUAAGUAAAGAAUUAGUUUUAGUUGAAUUACUCAUGAACUUUUUAUGAAUUAUCAAACAAAUUCAAAAUUUAAACACGACAUUAGAACUCCACUAUUAUUUUCUCUUAUCUCAUGUUGUUACUGUAAAAGGAAUUAACUGUUUAGCUCUUGCUUGGAAAACAGACAAUUGCACAGAAUAUAGGUGAUUGGUACUUCAGUCGGAAAACAGCAAAUUAAGCAUAUUUGGAUUUUAGUUGUGGGUGAUACAAUUAAGCUUAUCAAAGUUUUUUUUUUUAGUUUUAAAAUGGUAAGUCUAUUUUGAAUGUGUUUCAAUUACGUCACCUAAUUAGUUCCUAUUAGACAACUUAAUAACCACCCUAAAAGCCAUGUUCAUAUAUUUUUUAUCAAUGGGAUUUUAUAUUAUUCAAACUAUUGUCAAUAGCCAAUUCACAAUAUCAUCAAGUUACUUUAAACAUUUCUAUUAACGAAAAAUUAUUAGUUAUACCUAAAGUUUGAUAAUUAAAAUGAAACUUCACCCAAAGUACUACAAGAAGUUGUGCUUAUUACCCAAAUAUAUUAGAGAUAAUUGUAUCGAAGGUCCCAAUUUUUUUUUAAAUGUCCAUAUUAGACCCAAAUCUUUAAAUUUCAGUAGUGAAGGAUCCAAAGCUUUCAAAAUUGUGGAGAAAGAGCCAAUGGAUGGUUUCCAUCCAAAAACCAUUAGUUGACCAAAGCUUUCAUGAUGAUUAGAUUGACUCCAUACAUACACACAUCAAUCAAGCAUAGAAUAAGUAAAGAAUUAGUUUUAGUUGAAUUACUCAUGAACUUUUUAUGAAUUAUCAAACAAAUUCAAAAUUUAAACACGACAUUAGAACUCCACUAUUAUUUUCUCUUAUCUCCUGUUGUUACUGUAAAAGGAAUUAACUGAUUAGCUCUUGCUUGGAAAACAGACAAUUGCACAUAAUAUAGGUGAUUGGUACUUCAGUCGGAAAACAGCAAAUUAAGCAUAUUUGGAUUUUAGUUGUGGGUGAUACAAAUAAGCUUACUUUGGGCUCGCUAAAAUAUUUUUUCACCUUCGUCAACAAUUGUCUUAAUGUAAACAUUCCAAAUAUUAAAUUUAAGGUGCAUGCAGUGUAGACGAUACAUGUUCUUGAAGAAUAUGGUAAGUUAAUAUCCUUCCUCAUGUUAUAGAAUGUAUGCAAAAGGUUGAAUCGUAUUGCAAAAUUCUGCUAGGGGCAUUUAUGUACUGGGUUUUAAUGGACAUUUUAUGUUCGUAAGAACUUAAAGGGAAUAGCAAUGAAAUGAUGGUGAUCAAUUUGUUCAUUUUUAAAGUCUGGGGAUUAACUUGCAAGACGAGCAAUGAAAUGGAGACUAAUAGAAUGAUUUCUCGUUGGAGCAAGAUCCAAAAUCUAUAUAAUUCAUAGGUUUUAAUCUCCAUUAGUUGACCAAAGCUUUCAUGAUGAUUAGAUUGACUCCAUACAUACACACAUCAAUCAAGCAUAGAAUAAGUAAAGAAUUAGUUUUAGUUGAAUUACUCAUGAACUUUUUAUGAAUUAUCAAACAAAUUCAAAAUUUAAACACGACAUUAGAACUCCACUAUUAUUUUCUCUUAUCUCAUGUUGUUACUGUAAAAGGAAUUAACUGUUUAGCUCUUGCUUGGAAAACAGACAAUUGCACAGAAUAUAGGUGAUUGGUACUUCAGUCGGAAAACAGCAAAUUAAGCAUAUUUGGAUUUUAGUUGUGGGUGAUACAAAUAAGCUUACUUUGGGCUCGCUAAAAUAUUUUUUCACCUUUGUCAACAAUUGUCUUAAUGUAAACAUUCCAAAUAUUAAAUUUAAGGUGCAUGCAGUGUAGACGAUACAUGUUCUUGAAGAAUAUGGUAAGUUAAUAUCCUUCCUCAUGUUAUAGAACGUAUGCACAAGGUUGAAUCGUAUUGCAAAAUUCUGCUAGGGGCAUUUAUGUACUGGGUUUUAAUGGACAUUUUAUGUCCGUAAGAACUUAAAGCGUAAUAGCAAUGAAAUGAUGGUGAUCAAUUUGUUCAUUUUUAAAGUCUGGGGAUUAACUUGCAAGACGAGCAAUGAAUGGAGACUAAUAGAAUGAUUUCUCAUUGGAGCAAGAUCCAAAAUCUAUAUAAUUCAUAGGUUUUAAUCUUGAGUGAUAAUUCUAAAAUCAUCAAGCACAUUUACCAUAUUAAAGAUUUUAAGAUCAUUACACCCGUGUUAGGUUUAAUUUUGUCAUGUUGUGAUUUUAAGAGAUUUAGCUUUUGUUGUGACAAAUAAAUAACUGUACAAAGAAUGUAAACUUUCAUUCUAGUCCAGAAAUGUUGUAUGUUUCAAAAUCAACAUUUUAACUUUUGGUAAUCGGAAGUGGUUUAUUGUUGAAAUUGUAUAUAAUUAAUAUAAUGGAUAUCAAUUAGAUGAUAUCUAUUUGUAUUAUUAUAUUUGGUAGUAUUACAAAAUUUACUUUUAUCAUUUUAAAAAUAUAUAAUGUGUUUACCAGUGUUAUUUUAAAAUGACAAAAAAAAAAAUUAACAUCUAAUAAAUCUCAAAAUUUAUUAAAUUACAAAACAAAAGCAUAGUUUAUGUAGUAGGAAAAAAAAGAAUAAAUUUAAUUAAUUGGAGUUAAACUUGGUAUUUUAGUUAUUGAUAAUCGGAGAAGUUAAAAGUAGACUCUUGACUGUUUUGCUUCUUUUCAAUGUUUGUCAUUAGAUGAUACAAAGUUCUUAAUUUUACUAAAAACUUAAAGUAACUUUCACUUUUUGACAAUCGGAAGUUAAGCAUUUUAGUCAAUCCUAAAUGGAGUUUAGCUUCGCCAAACAUAAUUAGAUCAACGACAAAAAGAAUGUUUGGGAAAUGUUCACAAACAAUUUAAAUAGUUAAUAAAUAAAAAUGAGUGGUGGAUAAGUGAGUGAUACUUGCGUGUGAUUCAAGUGUGAAUAACAAGUGAAUUGCGUAUUUAAAAUAGUUUAUAAACACGAGCCAAAUGCAUGGAACUCUAGCUUACACAUGACAUUGUUGAACUUAAUGGCUUCUUUCCAUUAAGACACUUGAAAGGGAUAUUACGACGUUGAGGAAGGUAAAGAAAUGGUUAUGCCAUAAAAAAUUGCGAAAGAGUUGCACAAUUUUUUAUUAAUUUUUUUAUCAUGUAGAAGAGAAGUUAUUUUUUUAUUAGUUUCGAGAUAUAGAAUUCCUCUAACCCAGAAUAAGUUUUAGCCCUUGUUUGGUAAGCACUAAAAUAUAGAUUUUUAUCAGAAUUAAAGUCAACAAACUACAUAUUCUAUAAGACCCACGACUUUUUAACAAUAUAUUCGCCCUUGUUUGAACCUCACUUUUCAAUAAUACAUUUUUUUUCUCCAAACUCAUUUUCAAUCACAUAUUCUCUUAAUAAAUUAAUAUUACAUGUAAAUCCUAAAACUUUUUCUUACUUUUCAAUCAUAUAUUCUCUAAAAAUAUCACUAUUCAAAAAUCUAUUUUUCCCAAAAAAUGAGACUCAAACAAAGAUUUCAUCGACUUUUAAGAAAAUCUACUAAAAAAAUUAUUUCAUUGCCCACCAAGCAAGAGCCUAAUUUGCUUGGCCUAAUAUCUUUUGGAAUUUUUCUCAUGUACUGUGAACCUAGCAAGAUAACUCACAAAGGUGGGCCCCACCUGAAUAAAAAAUGCCAAAAAUUAAACCACAAACCCCAUUGUUUCUGACAUGUAUGUCCCUUGUGAAUGCACCCCUAUACGCCAAUUAUCACUCAUAUCUUUCCAUGUGAUUAGCAUCAAUAGUAUAUAAUAUUGUAGAGAAAUAUAAUAUACUCCUAUUUGGCAUCAUUUAAAUUUUUAAUUUCAAAUUUAUUUUCAAUCACACAUUUUAUAGAACUAACAACAUUAUUUAAUCAUAUAUUUCAUCAAUUUUUAUAAAAAUUUACUAAAAAUCUUAUUUUUGGGCACAUCAAACAUGAGAUUUAUCUAGUUGGAAAAUGUGUGUGGUCGGGAACUCAAACAAAUAAACACAUAAAAAAGAAGUGACAAUUAACAAGUAGAGAGAGAGAAAGAGAGAUUUUUUUCCUUCCCUAAAACGAGUAUGAUCAUCAUUUAUUAUUGAUAGAAAUCAAAAGAUUACUGAUAUGAUCCAGGAGUCAAGCCCGACGAAGGCGAGUGCGAGACGAGAUCCGUUGAUAAUUGAUGGAGGACCAAUAACGUGAUCAAGGACAAAGCAAGUGAAAUAAGCGAUAUGAUUGCUCGUUCAAGAAACCAUUGAUGGAACCAUGUUUGGGGCUCAAAAUAGAGCAACUUUUAUGUUCGGGUCGAAUGUCAAAUUAACUUGGAUCAAUUUGUUAUCAAGUGACGAAACUGGAGGCUGAAAAUAAGCAUGUGCAGCCACACAGGCAAAACACCAUGCGGCCACACGGUGGCAUACCGAAAAUCAAGAUGGCAUUUCUUGUUGAACCAUGCAACCGCAUGGAAAUACACCAUGCAGCCACACAAGCAAAAAAUUUGGCGAAUUUUUCAAUUUUGGCAAUUUUCCAUGUUUUGUUAGAUUUUGAUUCUUUUCCAUAUUUUGGAGAUUAUGCUUGACUUUUGCAUGAUUUUUACCUAGUUUUUAGAUUUAGUAUAAAUAGGAGUUUUCAUUCAAUUGUUAAAAACCUUUAACAUUAUUGAUAUUGAAUUAAAGUGAGGCGUAUUGUCUUCUCUUCAUCGUUCUUCAUUGAACAAUUUUGAACUUAUCAAGUGAUAACUUGUGGCGUUCAAACAAUUGGAUUUAAUUCUUGGAUUGCAUGAUCAAGGGGUCUUUCAAGCAUCGUUCUUGUUGGAUUUUUUGGUUCGACUUUCGUUUGGGUUAGUCCUAAACUCUUGGAUUAAUUUGGCUUUUUUAGGUUCGUCAAUUUCGUUGUGGGUUUCGUAAUCAACGUUACUACGGGGUUCGCAUCAAUUACCGUUGGACGUUGGUUAUUGGAUUUAAUCAUCCCAAUCAGAAAUUAAUUUUCCUUUGAAGAUUAAACCCAUACGAAUACAGAUGUUAAAUAAAGAUGAGAUUAUUGAAUGUUUUAAAUUCUCGCACAUGAAAGGGAAGAUGUCAAAUACUUUCUCCCUUAGAUUUUCUCCCUUGUUCUCCUUUACGUGCCUUCCUCUUUUUGGGAAAUAAAAAUGUUACUAACCCUAAAAGCAUAUGAAAAGGUGACCAUAAGUGGCAUAUUUAUAAUACUCAAUUAGGAUUUGGAAAUCGCACAAAUUUUCUUGGACUUUAUUGUAGUAGACUAAUUAAGUCACACACCUUUAUUGGAGUUAAGAGAGGGACCCAACCGGACUUAUGUGACUCAAGCUCCAAUAGAUAUUUCUAAUUGGAUCAACUCUUGACCAAUUGAGAUACAUCUGUGAAUCCCGGCUCAUUCUACCAAAAAAUCAAAAUUGCACUCUUGAGUUGAGUGAUAGUCAUAGAAGCAAAUUAUGAUCCAAUAACAAUAUCCUCUUAUUAUCGUUCCACAAGCUAACCCCCAUUUGACCGUCAAUAUGUUAAAAUUGGCAAAAUGACCAUUUUGCCCUUCAACAUGUAUUACCUUCUAAGUUCUAUUUUCAUAUGGCAAAUUUGUUGUGAUCAAAUCAUAAUAUAAAGUCCGACGGUCUCAUCGUCAAACUACUAAGCUCAGGUUCAAUUUACCUAUGGAAAAUACCUUAAAGUGACGAUCGUCUCAUUUUAAUGAUUAAUAGAUUCUACUAUUGCAAGUAUAUGAUCUCUAAUUGAUUCAGCCCGAUGCCCAAAGUAUCGAGAUUCUUUUAUUUAAGACUUCACUCAUUGGUAUCUCAAAAAACUUGACCUAGCAAUCAAAUGUACAUUACUCACUCAGAAUUUAGGUGACUUAUUUGAUAAUUGAGUAGAGUCUAGUUUCAAGCAGUCACAAAUGAGUCAUCUAUGCGGUCCCAUUCAAUGUGCAUCGAAAUACAUUAUUGUUCUUAUUCCAAAAUCUAGAUAAAUCUUAGUAAGAACAAUGCAAUCUUAUUAACAUAAAGCAUCAUCACAUCACGAAUCAUGUCUUACUGUACCCGAAUCAUCAAGUAUACAAUUUGUGAUAUCCUAUAUAAUUGUGGAACUUUAGAUAAUUGUUUCAAAUUAUAACAAGCAAAUAAACGAACUUCAGUUUAUAAUGUCGUUAUACAAAAUACUACUCAAAGAAAGGGUAUCAAACUAACGAUCUCCCACUUGCCAUUUUUGGAGUAUGUACGACAUAUGAAGAACACCCAUUCCCUCAAGAUGCCCACCAAAAGCCUUAUCUGACAAGGUCAUGGUGAAUGGAUCUACAAGAUUAUCUACUAAUGCAAUCUUACUAACUAUCACGUCUUCCCGAUGAACAAUCUCUCUAACAAGGUGAUAUUUCCUUUCGAUGUGCUUGCCAUGCUGAUGGCUCCUUAGUUCUUUAUCAUUGGCAACCACUCCACUAUUAUCACAAUAAAGUGUUAUGGGUCCCAUUGGCAAAGGUAUUACGUCAAGAUCCAAAAGAAACUUCUUGAACCAACAACUUCUUUAGCAGUUGCAUUCUACCUCCAUGGUAGAAUCAAUAAUGCAAGAUUACUUAAUACUCCUCCAUACCACAGCUCCACCUUCCAGUGUAAAUACUGAGCCCAACGUAGACUUCCUAAAGUCGCGAUUGGAUUGAAAAUUGGAAUAUCUGAAUAGACAAGCAUAUAAUCUCUUGUUCUCCAAUUCACCGCUACCUAAUGUUUUGAUCCUAGAUUAGACUGAUAAUAAUUAACAAUACCCACAGCAUAACAAAUAUUCAAUCUAGUGUGAAGCACAUCAUAAAUGAGACUUCCCAUAGUCAAAGCAUAAAAAACCUUCUUUAUGUAAUCUAUCUCUGUUAAAAUCUUGGGAGAAUGCUCCUUAUAUAGAUGAAUUCCAUGUCUAAAAGUACCUUAUCCCCUUUUGGAAUUUUGCAUUGCAAAUCUAGACAAUAUUUUGUCAAAAUAUGAAGUUUAGGAUAAUGGAAUCCUUAUGUUUUUUCUAUCUCGUAAGAUUUGGAUUCCCAAAACAUAUAUGGCUUCUCCCAAGUCCUUCAUAUCAAACUGUUGUGACAACCAUUUCUUUGCAGAUGUCAAUGUCCCUACAUCAUUUCCAAUGAGUAAAAUGUCUUCCACAUAAAGAAUAAAAAAACUACUUUUUUUCUUGUAUUCACUUAUACACACAAUGUUCAUUUAGAUUUUGGUCAAAACCAUAGGUCUUAAUAGUUUGAUUGAAUUUUAUAUUCCAAGAUCUGGAUGCUUACUUGAGUCCAUAAAUGGAUCUCUACAACUUGCAAACUUUAUUUUCAUGACCUUCUUUCACAAACCUUUUAGCUUGCAUCAUGUAUAUAAUCUUCUCAAGACGUCCAUUUAAAAAUGUAGAUAAUCUUCUCAAGACUUUCAUUUAAAAAUGUUGUCUUGAUGUCUAUUUGCCAAACCUCAUAAUCAUAAUAAGCAACAAUGGAUAAAAGAAUUCAAAUAGAUUUGAGGAUGGCAACCUAUGAGAAGGUUUCUUCAUAGUCGAUAUUUUUUCUUUGGGUAAAACCCUUGGCCACAGCCUUACUUUGAAGGUUUCAACAUUUCCAUCUAUACCUAUUUUUCUCUUAUAGACCUACUUGCACCCUAUAGAUUUUAUCCUAUUAGGUGCAUCUACAAGAUCCCAAACUUUGUUGAAAAGUAUAGAUUUAAGUUCAUGGUAGAUUUCCAUUAUUCAAAGUCUACAUCCUCCAUUGCUUCCUUAAAUGAAGUAGAAUUUUCUUCUUGCUCAAUAGAGAUGGCUUUAUAGGACUCUCCAUAGAGCAAGUACCUAGAAUGUGGUCUCACAACCUUCCCACUACGAGUAAUGGUUGAAAGUGUCUGAUUGUCCAGUCUGAAAAAAUGUCCUUCAUUUCCUUCCACUACUUGGUCUUGUCCUUGGUUAAGAUAAAAAUCCUCAUUAUCCCCAUUGAGAAGGGUAUGUAGGGUACAACAAUGGAUACCUCAUUCUCUACUACCUCUAGUUCUGUUUGUCCAUGAGGGUCAGUGGGCAUCAAUUGCUCACUUACCUCAUCAGCAACCAUUGGUUCUAUAGAAGGUUCCAAAUCAUCACUAUUUGAUUCUAAGCAAAAAUCUGGAACUGGGUUGUUUAAACCAUGUUCUAACACCUCUUCCAAUAUAAUCUUACUAGUAGACUUGCAUUCUUCUAUAUACUUGUCCUCUAAGAUGUUACAUUUGUACUAACAAAUACCUUCUUAUCAAGACGACUAUAGAAGUAAUAACCUUUCAUUCCUUUUGGAUAUCCUACAAAGAAACAAACCUUUGAUCUUUAUAUUAUCUUAUCUAUCUUUUCCUUUAACACGUGUGCCGAACAUCUCCGUAUUCGAAUGUGGUGCAAAUUAGGCUUGCGUCCAUUCCACAAUUCAAGAGGCAUCUUGAGAACUGACUUAGAUGGCACUAAAUUCAAGAUAUAAAUGGUUGUUUGUAGUACAUAUCCCCAAAAGAAAAUAGGUAACGAGGAAUAACUCGUCAUUGAUCUUACCAUAUCUAAAAGAGUUAUUUUUUCUUUCCAAGAUACCAUUCUAUUGGGGAAUUCUUGGUACACUCAGUUGGUAUGAUAUCCCACUAUUCAAUAAGUAGACCUUAAAUUCUUAGGAUAGAUAGUUGCCACCUCGAUCGAAUCGAAGGGCCUUACUACUCUUACCCAGUUGUUUCUCAAUCUCCAUCUGAAACUCCUUGAAUUUCUUCGAAACUUCAGAUUUGUGAGACAUAAGAUAUAUGUAUCCAAAUCUAGAGUAAUCAUUUGUAAAGGUGAUGAAGUACUCAUAUUCUCUCCUAGCCCGAGUACUAAUAGGUCCAUGAUUACGCCCAAAGAAUAACGCGGUAGUUGUAGCCCAGCUUUGGGGUGUUAAUUCUACAUGGAGAUUGACAAAUUGUUUAAAGGAUUUAUCGAACUAGGAUUUUGUGAAUUAUGUGAAAAUAAUUUGACGAUUGGAAUGAGAUUUAAUUAUCAAUAUGUGAAGCGUCCGAAUUCCUUCAAUUGGAUUGGAUCAUCAACAUCAAUAAUUCAUGGCUUUUUACUCAAUUAGAGGUUUUCAUCCCAACUCUCUAAUCGUAAGAUUUAACAAUGGAGAUCAAUCAAAUUUUAAUUGUAAUCCUAAGAUCUAGAUUUUUGUAAACCAUUUCCACACAUGUUUAUUGGACUAAGAUUAAGAAUCGACCAUAUACACAAUGCAUAAAGCAGUAAAUAAUCCACCAAGAAAGUUGAAUGAAAUUGAAAUUCAACAUUUAGUUCAAUUCCAAAAUAGAAAAAAAAAAUAAUUGAAUCUGUAAUGCCCCAAAUUUUCAUAACACCGGAGCGUUACAAAAAAUUCAUUUUUUUUGUUUACUGUACAUAUGAAAAGAUCAAAAUAAAAUUCUUUAAUAAAUAAUAACUGUGACAUUCAUAAAUUUAAAAUAAACAUAGCAAUUGUAUCUGAAAAAUAACACUAAACAUGUCUCAAAAUAAAUUAACAAGUAAUUUUAAAGGUAGAAAAACUUAAUAAAAAAUUUAUUCUUUUUUACUACGAUCCUCUUGGCAGCCCGCAUCAUCGCCCUACCACAAAUCUAAUCGACCCGAACUAACUUGUAAAAAUUUAUAAGAGUGAAUAUUCAAGAACACCCAGUAAGAUACAUGCAACUUCCAUAUACAUAUAGAUAACAAUAAAAAUUAUACUUCAUACCAUCUGAUCUUAUGGAGUAUAUUGGUGACCAAGUGUCACACCUAUCUUAGGUCCUCUUAUAAUCCUGAAGAAUUUCAUAUUGCUUUAAAAAAAGAAAAAAGGAAUGUCUACUGACAAUCCAUGUAUUUUUAAUUGAACAUAAAUGCAUGAGGAAACAAAAAUACUUACACUUAAAGUAUCUUACCUCGUUAUUUGAAAAGUUGUAAUGGACCAGAAAAAUACACGUGAAAACCCCUUUUUAAUGCUUCAUUCUCUCUGACUUGACUAUCUAUUUUCUUUAGGUAAAAUCUUUUUGAAAUUUCUGUGGGUCUAUGCUUGGAAUACAUGAGCCUUAUAUAGGGGUGGCUAGAGUAAAAUAUAAGUCCUAUCUCAACCAAAAAAUUUAUUUGAUUUGUACUACCCUUUUGUUUUUAUCUCAAACAAAUCACGUGCGAUAGAGAGUUGGUUUAUAUAUGUAUUAAAGUAUGUGACCAUGAUUUGAUUUAAUCCUACUUGGUUUGUUAUUCUAUGCAUGUACACGAUAUAUAAAAUAAUAGGAGUGUGCAGGUGAGUGGGAUGCCAAGACUUUUCGAACUCUUAUAAGAUUUCAGCAAAGAAAUUCUUUAUUAUCUAUUAUUAAAUCAAAAAGCUGAUGGAUAGACUUUAACCAUUAAAACUUGUGCCUAAUUAUUUCUAAGACUUUAGUUUGCACCUUAAACUAACCGAGGAAUCAUAUUGGAUUGGAGUCUUCUAACUGUUAUAAAGAUAAAUAUUAUAAUUAUUUGCUAAUUAUCUUAAAUCCAUUGAUUAACCGUAAAUAGAGUUUUGAUGCUACUAAAAUUGAAAAGCCAUGUUUCACAAAUAAGUUGGAUAAGCACUAGUCUAAAAUGAAAUUAGGAUUUAUAUUAAAUUAUAUCAUAUUCAAAUUAAGAUCACUAUUAAACCCAUAUAAAUAUGGUCUACACAUGGCUGCAAUAAGCUUAAAUUUGUAUCACUUACCUACUUAAUUAAUAACAAACUUACAUUCUGAAACUAUAAUAUCUUGUGCCUAACUUAUCUAAUUUAACUUUAUUCGAGCUUAAAAUACAUAAUUAAAUACGAGCUAUCCAAAUAUUGAUAUACUUAUCAUCACUCUAUCAAAAUCCAAUUAUUUGACCCAAAAAUAUAAUAGUUUAAAAUAUAAUCAAAUAUGAUAUCUACAAAUAAAUUUUUAUUAUAAAUUUUUUUUUGAGAUGUUACAAUCUCCCUUCCUUAAAAAUUUCAUCCUUGAAAUUACCUACGUUCGGGUCCUCUAUUGUUUGUUCCUGUGCUAAAGCAAAAACUCUGGUGUUUCCCUUUUUUCUUGCUCAUCAUUCUUCUUCAAGGGGUCUUCUUUGCAAUUUUUGGAAAUGUAACAUGUUUUGCCACAUCGAUAGCACACAUGCUUCCCAAACAGACAUUCACAUUAUGCAUUUUGUUGCACUUUGGACAAGGUGGAAUGACUUGUCCAAAAGUUGAUUAGAAGUUAACAUUCUUGCUCUAUCCCUCUCCUUUCUCUUUAUUAGACCCAUUCUAUUUUUUCUUUCCUGAUGACUCGGGCCCUGCUGGGAAAUUUGGUCUAUUUCGAACCUAUUUGAGAUUGUUUAGACAAUUUGCAUAACUCGACUAUAGGUGGUGAAUUGGUGGGAUGCCAUUAUUCCAUCAAUCUCAGGACGUAAUCCCAGUUCGAACCUCCUUGUUUUCUUUGCUUUAGUAUCCACUAGAUGUGAUGCAUACCUUGAGAGUUGUUCAAAUUUUCUCUCAUAUUCUUCAAGCUUCAUUUUUCCUUACUUAAGUUGAAGGAACUUUGCCUCUUUUCGAUCCCUCAAGGCUUGUGGGAAGUAUUUUCCCAUCACUUCCUCCUUAAAUAGUGUCCAAGUUAGAGCACAUUGUUGUGCUCCUGUUCUAGUGCAAGAUGCUAACUCCCACCAUUGGCUUGCAACGUCAACCAACAUAAAUUCUGCACAUAACACCUUUUGAGCAUCAGUGCAAGAUAGAUGUUUGAAGAUUCACUCCAUUCCUCUUAUCCAUUCUUCAGCUGCUAGUGGGUCUGCUUUGCCAUCGAAGGUAGGGGGUUUGUAGCGACAGAAUUGUUCCACAAAUUGAGCUAGUGGUGACAGUGUUUGCACCGUGGGGACUACCCUGUGCUUGUUGCCUACACAAAUCUUGUACCGCCCUUAACAAAUCUAGUAUUAUUAAUAAUCUUUGUAAUAACGAAGAAAUAUAAAUUUCCAAAUCCUUACAUAUAGUAACUUGCUCUUAAAAUCAAAUAAAUAAACAAUUAUACUUAGGCCUGGGUACGGGUCGGUUUGAUUCGGUUUUAAAGAGAAUCGAACCGAACCAAAAAUUUCAGGUAUUUAGUAAAUAGAACCGUUCGGGUUCGGUUUGGUUCGAAUCAGUUUGGUUUCGUUCGGUUCUGUAAUAUAAUUAAAUUUUUUAACAUUUAUAACAACACUACAUAAAUACAACUAAUAACACAUUCAAUCGUAAUUUUAUAAAUUAACGUAAUCCAAUUUAACAUGUAUAUAACAAGUUGUCCAACAAGAUUAAUUUACCAAUCACAUAUGGGGAAGUUACACACUACCUUAUUCAAAUGAUCAACAGUCAAAGGUCGCAAUUGGAGCUCGGAGGUCAAAGCUUCGGACUCGAAGUCGGAGGUUCUAUACAUCUAUUUGAGUUUUGGAAUGUCAGAUGUGUUAUGUGUAGGUGAUAAUGUAUAUAAUUUAUUUAGGGUUAGUUAUUAGUGGGUUGGAUCACUUGGAUGUUGGGCUAAAAAAUGGAAGAAUAAAAACUAAAAAUGGCACUUGGGCUAAAAAUUAAAAAUUAGAAAUGAAACAAAUAAUUGGGCCAAAAAAUUGGAUUUAGAAAUUGGUUAGGUUAGGUCAAGCCUAGCUUAGGAGAUAAAGUAUCACUUAAUCACCUAAUUUGUUAAUUUGUUUAGAAAAAAUUAAAAUAAUUUGAUUUAUUCAAUAUAAACAAAAUAAAAAUUUGGAAUAUUCGGUUCUUAUUCGGUUCUUCGGUUCUUGGUCUAGAACCGAGACCCGAACCGUACCCGUCGAUUCUUAAUUCAGAUACUCGUUCGGGUAUUUAACUUGAGAAAAACCGUCGGGUUCGGUUCGGUUCCGGAGAUUUGCCCAACUCUAAUUAUACUUUUCCUAAAUAAAUAAAGAACACUUAUUUCAAAUCCCAGUGAGUCCUAAAAAAAUCUCCUUUUUUAUGGCAUCUCAUCAUCCGAAGUAAUGCAUGACUCUGGCUCGAAAUCUGCAACCAAAUCAAUGAGAUUUUGUGGGUGGAUUUCUUGCUUAGGAUCUUUCAGCUCUGGUUCGAUAUCUUCCUCCGGGUCCUAUUACGGGUCAGGUUGGGGUUCCGAUGCUGGUGCUUGUUGUCUAUGAUUCCAUAGAAUUAUGAUAACUUCACAGUAUCCUUUGAAAUCAAUUUUAUCCCAUUCUUUUUCCAAAUAUAACUCAUAAUACAUAUCCCUCACAAAGUAAGCCACGUCUCUCCAUUGAGGUCGCAUAGUGCUUAUAAGGUGGUAUAUCCAGAGGUCUAUCCCCUCAUUAUAUCCAAAUGAUCUCGUUCGUUCCCACUUAGAAAGAAAAUCUUCAACAUGUUCAACAAAAGUUCGCUGUCAUCUUGCUUCAUAAUUUAUGUAAUUCUCACUGGCCAUUUCAGCGCACUGGAGGUUUGUUGGACUAUUCCUAGUCAUCCUAAUCUUGUGACAAGUAUAAUUUCAAUUAUGCUUAAUCUUGCAUUAUCAAUAUUAUUUUAUUCUCAGUGUAUGAAAGAUAUUCUAGAAUGUAGAAAAAGAAUGACAAAUUUAUUAUGUGAGGUGAAUAUGCUUAUACAUUUCAUAAUAUGAAUCAUGCUAUAAAUAUGUCAUUACAUUUCAUACCUCGGGUCAAUUGGAGAGUGGUCAAGUAGUGAACGUAGCGUGCUAAUAAUUCUUAUCUCAUAAAUGUCUAAGGCUUUAAUUAAUUUAUUAAUUUAUUUUUAUUUACUUAUUUCUUUUUUUCCAAUGUUUUAAAAAAACAAUUAUAAUAAUAAUUCAUGUAUAUAUAAAAGUUUUCUAAAAUAGUCCUCCCUUUUUUAUAGGAUCUUCUCAACAUAAAAUUUCCAAAAAAAAAGACCCCUCACACACACACACACACACACACACACACACACACACACACACACAUAUAUAUAUAUAUAUAUAUAUAUAUAUAUAUAUAUAUAUAUAUAUAUAUAUAUAUAUAUAUAUAUAUAUAUAUGUAUGUAUGUAUAUGUAUAUAAUUCAAAAUUGACUUAUACACAAACAUUUAACUUUCAAAAAAAAAUUGAGAAAAGAAAAAAAAAUAUGUACGCAUAAAGUUUAAAGUUUUUUUUUUUUUGUGUUUACUGUUCAUAUGAACAAUAAAAAACACUGUUCACAUUUUCUACUUUCUUUUUUUAAAACAUUUUUUAAUUUUUUUUACUUUUCACGUGAACUGUUUUGAAAUUUCUUUUUUCAAAAUAAGUCUACAGAAAAGUCAAAACGGUGCUCUGAUAACAAGCCGUAACAUCCCAAAUUUUCAUAAAAUCGUAGCAUUACCAAAAAUUCAUUUUUUUACUUACUUUACAUGCGAAAAGAUCAAAAUAAAAUUCUUUAAUAAAUAAUAACUGCGGCAUUCAUAAAUUUAAAAUAAACAUAGCAAUUAUAUCUGGAAAAUAACACUAAAUAUGUCUUAAAAUAAAUUAAAAAAUAAUUAUGAAAGCAAAAAAAUUUAAUGAAAAAUUUAUUCUUUGUUAUUACGAUCCUCUUGGCUGCCCGCAUCACUACCCUACCACAGAUCUAAUGGACCCGAACUAACUUGUAAAAAUUUGUAAGAGUAAGUAUUCGAGAACACCCAGUAAGAUACGUGCAAUUUCCAUAUAUAUAUAUAUAAAUUACACUUCAUACCAUCUCAUCUUAUGGAGUAUAUCGGAGACCUAGUGAUACAUCUAUCUUAGGUCCUCUUAUAAUCCUGUAGGAUUUCAUCUCUUUAAAAAAACAAAUGCCUACUAGCAAUCCAUGCAUUUUUAAUCGAACAUAAAUGCAUAAAGAAAUAAUAACACUUGCACUUAAAAUAUCUUACCUCGUUGAUUUAAAAAGUUGUAAUGGACCAGAAAAAUGCACGUGAAAACCCCUUUUUAAUGCUUCAUUCUCUCUAACUUGACUAUCUAUUUUCUUUAAGUAAAAGCUUUCUGAAAUUUCUGUGGGUAUAUGCUUGGAAUACAUGAUCCUUAUACAGGGGUGGCUAGAGUAAAAGAUAAGUCCUAUCUCAACCAAAAGAUUUAUUUGAUUUGUACUAUCCUUUUGUUUUUAUCUCAAUCAAAUCACGUGUGAUAGAGAGUUGAUUUAUGUAUUGGAGUAUGUGACCAUGAUUUGACUUAGUUCUAAUAUUUUUGUUAUUUUAUGCUUGCACAUUUGAAGAUAUAUGACUUAAUUCUAAUUGGUUUGUUAUUCUAUGCAUGCACACGUGAAGAUAUAUAAAAUAAUAGGAGUGUGCAGAUGAGUGGGAUGCCAAGACUUUUCAGACUCUUCUAAGAUUUCAGCAAAGAAAUCCCUUAUUAGCUAUUAUUAAAUCAAAAAGCUGCUCGGUAGACUUUAACCAUUAAAACUUGUGCCUAAUUAUUUCCAAGACUUUAGUUUGCACCUUAAACUAACCGAGGAAUCAUAUUGGAUUGGGGUCUUCUAACUGUUAUAAAGAUAAAUAUUAUAAUUAUUUGCUAAUUAUCUUAAUUCCAUUGAUUAACCCUAAAUAGUGUUUUGAUGCCACUAAAAUUGAAUAGCUAUGCUCCACAAAUAAGUUGCAUAAGCACUAGUUUAAAAUGAAAUUAGGAUUUAUAUUAAAUUAUAUCAUAAUCAAAUUAAGAUCACUAUUAAACCCAUAUAAAUAUGGUCUACACGUGGCCGCAAUGAGCUUAAAUUUGUAUCACUUACCUACUUAAUUAAUAACAAACUUACAUUCCUAAACUAUAAUAUCUUGUGCCUAACUUAUCUAAAUUAACUUUUUCUCGAGCCUAAAAUACAUAAUUAAAUACGAGCUAUCCAAAUAUUGAUAUACUUAUUAUCACUCUAUCAAAAUCCAAUUAUUUUAGCCAAAAAUAUAAAAGUUUAAAAUAUAUUUCAUCUUAGUCCCUCAUUUUCAUAAUAAUCAAAUAUGAUAUCUAUAAAUAAAUUUUUAUUCAAAAAAAUAAAUUUGGGAUGUUACAGAAUCUAUAUAGAAUCUAGUAAAAGUUAAAUCAAUUCCAAAGUAAAUUCAUAAUAGAUAGUCUAGAUCUAGAAGUGUUGGACAACAAAAAUAUCAAUUUGCAUGAAUAAAUGGUGUGAAGUUGCGAAAUCCAAUGAGUUCCUUCGUAGCUUUACCUAGGAAUUUAGUUCUCCAUCGAACUCCUUAGCCCAAGAUGAGCGAAAAUCUUUAUGGAGGUGAAGAGAGGCGUGUUCUAGCUAGUCUAGGGCUUAAAACCAUUUGUCAAAUUGUUUCCAAAAGAGGUUGAACCGAAUAAGGAAACUAAAUUUUUAGCCAGAAUAUUCUGUACAAUUACGUUUAGUAUUUUGACCAUAACUCUCUCUCCCAAUGUCCGAUUAAGGUAAUUCAAAGUGUGUUGGAAAGAUAACACAAAGGAAUACAAUUUUUCUAGAAAUAUCUCUUUCCAAAUUCGAAGGUUUACUAGGUCAAAAGUUGAUCUUAAUCUCCGGCUGAAAAUCUGGAAAAUCCUUAUGCGAUUAUAAUUUGAUUUACGGAAAUAUUAUGGUCAUAUUUAACUUCUUUUGACUUCUAAUUGAAUCCAAUUGACCCAUAGCAUUAUCGAAUCAUCAUCCCAUCGCCCAUCUCUUCUAUGAAUUAUUUGCAACUGGGUCUUUGAAUUUCACUUUGGUAAUUUUUCACUCAUUUCUUCCGAGUUUCGCCUUUUUAUCAAAUUGCAACCUAGAUCAAAACAUAGCGAUAAUGAGUUCAUUUUGGCAUAAACAAAUGAAACAAUUAAGAGAGAAAAAUUAUGAUAUUUUGCAAUCUUAUUAGUCCACAAACAUCGAAAUGUACUAAUUCCAAAGCAUUUUUAGCUCUUAGUCCCUUAGUCUUAAAGGGUCUCUUAGUCAUCUUUCCUUUCAUGCAAGAUUCACAAGCUGGUAUGGAUUCCACCUCUAACUCAUUUAAAGGUCCAUUCUUUAUCAAUAUUUGAAUCCUAUUUAGAUUGAUAUGACCAUCUAAGAUGCCAUAGGAGAGUUUCAUUACCACGAGAUGACCUCUUUCUUUUCCUAGAAAUAGUAGUGUUAUGUAUAGAGCCAAUCAUAAGACUUAAGACAUAGAGACUAUUAACCAUAUCACCCAAACAUAUAACAGAAUUAUUCAACUUAAUAGCCACCGUAGAACAGGUAAAAAGUACGAAAUAACUAACACGAUAUAAAAGUGCAACGAAAACCGAGUUCCGUGUAAGUUCGGGAACAUAAUAAUAGUCAUCCAAGAUCAAAUGUCUACUAUUUUCAAAAUAUAAAGUAAAUGUGCCAACAACUUUGGCAGACACUAUUGCUCCUGCUCCAACUUUAAGAGUAUACUCUCCUUUACUAAGGUGCUUGUUUCUUGGAACCCCUACAAAGAAUUGCUAACAUGAUUAGUGGCUCCAAAAUCCACAAUCCAAGUUUUCGUAGAAUCAAUCGUUAAGCAUGACUCAAUGAAUACGGUACUGCCUUUACCUUGCUUCCCCUUAGCUAGAUGAUUUGGGCAAUUCCUCCUCUAAUGACCCUUUUGUCCACAAUAAAAACACUUUUCCUUUGUUUCCCAUCGGCAUUAGUUUUCUUUCUUUGACUUGCUAUUUGGCUUUUUAUUUGGCCUAUUCAUCUUCUUUCCUCCUUUACGACCAGAAGGCUUAGGAUGAGAGGGUCUAGCUAUUAUAGUUAAAGCACUUCCACUUCUGGCCUUUAGAAUAGUUUCAGCAAUGUGGAGUUCUUGCAAUAAUUUCGUCGAAGAAAUGUCCAUCUUGUGUAGAUUAUAAUCAACUAUAAACUGUGAGACAUCUCAGGAAGAGUAUCAAAGACCAUGUCAGUUUGCAUCUCGAAAUCAAUGUCAGCUCCUAAAACCUCUGCAGCAUUUAAAUGACCAAUCAUGGUUAACAUAUGAUCCCUCACAGAUGUGCCUGAUUUCAUGCGCGUGUUCAUAAUUGCUCUAAUGGAGGCUUGCCUAGCUUGUCGAUUUUGAUGUCCAAACAUCUCUUAAAGACUUUCCAUUAUGUUAAAAGUAGUUUCCAUAUUUUGAUGUUUUUGUUGUAAUACAUUUGACAUGGAUGUCAAAAUGUAGCAGCGGGCUAUCUCAUCAGAAUGACAACACUUUUUAUAUGUAGUCUUUUGAGAUUCCGUAGAAUCAUCUUUUGGGGUUUUGGGACAAUUUUCAAUCGGCACAAAUUUUUGUUUUUCAUCUGUAAGAACAAUAUUAAGAUUCCUUUUUCAGUCAACGUAUUUUUCUCCCACAAGUUGAUUUUUGUUAAGUAUCAAUAAUAAUGGAUUAAGUGACAUUUUUUUUGUAAAAUUAACGACUCGCAUAUUAAUAAAAUGAAAAAUAAUCUUUGUACGAUGCAUGUAUAUGAGUAUGCAAAUAUAGACCCAAAACUUUAUUUUUAAUCAAAGACCUUAAACGCUUAUAACUUUUAACACGCCCUCUAUAAGAUGUCAAUGUAGUUGUCUGCAAGGUUGGGACCCUCCAACUCAUUUUAUUGAGCUAGGCAUCUCUUGCCAUAAUAAAAAAUGAGGACUGAUUAUUUUUUGACCUAUGAAUAAUUUUGUUGAAACAUUCUAUAAGAAGUCCUAGAAAAAAUUCAUAUGUAAAUGUAAUAAUCUCCAUCAAUAAUUUUGAAAUAUCCAAAAUAUAUAAGAUGUCAUUUAUAGGAUAAUCAUUCCAUUAUUUCAUUUUAAAAACAUUCUAUUAUGAGCUCCAAUUUCAAUUCAUCUAAAAUAAUGUAGUCUUCUUAUAGGGAGAUCGAUGUAAUUCAGUACUAAACAUAUGUAUUUUAAUAACAAUUUGGAUGAUGGAGGAGGCCGUAGGUUUAUACAUGCCUAUAAAACUUCUCCCACUUAUUAUUUUAAACCAUUGGGUUUUUAUUUAAUAAUUAAUCUGCCAAAUAUAAACAAUUAUGAUGGCAUUAAAUUAUUAAAUAAAAUAUUUUUCAACCACCACUAAUUAAUUUAGAGUGAUGAAAAAUAUUUAAUACAAAUGCAUAUGAUUUUAGUGCAUCGGGUGUUUCAUUUAAUCUACCUGACAUUUGAUAAUAAUUAAAUAUUCAUUCAUCAUCCAUAAAGCGAUAAAAGCAAUAAUUAAAUGAGUUAUAAUCAUUUAUGGCCCAUCUUAAGAAUUUAAAUUACAACAUGGAUGAAAGUAUUACAUUGGGCCACAUUCUAGCAGAAUUCUUCAAUCUUCUUGUAGUCCAUCUCAUGUAAUAUCCAAAAUUAGGUCAAUUUAAUUUUUAAUCUAAAUCCUAAAAAAAAAAAAAAAAAAGACAGUCAUCCAACAAGAUUCGCCAAAGUUUCAAAGAAAAAACCAAAAACUCAAAAUUAACCCAAUUUCCAAACCUUAGCAAAAAAAACCUGUCUCCAACUUGAUACACUUCUUCGGUGACGGCACCAUCAUCGACAACCCCAAAAGAGGCUGUUGUCACCGUCACCAGGCGACCACCAUAGUAGUCGUGGCUACUGGAAGUAGCAACCAUGGCCGUCGCGACUGACCGUUAAGGAAGCUACUGCGGCCUCUUGCGAGGCAACAGCUACUGCAUUUGGCAGCAGCAACCACCGCCACCAAGCUAAAGUGUUUUUUGUUUUGCAUUUUGUUGACCUCUUUCUCCUUAUUUUCAAUACGCAAGUGUAAAAAUGAAGAAAAACUAUACAAGAAACCAAGUUCCUUAUGGCUUACAAUUUUUGUAGAGAAAAUAAAAACAACAAAUGAAUUACAAUGGGAAGCAAAAUAAAUCUCUACGGCCAAAAGUGAUUAUGGGGGUGUUUGAUAGUGAUUUUUAUGUAAAAAUAUAUUUUAGAAUAGUAAAUUGAUGUGAAAUGUGUGGUUGAAAAAUAAGGAAUUUUUUUUUUAUUUACGUGUAAUAGUAUUUUAAUAAAGAAUGUGUGGUUGAAAAGAAGAGAGAGUAAAAUACAUUUUGAAAAAAAAUGGCUACCAAAUGGGGCCUAUAUAAACAUCUACUUUAAACAUAUAAAGCAAUAAACAUGUCAAAUCAAAUAACCAAACAUCAUCCACACUAAAAUGCAUUUUAUGCUAGGACUCAAGUGACUUAAUCCAAUUCAAGGCUCUCAAGAACCUUGGCUCAGAUACUAUUUGUUGGUUAUUGAAUUUAAUAAUCACAGUAAGAAAUUAAUUUUCCUUUGAAGAUUAAACCUAUAUGAAUAAGGAUGUUAGAUAACCUUGAGAUCAUUGGAUGUUUUAAAUCCUCACACAUAAAAGGGAAGAUGAUAACCUUGAAGGAGCUUUUAAUGACAUAGCCAAAUACUUCUUUCCUUAGAUCUUCUCCCUUAUUCUCCUUUAGUUGCCUCUCUCUUUUUGGGAAAUGAAAAAGUGACUAACCCUAAAAGCAUAUGAAAAAGUGCCCAUAAAGGGCAUAUUUAUAAUACUUACUCAAUUAGGGUUUAGGAAUUGCACAAUUUUCCUUGAACUUUAUUGUAGUAGACCAAUUAAGUCGCCCACCUUUAUUGGAGCCAAGGGAGGGACCUAAUUGGACUCACAUGACUCAAGCUCCAAUAGAUGUUUCUAAUUGGAUCAACUCUUAACCAAUUGAGAUAUCUAUUAAUCACGGCUCAUUCUUCCAAAAAAUAAAGAUUGUACUCUCUAGUUGAAUGAUAAUUAUAGAAGCAAAUUAUGAUCUAAUAAUAGGCAAAAUGACCGUUUUGCCCUUCAACAUGUAUUACCCUCUAAGUUCCAUUUUUAUACGACAAAUUCGUUGUGAUCAAAUCACAAUAUAAAGUCCAACGAUCUCAUCAUCGAACUACUAAGCUCAGGUUCAAUUUACCUAUGAGAAAUACCUCAAAGUGACGAUUGUCUCAUCUCAAUGAUUAAUGGAUUCCAAUAUUGGAAGUAUAUGAUCUCUAAUUGCUUUGGCCCAAUUCCCAAAGCACGGAGAUCAAUCUUUUAUUUAAGACUUCACUCAUUGGUACCUUAAAGAACUUAAACUAGCAAUCAAACGUACAUUACUCGCUCAAAAUUUAGGUGACUUGUUUGAUAAUUGAGUAGAGCCUCAUUUCAAGCGGUCACAAAUGAGUCUUCUACGCAGUCCCUUUCAAUGUACAUCAAAACAUAUUAUUGUUCUUAUUCAAAAAUCUCGAUAAAUCUUAAUAAGAACAAUGCAAUCUUAUCCGCAUAAAGCGUCCAACUUUAUGUACUAAUUGUGAACAACAUAUUUUGUUCAUAUCACGAAUUGUGUCUUACUAUACUCGAACCAUCGAGUGUACAAUUUGUGACAUCCUACAUGAUCAUGGAACCUUAGAUAAUUGCUUGAAAUUAUAACAUGCAAAUAAACGAACGUCGGUUCGUAAUGUCAUCAUACAAAAUACUACUCGAAGAAAGGGCGUCAAAUUAACAAUUACAUAUAUUAAGUAAUGUAAUUAACCCUCACAAUUUAUUUGCUAAAAAAUUUCUUUAAAUAAAAAAUCAAAUUAAAUAUAAAUUUUCCAUUUUCUUCAAAAUAUUUCUUAAGUUGCUAGUUUAAGGUAUUAGAAAAUCUCGUGUAACUUAAUUGCAAGUCAAUCAAAAAAAAUGAAAAAGUAUGCAUUUUGAAAAACAUUUUCAAAUUUGAGCUCAAAUGUUUGUUUGAAGUCUAAUAAUUUGACACAAACAAAGAUGAUAGCAAAAGCGAACUCGAAGAUGCAGAAGAAGAGCCAUCUAAAAUAUCAGAAUUUAGAUAUGGACCAGAUAUCUUAAAAUGGAUCUCAACUAAAGAGAGCAAAAGAAGUGUCAAUGGUGUCUCUAGACGGCGGCAGUGAUGGUUAUUGGUAGUAGUUUGUUGCCAUUUGUCGGUGGUGGUUCAAUUUGGAUGUGUAUAUAUGUGUUUUUGUGUAUGGGUGGAAUGAAAAGCAGUAUUUAGACAAUCAAAUAAGUAUAACAGGUAAGUUCGGAACUUUUGAAUGAAAGAAAAGUGGUGGGUGUAAUUUUUAGCGAAAAGAGCUACAAAUAUUCAAUUAUAUUUGUCUAGUUAUUUAAUUGACAUUCAUGUUUAGAAUCAAGUCCAUUAUUCUGCAACAGGUAGGAAUUGGUGAACCAGUCUUGUCGAGUGAAACUUUAGCCAUUUGUUCUUUUAACAAAAACUAUCGAUUAACGUAUAUAGUUACUAAAACCAUUUGUUUUGUAAUAUUUGCUCACUUUUAUUUUUAUUAUGUCAUCAACUUUUUUCUCGUCGAAUUAUCAUCCUUGACCUUCAAUUAGUUAACAUGUUUGAUCUCUAAUCACAAAUUUUCAUCCAAAUAUGCUACUAAUGUUCAUUGAAAAGGUGGACAAAUAUUUUGUUUAACUUUCGCGUUACUUAUUUAUUUUGAUUAUUUAAAAAUACGAGAGAGAUGUCGUUUUGGCCUUUGUAACAAGUAUUUUGGAUGAAAAUCGUCUCUAUAGACAAAAUGUGAAAAUUAAUAAAAGGUUGAUGUUAAGAAUUAAAAAAAAAAGUUGAAAAUAUAAGUGUAAAAAUAAGAAAAAUUCAGGGGUAUGUAUUGUAAUCAAAAUAUAGUCUAGUUAACAAAAAUUGUGGUGUGAAUAUAUUUACCCAUAUGAAAUUCUCAACUUUUAUCAAAGAUAACAUAUCAUAUAAUUCAAUGAUGUGGGCCAAGAGAAUGAAAGGGAAAAAUAUUAGAUUAAUCCAUCAUCACCAGAUGAGGGUCAUUUAUGUGUCGUGAAAAUCAUCACAGAUGUUCUUUAAUCAAAACUCUGUUAAUAAACUUUUUUCAAGGACCUUCGUCCAUUUGUAUCCAAGUAUGAUUGUUGUCAAACGAGUAAUAUAUCUUUAGAGUGUGAUAUUCUAUCGAGUUGUAUUCCCUUGUCAUUUUUAGUUUUGUAGUAUUUCUUGGUUUUGCUCGAAAAAUAACAAAGUGUAAAUUUGGGGCUGUUAAUAAGUGUAAUUCUUAUACUAAUUUCAUAGUUAUUUAUUCAUACAAAUGUUAGUUUAUUUCUCAAUUUUACAUUGAUUUUUUGUUGUUUUUGUUUGUUUUAGGAGACGGAUGUGAGCUUUAAUAGAGAAUGAGGAGUUGUGGAUCAAGAAGAGAAGUAUGAGUUGAAAAUCAAGGUGUAGUGCUAGUCCUGUCCAAUCUGCUUGAGUUUUUGCCUUCCUACGUCCCCCUACCAUAAUGCUUAUACUGGUCCUGCCUGCGUCCCCUGCCAUAUUGCCUAUGCUUUCUCAACUGCGUCCCUUACCGUAAGUAGUUCCAUUCAGUCGUAGCACAAUGCUUGCCUAAUUUUCCCAACUUGUGUCUUUGACUGUAGGAAGUUACUAUUCAUGCUUUGAAUGUUAUCACUUUCUCUCCUUUGUGGUAGUUCUCUCGACAACUUUGCUAGCAUCACGUCCUUAUAUUAAACAAUUGGAAUGAAUUCGUUUGAACUUCAUUCACAUCUUGGCUAUCUACGAUCUCCGAUUUGCUUUCUGAGAUGGACGCCAAUGAUCUUAGAUUAGGACAAUCCUGCAUGAGAUGUGGCACUUUGCAAAUAAAGCAACCACGAAGAGCAAGAUUACCCCUUUUGUCAUCAUAAAGCCUCCACAAAGUAGCUUGUUUGUUGCCAUUGAGCUUAUAUCGACUUUGGGAUUUGGUCUCCAAUUUGGCUAACUUUGUUGCUUGUCUUUUCCCACACUACCCUCGCUUUAUUAAAAUUUCCUUUGGUUGGUUUGAAGGUCUUUUGCUUGUGUCUCCAUGCUCCUUUGGAAUUCGUCAGAGAUUUGGCAAUCGCAAUUGCCUCAUCUAUAUCCUUGACCCUAAGACAUUAUAAUUCUUAUCGCACCCAUGUUACACAUCCAUCCAAGAAAUAGAAAGCAAGACAUCCUCCGAUAUGCUUGGGAUUUGAAGCAUAAGGGUCGUAAACUCUUUGACGUAGUCAUAAAUGAUAUCUUUGUGUUCCAAUUUCUUUAGUUUCUUGCGGACCUUGUACACAACAUUCUCAGGGUAAAAUUGCCUUUUUAGCUCCUUUACAAACUCAAGUAUGAAUCUAGCAAGCUCCCUUUUCAAAUUUAGCAUGCUUUCGACGCCACCAAAGAAAAGUGGUGUCAAAAAGAUACAUAGUAACAUUUCAAACUUUCAUGGCUUCAUCAACAAGAUUCUAGCCUUCAAAAUAUAUUUUCCACGUCUAUGGCAUCCCUUUAGCCAUCAUAGCUUUAUGGCUUUGGGUACUCAAUUAUUGGGACAACAAUGCUAGUAGCAGCACCUUCGCUUGUACCCGGCUGUGGAUUGUUUGUAUUGAUCAAGUUCCUUGCUCACCCUUUCCAUAGUCAAGGCCAUCUAGCUCACUGCUCUUACAUGCUAGAAGUGGCAUCUAAGUCUUUGGUCAUCUCCGUGGCUUGUUUGUCUACUGUAGCCUGAACAUCAUCUUUCGCCGUUCGAACAUCAUUCCAAUGAGUUAGUGUGUCCAUCAUCUCUUGGACUAAUCGUUUCGAGAGUUUUUAACUUUUCAAUGGUGUAGGCUCCUAAUGCCUCAAAGUAGUUUUCAAGAGAUUCAAUCGCCCAUAUUUACGAUAAACCCUCCAUGGUAGUUGAUUCUCGAGUCUUACUUUUGCCUCGUGUUUUCGUUCCUUCAAUUGGAGCAGCACCAUACCUCUUUUCCUCUAUCUCAAUAUCAAUAAUUUGUUGAGUAUCUGCCAUUACAACAACCUACAAACAAGGCUUAUGUUGCAUAUCUUACCUAGUAUUAGAGCCUAGUUUCGUUACCUAUAUAAGGGACACCCCAAGGUAGGAAUCUUGCCAUCAUACCUAUACAAGGGAUAUACAUUACUACACUUCUGAGAAUGUAUGUGACUUUCUACAGUAGGAGAUGUUAGGAAAAUCGGGUAGCAUAGGUAAUUCGCUAUAGCUAAAUGAAACUAGUGUUUUGUCCCUGAAGAUUGAUUACCCAAAAGCCUCAAGGCUAUGAUGGCCGAAAAGAUGCUGCGGACGUGUACUUUGAUGAAUUAAUGAGGCAAUGAAGGAGCAGAAAACUUCAAUAUAUUUGCGAUGUCAUUGUUGUUCAUAAGCAUGGUCCUAGCUUGGGACGAGUUCAAAAGAAUAUUAUCCUAUGAAGCCCACAAGAAAUUGAGGAAAUUGGAACAUAUGAGAAAAAUUCAUGACUAUAUAAUUCUAAGCAUGCUGGAGGAUGAUUAAUGUUCUAUUUCCUAGACUGAAUUAUUUGUUGGGCGUGACAAGAGAUGCAACAUCACAUAGUCAAAAUCGUAGACGAGGUGAUUGUGGUUGUUGAAUCCUCAAUGGGAAUUUGAGAAACUUGUCAAGAUGAAAAACUCAAACCAUCAAACCUACUAAAGGAAAUUUUGGUGAAUAUAGGGAUGACGUAAGGAAAGCCAGUAAGCUAGAUUAGAGGUAAAAUUCUAAGGCUGAUUAUAGAUCUGGCAGCAAUACACAAGACGAGGAUGAAGUUUAGAUGAAUUCCAGUUGUUUAAUGCCAUGAGUACCAAAAUUGUAUUAAUGGGGAUGGAAAUACCAGAGGUUUUAGGGAUGCAGUUAGCUAAAAUCUUUAAGGAUGACAUGGAUGAUGCUAGUGGAGUUUCUGAAGGAACUACUAUAAAAGAAGAAAAGUGAUAAAGCAUUGUCGAAAAAGUCAAAAAAUGGGUGCAUUGAUGUUCAAAGCUUCGACAUGUGUGGGAAUGCUAUAACUGGAGGAGUUGUCCAUCUAAAGAACCAAUGCAGAGGUACAGAGGGUAAAGAUUGGUGUCGAAGAUGGCAUGCAAAAUAGGAUAAUGCAAUGCUUAAGGUAGAUGAUAAUGCAAUGUUUAAGUUACAUGAGGAUACGAUGAACACGUUUCAGUACGACAACGUCGGCGGAUUGAGUAGUUAGAAUGUCAUGGACCUCAAGGGCACUACUUGAAGCUUGUUAUGACAUGAGAAUGUCACGACACAAAGUGGAAUGGUAGACCUAUGGUAAAUUAGGUCUAAACUACGGAGGUAUACGGCGACGGGAUAAGAGACAGAGAUUAGAAAAAUCAAGCUGUGUAGCAACACAGGAAGACCACAAGGGACACAUAUACUAAAAUCGAAGUUUUCUAAGCUAAAUCCAAACUUGACAACUUGUGUAAGGAAGCAAAGUCCAACUCAUAUGAUACUUGCAUAUGAGUUGUAAAGAUUGUCCACUUGCAUGCAGAGUGACAUGUCGACUAGCAUAGAGCCAUGUACCUAGCAACAUGACAACUUGCAAGGUAGCAAACUCAUGUAGAGACAUGCAACUUGUAAAAUAGCAAAUUUGAACUUGACUACCUUGUGGUCUAAGGAAGUAAAUGGCAACUUGCAGCCAAUGAGGACUCUUAGAUCAAGAUUAAUCCUAGCCAUCAAGGGAUGGAGGGAGUGAUAGAGAGUUGAGAGAAAAUUUCCAUGAUGGAAUGGGAUAAAGUAAAUAGAGUGAUAUCUUUGUAGAGAAAUAGUACUUGAGACGGGUAAAAUUUUUACCAUUGGCAGCUUGUCCGACUCCCACAGCCUGAACAUUAUGCUUCACUGCAUGGACAUCGUUCCCCAAUAAUACUUGAUCGCCCAACACCUCUUGGAUGUUAAUUUGGAAAGUCAACUUUUCAAUGGUUUGGCCCUCCAACGCUUCAAAGAGUGUUCCAAGGAUUUGAAUCUAUCACCUUAUUGACGAUGAUCAGGUCGAGUUUUCUUUCCAUCAUCAAAGCUUUUCGUAUGUUGUUCUUAUUGCGUGUUGUCAUUCUUUCUAUCGAGAAAAUAUCACGUCUUGAGACUCUACCAUUUGAGCACCAUACCCAAAUCUAUCUCUACGAUCCUCCCACAAACUCGGCUAUUCCAUGUGAACCUUGCGCGGACAUUACCUCACCUCUGAGAUGAAAAUUAGUUCAACCCUACAUGAACAUGCUCCGAUACCACAUGUCACAGGCGUAGAUUUGUCACCCCAAAACUAUUCUAGCACUGUACAUCGAUGAUCAUAACUGAUCGCUAAUUUGACCCUUGAGGUUGCAGGACACCCCAAGGAAGCCUUCUCCACAUGCGGUCGACAAUAAGAAAUCUUGCAAAACUGCAUGGGUAGGGAUGUUCUCUAGGUCAAUGACUCAUUUUCCCACUUAAUCCUCUAACGCCCUCAUAGUAUAUGUGUGCUUCGCCUCUCCAUACAGAUAUUCCCUUCAAGUUAGUGGGUCUAAAAAUUUAUCCACAAUUGCAGCAUCAUCCCCUUAUCGUGUAAGCGUCCAUUGUGGCCCCUGUAUCUCUUCCCGUACCUCGUACAUGUCGUUACAUCACCAUGCAUGUCGAAGUAUACCACUAUACAAUUUCUACAGCAAUUAUCUAGCCAUGCCCUUGUGAAACAAACAUUAAUGGCCAAGACGGAGAUGCGAGCUUGAUUUCUGCGGUUGGCAAAACUACAUUAAUGCAUGCCCCAACAUCAUCCUCAAAGCUAAGCUUUCCAUCCUCGAUUUUACUUGCUUGCCAACCAUUUUGCCACAUGUUGACAAUCUAAUCUUCUCCGCAGGAACAUACACCUUAGUCUUAGGUAAACCAACAACAUGCAACAUUCAAAGGGGACUUUCUUUGAUACCACAUGUACAUGACCUUGCAUGAUCGUCCGUUCUGCCCAUAAAGUUGUGGGACACCCCAAGACAGCCUUCUCCACACACACGGCCAGUAAGCUAAGAUAUGCAUCAUGAAUACAAUAUAAGGAGGUAGGAAGCUUGCUAUCGUACCUCUAUAAGGGACUUCAUUAGUGCACUUUCGAUAAGAUAGCAAUAAAUUCGCAAUAAGCAAUCUUGCCAUGCCACACGGGUGGGUCCAUGACUAGCAGCUGCUAUACUUACAACUUGUAGCUAACAUUUAUCAUUUUCAAGCCCUUUGUGCCUUAACAACUAACUUAUUUUUAGUACAUAUAUACUUAUAAGGUAUUGUGUAAUUCAUAUUUAUAUUUUCUCCAGAUGUAAAUAGAAAAGUAUACUACGUGGAUAUCAUUUUUUAUAUGUAAUUGUUUUGUGAUUGUUUAUGUACUUAUUACUCACAAAGACACUAUGUAAUUCAAAUAAGAAAUAUAACUUCGAUAGCUACAUUCAAUAAAGAAAGCAUUGAAGAGAUUACUGAAUGACGAGGUCUUUUCCCACUGAAUCAUUCAAUACUAACAUCUUUAUGCAAAUCCCAACCAAAAGGAUGAAAUAGUACUUGUAGAAGUAUUUGGUUUCAUGCUUGAUUGUUUGCCGUGAUUGGGUAAGUAAUUCAAUAGUUAAUGGUUUGCUUCACUCACAAAAUUAGCCCCAUUUGGCUUUCACUUAAGAAAAAUCAUUUUUCUUAAACUCAUUUUCAUCAACUCAUUUCAUGGGACUUACAACUUUUAUUAAGUUUUCAACCACAUUUUACCAACUUUUAUCAAAAUCAACUAUAAAUUUAAUUUUUUGGUGAAGAAAUAGGAGCUUAAUGUCUUUUAAUAAUAAAUAAGCAUUAUUUGCGAUUUCUUUCGCUACCUUACCUUGAGAACUCCAUUUUGAUGUUAUAUAUAAAAAACAUGAAAAAGUAUUCUACUUUUAGACUCAUACAAAUGAAUCAUGUGCCGGGAACUAGAUUUGAACUGGUGACACAAGGAUUUUCAGUCUAAAAAAUUGUCUAGAAAUGCUUGGGAAUGUGCCUGCAUCCCUGACAUGGCCUGCACACCAUGUUCCUUUGUGUGCCCAAAAAUCUGUCUGCGUCCCGGCAUGUCAUGAAGUAGAAGAAUAUAGGAACAUGAGUUGUUGCACAGUACAAUACAUGGGUUUUUGUCCUUAUACACUUAGGCAUUGAAAAGUUAUUUCAAGGACCAUGGGCAUUCUAGCUUCAAUGCAUUCCCAGAUAAAGGAAAUUUCAAUUGGGAGAAACGAAAGGGGAGGGACAAAUCAGAGCGACAAAGGACUAAAUCUCAGAGGUAAAGUGGCCUAUAUAUAUAAAGCAAACUAUAUAUCUCAAGCCUGAGUCAAACUUGAGCAAGCAUCGAUCUUUAUCAAGUAGAGAUGGCAAUUCGAACCGUCAAAAUCGAAAUCCGAGAUUAACCGAACCGAAUGGGGCGAAAAACGUCGAAUCAAUGGUGCAACGGGGAAAAUAUGUUAUUUAAUUUUAAUGACCCGAUUUAGGGUGGGGCAAGUAUGGUAUUUUUGUAGUCGCCUCGACCCGAACCGAUUACCCUUUAACAAAAUAAUAAUAAUUGGAUUUAUUGUUUUAUAUUUGUUAUUCAUGCACUUUCUUUUAUUGCUAAUUUUUUCCUCUUUUGUGUGUACAAAAUUCUACUCCUUCAUCGUACUCUGAAGCUUGUACAAGGUUUGCUGACGAGGAUGUUGACAAAGAGGUACAUUUUUUUAUUUAAAUCUUAAGUUAAGACCAUUAUGGAUUAUUACUCUAUUUACAUUUCUUAUAUACUAUAUAGGAAUCAGCUUUGAGUUUUGAUGUAUGCUAGUAAGAGUUGUGGAGAAGGAUGAAGAUUGAAUAUGAAUUGAGGUUAGAGCUUUUGAAUUAUUAAGUAGGAAUCAAGUUCAUUGCACAAGGAUCAAGGGAUAAAGAUAUUGUUUAAUAUUGUUAUGUUGAUAAUAUUGUUUGUUAAAUUCGAAUUUUGAAUUUGAGAAUUGGGAUAUUGUUUGCAUUUUCAUUUAGGAUGUUGUUUUGCUACAUUGGCUUAGUAUUAUGUCUUUGUUUUCAUUGACUUUUUUCAUAAUUUUUUUUAAUUUGAUGGAUGUACUUAUUAUUCAUAUUUAUGUACUUAUUCUUGAACUCAUUUGAGAAAUGUCGAGUUGAGCCAUAUCACUUACUUUGUUUUACAAUGAAAGAGUUCAUCUUGAGGGUCAUUGAAACUUAAUGGAGUCUCGACCUCUGUCGAGCAUAAUUCCUUUUAAGAGUCAAGUCAAGCUCAAGUGCAUUUCAACCUUGUUUGAGAAGAAAUCAUUCUUCUAAGGAACAAGCUAACCCAACUAUAUCUUAGUCUCAUUCAAACCUUACUUCUCUUUAAAGAUCAAAGCAAAGUGAGUCAUGACUGAAUUUUAACAUAAUUUUGUCCAAGAACAAACUCGAGCUCAAGGAAGUCUUAACCUAGUUUGAACAUAAUAAUGUUGAGUUUUGCUAAGACUUAAACUAAAAAUGAUUGUACUGAGACAUUAUUGGAACUCAUUCAAGCUUAAUUCAACACUUACUAUUAACUUUAAAUGAUAUUAAGACUCCCUUGGUCUCGACUUAGCUUGGCUAAUUAGGAAUUAGGCUAGAAUUCAAGAAUUGGCUAUGUGGUAAAAUAAGUUUUUUUUUUAAUUAUUUGAUCAAAAAAGAGAGGACUUUAUAGGCUAGAUAAAAACCUAGGUCAACAAGCUAAAAAUGGGAAAAAAAAAUCUAGAAUUAGUAUCCUAGGAUCUAUAUUACUUUGCAACUAAAUAGGAAACUGACUAAUAUUAAUUACAUACUCAUUGUGCUAGUGCUCUAAAUUAUACUUUGACACAUGAACUAACUGCCAAAUUUUGUUUCUUACUCUUCCAAGACAUAUGAUUAUCUCCUAAGAAGUACAACAUCAGGAUCAUAACUCUUUUUAUCAAGAUACAACAUCAGGAUCAUAACUCUUUUUAUCAACUACUAAUCCAAAAUAGUCUACAACUGUGAAUGCCUAAAACAAUGUAUUUAGUUUCUUCUCUACAAAUUCUUUUUCAGGAAUACCCUUUAAGUAGUGAAUCACUCAUUAUACGGCUCGUAAGUGCAGUUCUUUAGAGAUGCACAUGAAUUGCCCAAUGGCACUCACUACAUAUGCUAUAUUCAGCCUUGUACGUGAGAGGUGGUAAAUAAGUUUCCCUACUAAUCUUUGGUAUCUCUCUUAAUUUGUGACAAUAUCUUCACUAGUUUUUCCCAAUUUGUUAUUCAGAUCAAUUGAUGUGUUUACGAGUUUUUAAGCCAAUUUUUCCAUUUCCAUCAAUAGAUUCAAAUAUAUAUUAUAGUUUCAAAAUAAAAAUUGUUGGGAAAAACUUAUCUACCAGUAAUGAAGGUACAACGGAAUAUUUUUCUCUCUUUUUUGUGUGACAAAUAAGGACAUUGACAAAACUUUCACUAUAUUACGAAUUAUGGGAUUACAAGACUCACAAUAACAUCAAAAAAUGAUAUAAUUUCUUGGCUUUAGAGGCACUCAAUCUCUCUAAUUUUCUUUCUACACAAGGUCUCAUCCUAUGUAUAAAAAAUAUUGGAUGGAAGAAGACAAUUUUAACUUCAUUCCUUCCUUUUUCUUGUCAAACUUUUCUAUUGGUUGAAAGAAGACAAUUCGAACUUCAUUGCUUUUCUUGUCAAACUUCUCCAUUUGUUGAAAGAAGACAAUUUGAAGCCAUGCAUUUAGUUGUUCAAGCUACGGAGGCCAAGAGUUUGAAAUUAAGAAGACAAAUACCAAGUUUCAUUUUAGGUAGGAAAGCUUAACAUGUUGGAUACAUUGGAGGGGAAAAAGUUGGAAGCCAAACAAAUAACUAUGCUACAUGUACUAUUCCAAAAACAAAGAGGUGAAAUUUUGGUUGUUUUAUACUAUCGCGGGAGUUAUAGCAUAGUUCAUUUUAGGAACAAGUUUUUUCAGUUUUUCUAUUUUUGUGAGAACUCUUGCUAUAGUACCUUCUUUUAUAUAAUUCCAUUUUAAUUAGGUUUUUAUGGGUUUUCUAUAAAUAGGAUUCAUUAUUUUUAUUGUAGAAUAACAUGUUAUUAAGAGAAUUAAUAAAGCAAGAUUUACAUUCUUCUUGUUCUUCAUUGAAGUUAAUUUCAAGCUAAUCAAGAUUUUCAUCUUUGUAGUGUUCAACAAUUUCAUAGUAAGGUUCAUAGUUUUUGUAAUUAAGGACCCUACAAGGUCGAAGCUACCCCUAAGGGUUAGUACUCGGAGGAAAACAGGAAAAGCAAUAGAAAAUUGGAAAUGCCUAUAUUCAGUGGCGAAAACCUAGAUGCUGGUUGUACCGAGUUGAAAGGCACCUUGAGAGUAAGCAUCAACGGUGAUGCACUUUUCUUGGUUACAGUGGACAGAAACCCGAACACCCAUUUGGACUUGGGACCAGUUUCGAAUUCUCCUAUUUUUUCUAUUUCAACCUACUUAAGAAGGAAGUCUUUGCAAAAAAUUAUUAGCCAUAUGAUAGACUAGGGCGGUAGAUGAAUUAAGGUGAAAUUAUGAAACUCUGGAGAAAUGGUUAUGUUUUUGAUGUGACGAGAAUUAUACUGUGGGACAUGUCUGUAAGAAACGCGAGUUAAAUGUUCUACUCGCUGAAGACGAAGAAUAAAUGAUUCCUUAAUUCUGGUGAAGAUGGCAGAUAAGGUGGAAUAAUUACUCAAUUUUAUGUUCAGCCUCACUAUACCUGGAUCAAUAAAGAUGGCUGGGAAAAUUGGUGCAAGACAAGUAACAAUAUUGAUUGAUUGUGGGUACCAUGCUUAAAACAUUACGAAGAGAAGAGCGGGGACAUCAUGUUUUUCAAAUGCCGAAGUCAUUAUCACUGAUCGGGAAAUUGACCGUGCCAUUCUAUUACAUAAAAGGACUAGGCCUGUAGGAGUACGGCCUUAUAGAUAUACACACAACCCAAAAAAAUUAAAUUGAAAGACAAGUGUAAGAAAUAUUGGCAGUCAGAAUUAUACGACCAAGCACCAAUCCUUUCUCCAACCCGAUAUUGUUAGUCAAAAAGAAAGAUGGGAUUUGGCAAUUUUGAGUUGACUACUGGGCUUUGAAUAAAGUUACGAUUCUGGACAAGUUUCCUAUGCCAGUUAUUUAUGAGACUACCUUAGGAUGUUCACUUUUCCUUGUUUGAUGAUAUUUUGGUUUAUAGUGAUAACUUAUCAUCCCAUGAGAAGCAUCUUGAGUUGGUUUUUAGCGCACUAUCCUUGCAUUAGCCUUAUGCAAAUAAACAAAAGGCUCUUCGCAUGGUGAUAGGUCGAGUACUUGGGGUAUUAGGUUUCCAAACAAGGCACUGUAGCAAUUCCAAUAAAAUUUUAAGAUACAACCGCUUAUUUUUGUCCGAGUAUGGAGCAUUAUCUUAGCCUCUUACACAACAACUCAAGAAUGAUUCAUCUAUCUCGACCUCAAAGACUGAGGCUGCAUUCCAAAAAUUAAAGGAAGUUGUGUCUGCAAUACCAGUUUUAGCAUUACCUGACUUCUCACGGCCUUUUGUAAUAGAGUUAGACACAUCAGGUUAUGGUCUUGGGGCAAUAUUGAUGCAAAAUCAAAAUUCUAUUGCUUACUUUAGUCAAGUUUGUCAACUAAUUCACGCCUAAAAUCAAUCUAUGAAACGGAACCCAUGUCAAUUGUUUUGGCCACCCAGAAAUGGAGGUAUUAUAUCUUAGGGAGGCAUUUCAUAGUGCGUUCCGAUCAGUAGAGUUUGAAAUUCCUAUUGGAGCAACGGGUAGUCCAAGGAAAGUUCCAGAAGUAGGUUACUAAAUUGAUGGGAUAUGAUUUCAAAAUACAACAUUGGCUAGGGUUGGAAAACAAGGUGGUAAAUGCUCUUUCUUGGAUAGGAUCACCAAUUGAAUUUUCAAAAUUUUCCCUUGGUCACAUACAAGCAAUGGCUAAUCAAGUUGAUGCUGACCCCCAGCUUUCUAAAUUAAAAGAAAAAAUGAGUUGCAAGAUGAUCUAGACUCUCAUUAUCGAUACUAAGUAGAAUAGUGGUUGUUGUAUAAAGUUAGACUGGUAACACCGAAGUCUUCCUCCCUUAUUCUAACAUUAUUACAAGAGUUCCACAACAGCACAGUGGGAGGACAUUCUGGGUUUCCUCAUACUUACAAAAGGCUCACAAGUGGUCUUUAUAACAUCAGCUAGCUGUUAGCUAAAUCAGGAGGAUAUGACUCAAUUCUUGUUGUGGUGGAUUGUUUAACUAUAUAUGCUUUUUUUUUUUUUUACGUUUUCGACACCCCUUCACAGCUUCAAGAAUGGCUAUAAUUUUUGUAUAAAAUUUAGUCAAACUUCAUGAAAUUUCCCACUCUAUAAUUUCUGAUCAAGACAAAGUAUUUCUUAUCCAUUUUUGGAUGGAAAUCAAAUUGUAGAGUACUUACCUAAGAAAAAGCAUCGCGUAUCAUCUUCAAACCGAUGGGCAUAUGGAAGUAGGAAACCGUUGUUUAAAGACUUAAGAUGCUUUCAUAUGACAAGCUGCACCAUUGGUCUACUUAGUUGCCAUGGGCAAAGUAUUGGUACAACACUACUUUUCACGCAUUUGUCAAGUAUAGUAUUAAGGCAACAAAUAUGAUAACAAUAGAGCAACAGUUGCGCGACCAAGAUUAAUGAGAAGUUAAGUCCUCAGUACUUUGGACCCGUUAAGGAACUAAACGCAUAAGCUAGGUUGCUUAUCACUUGGAGCUACCUUCUACGUCUACAAUUCAUCUAAUUUCCCAUGUCUCUUAAUUAAAAAAGGGCCUAAGAAGCUACAAAAACUUGUUAGCAACUAUCUCCUCCUCAUCUUGGUGCUACCUUGGAAUGGGUUGUAGAAUUAAAACAGAUCCUCAAUUUUCAUAACUCUGGCCAGGGCGAAGUUCUAGUACAAUGGAAAGGGCUAUCUACUUAUAAAGCUUCCUGAGAACUCAUGGAGACUCAUUUUACAAGGUGCCUUUUAGAACUAAGGAUGGCAACGGGAUGGGUUCAUGGCGGGCAAACUCUAAUGUCCCCUACCCUACUAGGUAAUUUCUUGUCCCAUACAGGAAAUUAAACGAGCCUUUGCUUCAUUUAAAUUUUUCUUUUUUUAGUUUUUUAUAAUUCAUUUUAUUACCCUCAUUCAUUAAAGUGUGACAAUAAUAUAGUUAUUAAAUUUUUUUAAUUAAUUUAUUUAUUUUUAAAAGUUAAAUAUAUUAGAAUUGAUGGAAUUUCAUGAAAUUUUCUAUUUUAACUUUAAAGUAUUGAAUUCUUAAAUAGAAAAAGAAGUUAAAUGGGAUGGGGCAAGGUGAGGCCCUUGUUAUCCAUAUCGUCCAAGGGCAAAAAACACCCCGCCCUCUCCUAGACCCGAAUGCUCAGUUAAGCGAGUAAUAUUUCUCCCAUUUGAAGCGAGGCCUGUGGGUAUCGAGUUUGAUAGGUUUUUGGUCAUCCUUAAUUAGAACCCGAGGGUAUUGCUAGGCCUCCUAUCCAAUACACUUAUUCUAGAAGGAUAAAAAAAGAAUGGAGGAUAAAGAGCAACAACAAAUUCUAUUAUAGUUGUAGGAUGAGGUGGACAAUUAGUUACACACAGGCUAUAAAUAAGUGACCACUGUUAGUAAUAAGGGUUAUAACUUUUUAGUGAGUAGUAGUGUGAAAAAGUAGAGUGCUAGCCUUUCUAAAGGCUAUAUGUUCUUUCUUUUCUACUGCAAUUCAUUACUUUUCAUUAAUACAGUUGCUGCUCUUCUAAAGUUCAUAUCCUCAUGCUCUUUUAUAGCUUAAUUGAUCCCUAACAUUUUAAUACUCCCAAAAAAUAUGCUAACAUGCUCUUUAUAAUUAAUUUUAUUACUCCCGAAAAAUAUUUAUUAUUUUUCCACAUCUUUUAUGUUGCUUCUUCCUCGGCUUCAAAACAAAUAUUGCCAUAACAAAAAAGUCAUAUUGCAAUCCAAAAAUGAAAUAUUAAACUACAUGUUAUCCCAAAACAAUCAAACCUUGCCCAAAAAUGAAAGCAAACGUGGCAAACGAAAUUUUGAAUCUAAUAAUCAUCAAGAUUAAUCUGGGAGUAGCACAACCAAAUAUGGCUACAGCUAAGGAAAACACAAGGCUCAUGUGAGAAUAUAUGGUUCCACUGGUCGUGGAAAGCCGAUUCAGCAUCGUAUAUCUGACGUUUGGUGAAGCAAACUCCUACCUGAGGAGAAAUGUUAUCAACAUGUUCUAAAAUGCUCUACAAUUCUUUAGAAGAGUUACGGAGAAUCCCAAGGCUCAUAUAUCAAGAUUUUUACACAUAUACACAACUAUUGAGUAUCCAGGGGUGUCAAGCGAAGCAAUUACACUAAGACUCUUUCCAUACACGUUGAGAGACUCAACAAGAGAGUGACUAAUCCGCCUCAGAGCAUCACUACAUGGAACCGAGUAAAAAAUUCCAUGGCAAAUAUUUCUCGUCAAAAAGGAUGCAAAACCUUAGAUGAGAUUACUACUUUUCAACAACUGGGCUUAGAAUGCUAUUCAAAGGCUUGGGAAUGACACAAAGGUUUAUUCUAUCAAUGUCUACAACACGGAUUGCAGAAGUGAACUUCAUGUGAAAUACUUCUACAUUGAUCUUUACUAGGGUUAACGUGGACUUUGCAUGCAAUGAUUUUAUCACCCAAAAAAACUAUAGAUCAAGUUUAUCAAAUUAUGGAGGAUCUAGCAUUCACUAGUGCGCUUUGACCUACAGAAAGGACGAGUAGAACGAAAGCUACUGGGGUAUUCGAAGUUGAUUCUUUGACUACAUGUUCAACAUAGUUGGCAUCAAUAGCACAGAUAGUGGAUCAGAUGAACACAAAUCAGACAGUGGGACUAAGAUGUAAACAUCGCAGAGAGAACCACGAGAGUUUUGAUUAUAAUGUAGGAUAUCCUUUUGUUCAGGCAAUGGAAGAUGUGAACUACACUCAAAUUUCUCAAAGACCACAAAACAAUCCGAAUCCUAACACCUACUACCUAAGCUUUCAAUAGAGUAAUAAUCAAGGGCCUAGAUAACGCCAUAGUCUACAUGACCAAGUUUUUAGUGAACUGAAAAAAAUCUUUGUUAGAAGAUAUUGUUACUAAAUUAGCGAAGAUAUCUAUCCAACACAUGUAAAGAAUAGAUAAAACCUUGCAAGCUUAGGGAGCUGCCAUCAAGAACUUGAAAACUUAGAUGGGACAAAUAGGGAAAGCACUUUCAAAGAGACUACUAAGAAACAUUGCCCAUUGAUACAGAGACAAAUCCUAAAUAGUAGGUAAUGGUAGUGGAGAUAGUAGAGAAAGAGCAGAUUGAGGCAAUAACUACCUGUAGUGGAGUUCAACUGUUAGAGAUUAAUGUAAAGAAAUCAGUUGCUAAUAAAGAGAAGGUAAUACCACGGUUGAGAAGCAAUUGGAGAAACCAAAGCAGAACAAAGAAGUGAAGACAGAAAGAGCAUUAGAGGAUCCAAAGGUUAAAGAAACUGCUCCUAUUAAAGAAUUUGUUCCACUACUACCUUUUUCACAAAGACUGCAAAAGAGAAAGCUUGAUGAUCAAUUCGAGAAGUUCCUGGAUAUACUAAAAAGGCCCCACAUUAACAUCCAUUCAUCGAUGCAAUUCUAUAGAUCCCAAUGUAUGCAAAGUUCCUGAAGGACAUGAUAUCUAAGAAAAGAAAGCUUCCAGACUAGGAAGAGUGGUAUUGAUCGAGGAAAGCAGUGCAAGGUUACAAAAUAAAUUGCCGCCAAAACUCAACGACCGAAGGAGUUUCACUUUAGCUAUUUCACUGGGCAAAGGAUUUCAUUUUCAUGGUUUAUGUGAUAUAGGUGCAAGUAUAGCUUCCAGACUAGGAAGAGUGGUUUGACCGAGGAAAGCAAUGCAAGGUUACAAAAUAAAUUGUCGCCAAAACUCAAAGACCCAAGGAGUUUCACUUUACCUAUUUCACUGGGCAAAGGAUUUCAUUUUCAUGCUUUAUGUGAUAUAAGUGCAAGUGUAAAUUUAAUGUCUUUGUCUACUUUUAGAAAACUAGGAGUUGGAAAAGUUAAAGGAUCGAAUGUAAUGCUACAACUGGUAGAUAGAAUCAUCAUAUACCCAUGGGAAAAGGUUGAUGAUGUCCUUAUCAAGGUUGGGAAGAUGACCAAAAUAUACCAAUAAUAUUAAGUCGACCUUUUUAGCAACAAGUUGAACUUUGAUUGACAUGGAGAAGGGUGAGCUAACUGUGAGGGCGGAGGAUGCACAUGAGAUCUUUAAACUAUAUAAUCCAUCGAAGCAACCAUUAGUACCGAAGGAUGUCAAAUAUAUUGCUAAAGAAGUGCAACAAGGCUCGAAGGAGAUAGAACCUAAACAUCUAAGAAGCCUUGGACGAAAGGAGAAUGGAGAGUUCAAAGCUUGGAAGGCAAAAAGAAGAUAUAAAGUUAGUAAUUGCAAGGAGUGUAAGGUUGCAAUAUUCCAGCAUAAACGACCAUAAUCAAUCACUCUGUACAGUCUAGCUAAAGACUAUAAACUAAGCGCUCAUUGGGCAAUUUUCUAACUCUUCUUUACUUUUCUUUCUGUACUGUAUAUAGAUUUAUUAUUAAUUUGUAUUAGACUUAGGCAUGUUUCAAUUUAUAGGGUAUGCUCUAUUAUGUUUUGCCUAGGUCCUUGAGUUUACUGUAGGUUACUUCAAUUGUUUGGGCUAAGUUACGCAUGUUCUAGGUUAUUUAACCUUUAAUGUUUAAUUUGACCACUAUGUGUAGGAACAUGACGUCAUGGAACACUCAAACCAAUAUAGACUAAGGAAAAAACAUGAUGAGUGAGAUAGUCUAGCCGUCACCAAUAGUACCUCACACAUUCAACAUAACCUUCUUCCUUCUCUUCCAUUUUCCCUUAUAUUCUUACUUAUGCUUUAAGACAUCGAGAACAAUGUCGAUUUUAAGUUUAAGGGUGGGAAAAACAUUGAGUUUUACUUUUCAUGUGUUUUUGAGUGUUUGUAUGUUUGGUUUUCGUUAUCGCUUUAGUAUAUAAUAGAAAAUUAUAAAAAAUGGAAAAUUUUGAAGAAUUUCAAAAAUAUUUCUUUUUUAAGUCGUAUGUUUGUGUGGGUUAGAUAAUCUGGUCAACAAUGAUGGUUUAAUUUGAGAUUCAGUGUUGAUUUAUGAACUGUAGAUAUGAUGCAUGUUAGACCGAUUGAAGCUUAAACUUGCAGAAUUUGAUAUUAUACAUGCAAAAAAAAUUGAGUUUUACAUCAUGAUGUAAUAAGUUGAUUCAUAGACUGGAUAGGUUGGAAGAUUCAACAUAGAUGCCAAACCCAAACCAUGCUAAAUUAUUUAUUCUUAGACCAAAUUUAGCACAGUUUGUAGUCUUACUGUUGAAAGAAGAUGUGGAUGUGAAUGUGGAUUCCUAGUGUGAAAAAGCUAUGUGUAGAUUAUCUUAGACUAACAAGAUUAAAUUGGGCGAAAUUCUUAGGUUGAAGGUCGAUUUGUUUGAAUAGAUGUGUGAUAAAGAGCAUUUCACCAAUCAAGGCAUAUAAUUUUUAAAACUUCUCUUUGAUGUAUUUAUGACUCGAGUUAAUUAAGCCUACAAAUGUAUCUUAAAAUCUAGUGCACUAAAGUCAUCUGACUUGGGAGCCAUUGGCCUAAAGUGAGUUAUACACGAGUUAUUUAGAAAGCAACCAGAGAUGAAAAUGCGCAAAUUCUAUUCGAAGUCUUUUAGCUUGCUAUAUGGUGUCAUCUAGAAAGCUUAAGAAAUGGAAUGCAAAAAGGGGAAAAAAACUUUUGAAAAUCAGAAAAAGCAAGUGCAUAAGAAAAGCAGAAACACUAAAUGCCUUAGUUAAACCCUAACACUUGUUUAAAGGAAUUUGACUUUUGAUGAAAGACAAUUAGCCUAGUCGAGCCUUGGCGGUCGAAGCAGUCAAAUAAAUGGAAAAUCUUUGUUUAUUGAUGUAUUGACUUGUAGUUAAUAAUGUCCACCUGAACUAAAGAGGGUGAGGGUAGCAAUGAAAUAUUCGAUCUUAAAUUACACAUCGCAAACGAGUGAAAAAAAAAAAGAUAAGAAAAUUGGUGGUGUGUAAAUCAUACGAGAAAUGAAAGGAUAUAUUUGACCACAGAGGAUUGAGAAUUGAAACAACUUGUGUAUUCUAAUUGAUUAAUUAAUAAUUCAUACACACAUCGAUUUUACAUUGAAAUAGUGGAUAUUGGUUUGGUGUUGCAACUUUGAAGCAUGUUCGUGGAUUUAACAUUGAGGUCUUGAAUAUUGAGGUAAAAAAUUAGAUUGUCUAAUAAAAUAUUUCUGCAUGCUUAUGUGUUUGUUGUUAUUUAGGUGAUAUUUUUGUUUGAGGACAAAAAAUGUUUAAGUUCUGAGGUGUUUACACUGAUCGCUGAUCUCGAGGUUAUUUCUCAGAUGAUUGUCUCUCCAAUGAUCCUCUGCCCACAAUAUUCUUCACUAGGUGAUCAUUUGCCUCCUACCACUUUUUAUUGCACUUCUCGUGUAUCUCAUCCACCAGUUAGGCAUAGUUUUUCUCCCAUAGCUCUUUGUCUGUUACCUUUAACACAGUUUCUAUCCCCUUCCUAUAGACAGGCUAUGAAACAAGAGUGUUAGCUGUUGCAAUGAAUGCAGAAUUUGAGGUUCUUGAGACCAACCAAACAUAGGAUGUAUUAUACCUUGUCCACGGGCUGUGAAAUCCAUUGGAAGUGAAUGGGUAUAUUCAGUCAAGUUUCAUUUUGAUGGUUCUCUUGAGCGCUAUAAGACUCGGUUGGUUACCAUAGGUGAUCGUCAAGAGUAUGGAAUCGACUACGAUGAGACAUUUGCUCCUCUGGCUAAAAUGACCAUCAUUUGUCUAUUGUUAUCUUUUGCCGCUUCUCAAUCUUAGUCUCUACAUCAAAUGGAUGUAAAAAAUGCAUUCUUACAUGGUGACCUCAAAGAAGACAUUUAUAUGAAGCUUCCAUUUGGUAUGCCUCUUCCCUCAGCUAACUCUGUAUGUAAGUAUGGUCUUAAGCAAGCUCCUCGAACUUGGUUUUACAAGUUUUGUUGUACUCUUUACCAAAUGCUUGAUACCGUUGUAUGGCUGCGUGGUUUUCUAACUAACUUGAUUUUUCCCAAUCACAGCCUACUCCUUUCCAUGGUUACAACACUAGUGCUAUUCAGAUUGCAGCUAAUCCUGUAUACCAUGAAUGUACCAAACAUAUUGAGGUGGGCUGUCAUUAUAUUCGAAAUGCCUAUAGUUCUAGGAAUAUCGUUCCUCCCCAUGUUCUCACUACUCAACAAAUCACGGAUAUCUUCACUAAAUCCCUAAUUCGCCUCAACCAUAAUCUUCUUGUCAGCAACCAGCUCUUAUAAGUGAUAGCUGCUGAAUUACUUCCUACUUCUUGAUAUAAAAGUCUCUUUCUACGUAUUAUCAUACUAAUAUGCAAUAUCCAUAGCUUUUUAGAAGUUUUUGAAAGUAUUUUACAAUUUAACUAGAUCUUGAGAUAAUGUCACUAUUUCUGGAAAAAAAAAAUAGAUACCACUUCGGAAGUGUAUAAAUAUGCUUCACUUCAAAAUUAGUAGCGACUCUCUACUAAUUAUUAUUGUAUACUGAAAUGAUGGUAAAAGAUAUAGUACAAGAUGGUAAAAUCACCAAAUGUAGCAGUUUUUUUUUUUCCAAAUGGAGUUGUGUCUAAUGACAUCAUUAGCAAGUAGGAAAAUAUUUUAUACUUGAUGAAGGAAACCAAAGAUUGAAGAAGGCAACAAUAACUGAGCGGAUUGCCACAAGAACUGACACAACGAAAUUUACGAGUAAGUAAAUGCUAAUAAACAGAGAAAAGUCGAACACAUGUACUUCAAAAGUCACAUAUGCUAGCCAAUGUUCAGUUACCACAAGUGAAAAAUGCUACAUGACAUAGAUUUCCUCAAAAUAUACAGUGCCCUCAACUUCCCCACCAUGAAGGUGUUUGAGCCACAUUAUUUUAGUAAUACUGCAUUCUUAAUUAGUGUAUUGAUGGAAAAUGUGUGAUUAAAAAAUAAGAAAAAGUUUUUUUAUUUACGUAUAAUAUUAUUUUAUUGAAAAAUAUAUGGUUGAAAUGAUGUCAUAUCACUAUUUAAUAAUGUAUUUUUUUGGAAUAAUGUGGCUCAAACAGGCCCCAUAUAUGAUGGCUCUCAACUCAACCUUGUCUGAGCGAAAUUCCAUCAAAGAAUCAAGUUGUGCCUAAGUAAGUCUUUGAUUGUGAUUAACUAAAAUUUAUCUUAAUAGCUAAGUAGAUUGGGUGAGUCACAACCUCAUUUGACCAACUACGAUUUAAUUUCGUUUAAAGGCACAUUGUCAAAAUUUGUUUCAUCUUAUGGAUUAAGUCAAGCCCAAGGAAUCUCGAUCCAGCUCAAGCAUAAGUCAACUCAAUAUCAACCUAGACCGAGCAUAAUUUUUCCUAAGGUCAAAUUGAGCCUCGCAAGUCUAGAAUGCCAUUUGAAUAAUCCCUCCCAUGGAUCGAGUCAAGCUCAAAAAGUAUCGGCAUUUAUAUACACAAUUUGUUGCAUUACAUUUCCUACACAUACCAUUCCAAUUAACCAAGCUCAUAGUCUCAACUUUUUCCAAACUAAAAAUGAAAUACUUUUUGUCAAAGAUGAACUGUCUCCAAAAUUUUAUUUUGAGAUGAAAUUAACAAACAAAGUCUUAUGAACAAAAAUGAAUGGGAUGGAGCAUCAGUUGAUGUUCUUUGUAAAAUAACUGUAGUGAAAAGAGAAGUAGAAUGCACAGUAUUCAUCUUGCAUUUAAUGAAAACCAAGUUAUCAUUUACUAUGAAUCCUAUUUCUUUGGGAGACAUGGUUAGCUCCUCAAUGUCAGUGAAAUCAACCGGUGGCGUUUUUAAAAUUUUAUUAAUUGUUUGCAGCUCUAACAAAUACAACUAUUAAUCACACAAUCUUUGUUAGUUAAUAAAUUACUUAAAAAUAAUGACUCAAAGGCUUGAAAAUGAAAAACAUUAAUUGUCAAAGUACUUUGUCUCUGCACAAAAUUCAUGAGAAACAGCAAUAGCAAUUACCUUCUAGUUGACAAAAAAACGAUAUGGAGUUAGAGUUUUGAUUCACAAUGAUUUUUCACCCAAAUAGAAAUUAAUAAAUUCUUGACAUACAAAGUCACUUUUAGAUUGAUAGAAGUAGCAUUAGAAAUGUGCCAAUAGAAUCCCAACCUCAUCCACUCCAUGUAGACAUCACUUGCACACUAAAUACCCCAUCAGAAGGCAAAGGUCGUCGGUCUAGAAAAAGGUUCGUUGACCAUUUGCACUCCGACGAUCAAGUUAACGACGAGACUAAAGAUAAUAUGAGUGCAGAAGAGGAAGAGGGGUUUGGUUAGGGAAAGAAAACAAACCUUCAUGUGAAAUGAUUAUAUAGGAAAAUCUAAAUUGGCCGAGUGAUUAAUGGGCUGAGCCCAAGAUGAAAUUGUUUAAUUAAAAUGGGCCCAAUCAAUUAUAUGUCUAUGCCACAUCUACCAUGUGCGGGUCGAACUUCGGAAUAUAAGUAGUAAACUAGGCUCAGUCUUACAGAUUGCCUCAAAAAUAUGGGUAGCUCCAAUCAGCAAGGACUUACGAAUUGCCUCCCAUGCGAGCUAGAAUAAUCGAGACUUACAGAUUCCCUCGAAAUGUCGCAUAUAAUUUGUCAAAAUUUUAACAGCAACUCCUCUAUAAUAUGGACUAAAUCAACAUGUAAUACAAUACAAUAUAUCCAUUACACAUGUACAAAAUAAAGAGAAAUAGUCAUAGUUUAAAUUUGUCUAAAAUAUAAUAUGCAAAGUGUUUGUAAUACAUUAUAGUAAACCAUAUGCUUGGACAGAUCAGUGUAACAGUAUUGCUAAUGUGAAACAAGUAACAUUUUUAUAAUGUAGAUAAGGUGACAUACAUUAGCAACAAUGUUGCCUACAUACUUGGUAGCGAUAAUGGUACUAAGAUAGUAAUGGUACUAAGAUACUAGAUAUUGGUAUCACAAUAGUCCCUAAGUCUGAGUCAAAUAUUUAUAUACGAGUUGAAUUUGACAUAUACUGUGAUGAAACUAACGUAGAGGCAAGACUCUGAAUAUUCUGAAUGGAUAGUAGAGGCAAUACUCUGAAUGUAAGUAUCAGAUGCGAUGCUCUAGAUGUAUAAGUAGCAGAGGCGAUAUUCUGAACAUAUAAAUAGCAGAGGCGAUGAUAUGGACAUAAGCAGCUGUGAUAAGCUGUCCAGCCAUGGGAGGGGUUAACUUCUAAGGUAGCAAGGUGUGGCUCCCUAUGAGGUUUCACACUUAUCCUUGUCGAAACUAUCUUUUUUAUUACCUCCUUGCAAGGGGAUAGCUCUUUUGCGCAAAGGCUUCUUCCAUGGUAAAAUCCAGCCAUGGAAUCUUACGUAGGUUAUUGUAGAUGUGACAGCCGAAGUAGAAGCAAAGUUUUGAAAGAUAGGCAUCUGUAACGUAGUUCUUGUAGAGUCAUGAUGAGCUAUUUGAAUACAGAUAUAGCUAUGUUAUAUCUAAUGAAGUGAUGUGGCUCUGAGUACUGCUGCUUGUGAGAAGCUGAUGUAGAAGUAUGAUGAGCUCUCUUAACUAUAAAUGUAUCUGAAUAUUGAACUGAUGAAUCAUAUCAGAGUCUUAUAAGCUAGCCUUGAAAUGAUGAGGUCUUACAACUAAGUUAGACGAUAGUGAUAAGUGAGGAAAAAACAUCUUAUGAAGCCAGGAUUAAGCAUCUGGUGAAACGGGAAAUAAACAUAUCACUAAUAGCUCUCGAACUAUCGGAGUCUUAUAAGCAGUCUCAGAAUGAUGAGAUCUUACAGCUAAGCUCGAUGAUAGUGAAAGAUAAUGAAUAAGCACUUCGCAAAGCUAGGAAAAAGCAUCUGGUGAGACGGAAAAUAGACAUCCUGCAAAUAGCUUUCGAACUAUUGUAGGCAAGGAAUAAGUAUUUCGUAAAGCCAGGAAUAAGCGUCUAGCAAAGUGACGAAUAGUGACGAGCGCUUAUAGCUAAGCUCGACAAUAAUGAGAGAUGAUGAAUAAACAUCUCACAAAAUCAGGAAUAAGCAUCUGACAAGGUGGGGAAUAAACAAGGAGCGCUCUGUUUAAACUCACUGAUAAUGAGAAGCAAGGAAUAAUGAUCUCGCAAAGCCAAGAAUAAGAAUCUAGCGAGGGGUGGAAUAAAUAUCCCGCAAAUAACUCUAAAACUAUCGUUGUCUUAUAAACUUGUAGCGAGGGGUGGAGUAAAUAUCCCGCAAAUAACUCUCAAACUAUCAUUGUCUUAUAAACUUGCCUCGAAAUGACGAGGUUUUAUAGCUAGGCUCGACGAUUGUGAGAGAUGAGAAAUAAUAUCUCGCAAAGUCAAUAUUGAGCAUCUAGUGAGGCGGGGAAUAACAUCUCAAACUAUCGAAAUCUUAUUAGCCUCCAAUAGACGAGGUCGUAUAACUAGGUUUGACAAUAGUAAGAGGAGAGGAAUAAACAUCUCGUGAAGGUAGUUCAAGAAAGGCUCCUUUCGCAAUUGUAUAUCACCUGUACACUGAACACCCUAUUAGAAGGUAAAGGCCACCGGUCGAGAAAAAGAUCCGACGACCAUCUGCACUCCAACGGUUAAGUCAACGACCUAACAAUAGAUAAUAUGAGUACAAGAGAAGAAGAAUGGGUUUGGUUAGGGUUAGAAAACAUACCUUCGGUGAAAUGAAAUCACACAUAUAUAUAGGAAAAUGUAAAUGGGCCGAGCCCAAGAUGCAAUUAUUUAAUUAAAAUAGGCCCAAUCAAAUAGAUGUCGUUGCCACGUCAGUUAAUGUGGGACUCCGUCCAUCAUGUGCCACGUAAUUUUUGAGUAUAACGGAAGUCUUCUACUACAAUCAAUAAUCACUUGCCAUAGGUGAAAAUUUUAUAAUACAGGUGUCAGUAUAGCAACUCCCGCUAUGUAUGCUGGCGCUAUUGACAAAACACUUACUGGAAGUAAGCCGAACCAGAGGCCUUACUUAUGACAACCGAAAAUUAAAUAUUGAAAGCAUUACAAAUGUGAAGACUGAAGUUAAUAUUGAAAAAUUAACUGCCAACAGGAAGACUCACUCAAAUAACUGAACACAAGUAAGAAGUCAUCAGAUGCGAAAUUGUUGCUGACUCGAUAACGGCAAUACAGAAAACACUUGCUAACAACUUUAAUGUAAAUAUAAAAAAUAAAAUAAAAUGAUCUGACCAGGCAUGUGUCUUCUGUUGCUGCUAGCUUUCCAGAGAACUCUAAAUGAGUUAUUGAACAGGAUAAAAAAAUUUACUGAAGCGCAUAAUGUCUUUGUUAGAAUAUAACUAAAAAUAUCAGCACAAAGGCUAAUUGUCAUGCUGUCGUUUGUCUCCCACAGCGACAUUCAAGAGAAAUAGAAAUAGCAGCAACCUUCCAGCUCUUAAUUCUCAAUGCAUAUGCUGGUUAUUAACACAAUCCUACUAAUUGGAAGGAAAUGAUUCAUAUUAUUUGAUUAAAGAAAACAGAGACCAAUAAACAGGGACUCAUCUGAUUUCCAUAAGAAAUGCAUAUGCUGGUUAUUAACACAAUCCUACUAAUUGGAAGGAAAUGAUUCAUACUAUUGGAUUAAAGAAACCAGAGACCAAUAAACAGGGACCCAUCUGAUUUCCAUAAGAACUCAUGCAAUGAAACACAAAGAAGGGUUAAAAAACAUCAGUCUUCAGAAUCAGAAGUCUCCUAUGGAAUGAUCAAUCUUUCCACCUCAGUCGAAUCUGAUAAAACGAGCAACCCACAAUUGUCCAUAGAACACUCAUUGCUUCAUUAGAAUAUCAGAAUACGAAACUAUUGAGUAAUACAUAAUAAAAAGCUCACUUGAUAAAUGAUUUUGGAUACGAAUCUUUGCUGAAAAAGUAAGGGGACUCGAGUUAGCAAUAAUUAUAGAGACGAAUCGAAACCAGCAACCAUAAAAAGAAAUCUCAGUAUUCGAAUGAUAAUGUUAUUUCUAUUCCUGUUGGAAAGGGCUAAUUAUCUCCCUGCUGAAAUAGGGAAAGAAUACAAGACUUGGAAGAUAUAACUUUUUAGAUGUACGGAAACUACUAAUUUUACAGAAAUAGAGUUCUGGAAAAUGGAGAAAGAAAUCCUCAUAUUCGAAGAAUAAUGUUGAUUGAAACCACUAAUUUUCAGGAUUGAACUAAUAAAAAAAACAGAAAACUAACUAAACAAAGUCAAAAUUUCAUGAAAGAAACGGCUACUAAGAAGUGGUUUAAACAAAAUGGCUACUGUCACCAAAAUCAGUCAUAGCUACUAAGUAGUCAUUUCUUAUCAAUUCAUGCUGAUAAAAAUAACCAUUCAAAGUGCCACUCCAAUACUAAAAGCUGAUUUUUCUUCCCUGCAAAUGGCUACUGUCACCAAAAUCAGUCAUAGCUACUAUGUAGUGAUUUCUUAUCAAUUCAUGCUGAUAAGAAUAACCAUUCAAAGUGCCACUCCGAUACUAAAAGCUGGUUUUUCUUCCCUGCAUUCUAAUGGAUAUUCAAUAUUCAAUUGAAGCAAAAAAGAGUGACAAAUCACUUAAUGAAAAGAAAACACAAAUUAUGAUGAUUUAAAUUGAAUAUAACAAGCACAUAUCUGACAAAACCCUAUGGUUUGCUUCUACAAAUCAGACGAAACCCAAGUUCAUGAUCAGUUAAACUAAAAUGAAACCUAGAAAAGAUCUUCUAUAUUCGAAUAAUAAUGUUAUUUCUAUUCCUAUGGAAAGGGUUAAUUAUCUGCCUGCUGAAAUAGGGAAGGAAUACAAGACUUGGAAGUAGAAUUAGAGUUCUGCAUGUAUAACUUUAUAUAGAUGUACGAAAACUACUAAUUUUACAAAAUUGGAAUUCUGCAAGAAGGAGAAAGAAAUCCCCACAUUCGAAAAAUCAUGUCGAUUGAAACCAUUAAUUUUUAGGAUUGAACUAAUCAGAAAAAUAGAAAACUAACUAAACUAAAUCAAAAUUUCAUGAAAGAAGUAACUACUAAGAAAUGGUUUAAACAAGAUGGCUACUGUCACCAGAAUCAGUCAUAGCUACUAAUUGUGAUUUCUUAUCAAUUCGUAUUGAUAAGAAAAACCAUUCUCUGUGCCAUUCGAUACUAAAAGCUGAUUUUUCUUCCCUGCAUUAAAAUGGAUAUUCAAGAUUCGAUUGAAGCAAAAAAGAGGGACAAAUCACUUAAUUGAAAAGAAAACAGAAACCUAGAAAAGAUCUUCUAUGCUCAUCCCAAUACACAAAGAAUGUAACCAUAAAAAUGAAAUUACAGAAAUACAAACAGAAUUCUCUGAGAACAUAAUCAUAAAUAAAAUGGAGAAGGAACCACAAACAUAAUACAAAAUCAUAGUCAACCACAGAAAAUUCACAGAAACAAAUCAAAUGAAACUCAGUCUUGAUCAUCACUCCAAAGAACAAAGUCAAGAAAAAUGAUCCUUAUAAAUUCGUCCAAAUGCACCAGCAAGCAUGUGAUAAAGACAUACACACAGACACACACACACACAAAAGGGGGGAGAGAGAGAAUGAGAAUAGCUCUAAGAACAACUUCUAAAGUAAACAUUCUGAAAAUGAAAAAGGAACCACAAACACAACACAUAAAAUACAAAUUACAUUAAAGGUUGAACCCACAGCGAAUGUGACAUCAAUAAAUCCAGUGAAAUUCAAAAUUCAUCAUCAUCCAAAGAACAAAAGACCCACAGAGCAUCCUUCAAUAUUCAUUUAACGCAGCAAAAAGAAUGCAACUAGGAAGACACGGCAAUUACAUAAAUAUAGAGAACAUUAUUACACUUAGAAACAUAAUUGUUGAAAUAACUGAAAAAAAUAAAAUAAUAAUAAUAAUAAUAAUAAUAAUAAUAAUAAUAAUAAUAAUAAUAAUAAAUAAAUAAAUAAAUCAAACACGCACACACAAAUUAUUAAUAUUCAAACCAAACACAGAUUCAAUUAUAGAUUUCGCCCAUAUAAAAUUCACAGAACAAAUACAAAUACAGCGAAACCCAUGAUGGAUUAUCACUCUAAAAGACAACUAAUCAAGAUCCAUCCAAAUAUAAACAAAACACCAAACACAACCAUUAAUGAUAAAUCACUGCUUCGUGAUUUCAAAUUUAUGUGACUUCUCAGAAGGAAAAUGAUCAAUUCAUGUCUACGGGAAAAACCAUUCUCGGUGCCAUAUAUAAAAUGAAAAGAAAAGAGAAUUCACUGUUGUGAUCAUCACUCUGACCCUGAAAAAAUCCCGCAGGAUAAAGAAAACAAACCAGUGACCCAAAUUUUGAUCACCAGUUGGACAAAAGAACAAAACCUGGAAACUAUCCUUCAAGAUUCCUUCUAUGCAUGAAUAAAGAACAUGAUUGUCGUACCGGAAUCCAUCUUCAGAAAUCCUUGUCUAGUUCUUCUUGACCGAGAUACCUCAAGAAUCACUCUUGAUCGAGAAACCCCAAGCCUCACUUUGAAGAACUAGGGAUUAUAGUAGGUUCUACAUAACGGUCUUAUUUUUAUAAAUUUCAUAUUACUCCAUUGGAUUAAGAACAAAUAAACGGUUCAGAUUUUAGGGAGCUCCCAAGUAAAUUACAAGCCCCUUGCAAAAUUUACCGUUGGAUUAACUUUUAUUCCUUCUGUGGAGAAAAUAAAAACCUUCUUCAAUUUAUUUUCUUUAUUUUUUGUCAUUAUAUAUUUACAGCUAAAAAGGUAUUAAUUUGAGGAAGCCUAUUUUGCGUGUUUUGUUUAAUUUUAAUAAUUUGAAACAAAAUUUAUCAAACAUUGACAAUGAAAAUGAAAAGUCCAAUUGUAUUCUAUAUGGAAAAAAUUAAAACUUGUUGUAGCAAGCAUGUAAAUUAAAAGAAGUUGAAAUUAUUAAAUUUUCUCUUUUUUUUUAAAAAAAAUUUUUUUAUAUUAAUUUCUUUCUCGAAAUGUCAUUAUUCAUGUUAGUUUGUCAAUUGAACUCCUAAUACAAUCAAAGAUAACACCAAAUCAAAAGAGAAAUUAAAAACCGAAAGAGAGUUUACGACAGAAAAGAGCUCUAAAUCAAUCACACAAAAAAGUCCUAUACAACAAAAGAUUCUCAAACGAGCAAUAUUAUGCUCAUUUGGAAGAGGUUCCUACACAAUUUUUUUUCUGAGUUUAAAUUUAAAAAUUGUUUAAUUGAAUGAAUUACAAUAUAAUAAUGAAUUUUUCAUAUAAAAUUUAUCUGUUUGUCAUGUCAUAGAUUAAGUAGAUGAUGAUUGAUACACUCACGCGUUGAAAUUUUAACUACUAUUUUUCAAUUAGGUAUAAAAAAUGAAAACCACCUAGGGCUGAUGAUUUUUACAUUCAAAAGAUUAACUUUUGCAUUAGUAUGGGUGAAAACAUUGUUGGAGAGUGUAGUUUAAGUAAAAUUUCAUGUCGAUCAUAAAAAUUAUUUAUGAAUAAUGACAUUUCGAGAAAGAAAUUAAGUGUUAUGUUGUUUAGUCUAUUUUGAAUGUGUUUCAAUUACGAUACUUGAUUAGUUCCUAUCAGACAACUUAAUAACCACACUAGAAGUCGCAUUCAUAUAUUUUCUAUCAAUGGGAUUUUAAAUUAUUCAAACUAUCGUCAACAAAGUUUUAUAAUUAAAAUGAAACUUUACCUGAAGUACUACAACAAAUUGUGCUUAUUACUUAAAUAUGCGAGGGAUAAUUGUAUCAAAGUCCCAAAAUUUUUUAAAAUGUACAUAUUAUACCCAAAUCUUUAAAUUUCAGUAGCAAAUGAUCCAAAGCUUUCAAAAUUGUGGUGAAUGAAUCGUUAGUUGACAAGAGUCGGCGUUCAACCAUAACUUGAUGUAACUUUUAAAAGGUUAAAUAGACUUUUAACCUUUGAUUAAUUAAAAAUUUGCAUUGUAGGUCCUAAAGCUUUCAUGAUGUGCAACGGAGGUCCCAAACAUUUAAUAAAUAGAUGUUGGAUGACCUCUAACGACUUUCAUCCAAAAAGUUAUCAACUCACCAAAAUUAUUCGUCUUCCCAAUUCACUUAAUCACCCAACCCCAAUGCCUAAUCCCUAGCUCAAAAGUGUUUUGAAGUGGUAGCAAAAUAAUUCUAAGCACUAUUUUAGUUUGGAAUCUUUGGAUACUUAAUUUUUAGAUUUAGAUUUCUAGUGAGCCUUAUUACCCUAGUUGAAGUUUGGAGGUUGAGACAUUCAAACUUAGGAAGAAUCAUAUCGAAGUAAUGACUUUUAUUAGUGAAACUCAACCAAACUUGAGUGUGAAACAAAAGAGCAUAGUGUAAUCUACCUUAGAAUAAAAACCAUGGGUAAUUGAUUGAAAAAAUAAGUACAUACACACAUCGAUCGAGCAUAGAAUAAAUAAAGAAUUUGUUUUAGUUGAAUUACUCUUAUCUCCUAUUGUUACUAUAAAAGGAAUUAACUAUUUAGUUUUUUGUCCAUAAAACGGACAUUUGCAUAGUCUGUAGGUGAUUGGUACUUCAACUGAAACAUAGCAAAGCAUGUUUUGAUUUUGGUUGUGGAUGAUACAGUUAAGCUUACUUUAGGCUCACUAAAAUCCCUUUUCUUCUCCAUCAACAAUUGUCUUAGUAAUCAAUCCAAGUAUUAAAUUGCAGGUACAUGCAAUGUAGCUGUUACCAAUUCUUAGAGAAUAUGGUGAGUUAAUGUCCUUUCGCACGUUAUAAAAAGUAUGCACAAUGUUGAAUCAUAUUACAAAAUUCAGUUAUCCUACAUUUAUGUACCGGGUUUUGAUUGACAUUUUAUGUCCAUAAGAACUUAAUGUGUAAUAACAAUGAAAUGAUGGUGAUCAAUUUGUUCAUUUUUAAAAUCUGGGGAUUAACUUGCAAGAGAGUAAUAAAAUGGAGACUAACGAUUUCUCAUUGGAGCAGGAUUCAAAAUCUAUAUAAUUAUAGGUUUUGACCUUGCGUGAUAAUUCUAAAAUUGUCAAGCAUAUUUAUCAUAUUAAAGAUUUUAAGAUCAUUACAACCCGUGUCAGGCUUACUUUUGUAAUGCUGUAAUUUUAAGAGAUUUAGGGUGCUUUUGAUUACAUGUAUGUAAUUUGCAUGAAAAGAAAAUAAAUUUUAGGUAAUUCAAUUGCCUAGAAUUUAUUUGUAUGAAAAUUGUCAAAUAAAUGUGUUUGAUUGAUUUAAUUUUCAAUUUAGAAAACAUUAUACUUGUUCAUUUUUUUAUUGGUGGGUAGAUGAGAGAAAGUGGAUAAAUAAGAGAGAGUGAAUCUAUUGGAAAAUAAAAUCCUACUAUCCCUAAAUACAAUAUUAUCUUUAAUUUUGAGGAAAAUAUGGUCACGUGAAAAAAAGUAUGAAAAUAUUUUUCAUAGAAAAAUGGCAAUCAAAUAGAAGUAAUAAUUUUGGUGAAAAACACAUUUUUCACGAAAAAUAUUGAUAAUCAAACGCACCUUUAAAUUUUUUUGUGAUGAAUAAAUAACAGUACUAAGAAUGUAAACUUUUUUAUUCUGGAAAUGUUGUAUGUUUCAAAAUCAACAUUUUAACUUUUGGUAAUCAAAAGUCAUACACUAUUGAAAUUGUAUAUAAUUAAUAUAAAGGGUAUCAGUUAGAUAAUAUCUAUUUGUAUUAUUAUUAUCUUUGGUAGUAUUAUAAAAUUUAUUUUUAUCAUUUUAAAAAUAUAUAAUGUAUUUACCAGUGUUAUUUUAAAAUGAAAACAUUAUAUCUAAAAAUUUAUUAGAUUACAAAACAAAAGAAUAGUUUAUAUAGUAGCAAAAAAAAAAAAGAAUAAUAAUUUUAAUUAAUUGGUGUUAAACUUUGUAUUUUGGUCAUUGAUAAUUGGAGAAGUUAAAAGUAGACUCUGACAAUUUACUAAGUUGUUGCUUUUCAAUGUUUGUCGCCAGAUGAUACAAAUUUCUAAUUAAUUUUACUAAAAACCUAAAGUAACUUUUGUUUUUUAACAAUCGGAAGUUAAACAUUUCAGUCAAUUCCAAUGGAGUUUAACUUAGCCAAAUAUAAUUCGAUCAAAAAAAAAAAAAUUGUUUGGGAAGUGUUCACAAACAAUUUAAAUUAUAAAUAAAUAAAAUGAGUAAUGGCUAAGUGAGUUAUAUUUGCGUCAUUCGAGUGUGGACAAGCGUGAGUUGAGUAUUUAAAAUAGUUUAGAAACAUGAGCCAAAUGUAGGCAAAAUUAGCUUACACAAGCAUUGUUGAACUUCCUGGCUUCUUUCAAGCAUCAACUUUUUCUUUCAUACAAAAUACUUGAAAAUGAAAAUGAUAUUAGGACGUUGAGAAAUGUUAUGCCAUAAAAAAUGAGAAAAUAGUUGCAGAGUUCUGUAUUAAUAUUUCUAUCAUAUAGCAAAGUUUUUAUUAGUUUCUAGAUGGAAAAUGAUAAACAGGCAGGCUAAAAAAUGAGAAAUGAAAAACUAAAAACUGAUUGAUGUGGCAGUAAGUUGUUGAGUGUGUGUGUGUGAUUUUUUUUUUUUUUCAAAACCCUCCAAUCAUGCAUCGACAUGUAUGCAGCCUGUUUCUGUAGCAAUGCUCUUUCGAGAUAUAGAAUUCCUUCAUGCUAAAAUAAGUUUUAGCUCUUGUUUGGUGAGGAUUGAAAUUCAUAUUUUUAAAGUUAAAGUUAAUAAUUAAUUUUCAUUUAAUAUUUUUAUGAGACUCACAACUUUUUAACAACAUAUUUUAUCAACUUUUAAGAAAAUCUACUAAAAAAAUAUUUUAAUCUCCAUCAAGAGCCUAAUUUGCUUGGCCUAGUAUCUUUCCAUGUGAUUAGCAUCAAUAGUAUGUAAUAUUAUAGAGAAAUAUUUUGAUCUCAAUUUUUUUUAAAUUUAUUUUUUUCUUUUUCAAAUUCAUUUUCGAUCACACAUUUUAUGAGACUAACAAUUUUGUCUAAUCACAUAUAUCAUCAAUUUUUAUCAAAAUAUACUAAAAAUCUUAUUUUUAGACAAAUCAAGCAUGGGAUUUAUAGACAGUUGGAAGAUAUGUGUGUGGAUGAGGACUCUAACAAAAAAUAAAUGCAAUUCACAUUUUGGAAUAUGUAAAAGAGGCGACAAUUAACAAGUAGAGAGAGAAUUUCUUUUAUUUUUCAAAAACGAGUAUUAUCAGAAUUAAUUAUUGAUGGAGAUCAAAAGAUUACAUCAA